GAGGGUAUAGCUUGAGAAUCAAAGAUAAACUUAGUGUGGCUUGAAGUUGACAUGGUAUUAUGACACUAGUGAAGAGUGAAGUGAGAAUCCAAAAAAGAAGAAGAGUGAUAGAGGUGGGUAUAGCUUGAGAAUCAAAGAUAAACUUAGUGUAGGUUGAAGUUGACAUGGUAUUAUGACACUAGUGAAGAGUGAAGUGAGAAUCCAAAAAAAAAGAAGAGUGAUAGAGGAGGGUAUAGCUUGAGAAUCAAAGAUAAACUUAGUGUAGGUUGAAGUUGACAUGGUAUUAUGACACUAGUGAAGAGUGAAGAGUGAAGAGAAAUGGUAUGUCAUCAUGGUAAAGGAUGGCAUUGGAUACAUGUGUGGAAUCUCAAAUAUCCAUUGAUUAAUGGGGUGGAAAGAAAAAGAGCACACAUUUUAUGGGAAGGACUUGCAUUUAUGGCAGGCGUUGAAUUGAAAGACUCAGAUGAAACAUAAAAGCUCCUAUGCCUUGAAAAGUAGGGUUGGAAACAAAGAAAAAGAAAAUGUGAAAAUGGUUUAACCCCAACCACCCACCAAAAGGUCGAAAAGAGAAAGCAUUAUUACUAGUGGGCCCAAGACCUCCCCAGGGUGAUCUCCAAUAGCCUCACUCUUCUGUGGGCAUCAAAGUAACUGCCCAUUCAUAAUCACACUCUCCACCGAAAGUCUCUCCUUGUGUAAAACACAUUCUUGGGGCUAAACUUGAGCAUUAACAAAAAGGUAAGUGAGACAAAGGCUUCUCCAAUUUCUCUUUCACACUGGUUAAAAGAAAAUUCCCUGAUGGGGAAAAGUGAAAACUACCAACUGGGUUGGGUUCUGUAGAGAGGGAUUUUGAAGUUUAAAGCUCAAAGGCACCAAAACCUACCAAUAGGGUUUGUAUGCAAUCAAACAUUUGAUGUCUUUUCUUCCUGUUGGUUGAAGAGGUUUUGAAAUUAUAGUGAUGGAGUGGAGUGAGAGUUGAUGGAGGGUGUGAACUACUUUGAAGUGGGUUUAUUGAAGGCAAUGAUAGAGGCAUGCCCAUAUGCCAUGUUGAAAUUUCAAACCUACCUGCCAUCCAUCAAGUAUCCUCCAUUAAUCAUGGGGCAGCAGUCAACAGUGGGAAAUGAAAAAGCUAGAGCACAGCCAAGAAAAAAAACACAAACAUCAACCACCACCCACCAUUACUCCUUUUUUAACAUACACAAGUUUACAAAAGGAAAGGGAAAGACUGAAAUUUUCUUUGCCCCCCAAACAAUCAUGAGAUCAUCAACAUUUUCUAAAGAGAACACUUGGAAUUUGAGGACCCCCAGGGACCCCAAACCCUGUGUACUAAAGAUUUAAAAAACAAAAAUGAAAUUGGUCUUUUCUUGGAAAAGGGUCCCACCCAGACUCUUAAUGUUGGCUCAUCCAUCAAUCCCAUUUCUAGGAGGAGCUGUGGUCGGUUGAUUAAAAAAGAUACCCACCCUCAAAUCUCUUCACCAGCACAUCUAUAUUGAAGAAAAUAAAAUAAAAACAAAAAAGAAUACCAAAGGUCAGACAUUCAACUUUGGCUAUAUUUAUGGGGAUGCUUCACAAGGUAGGCCCACCACCCAAAUUCAAGUUUGCUGAGGCUGAUUAAGGAAGAAAGAGGCUGAAACCAAAAGUAAAUAAAGGCGGAGCCGAGGAAAUCAGGAACAGUUCUUCCCCACAGCAACUUCUUUCAAAUUAAAAGGUUCCAAUCGAAUUCAUAUUGUUUGACCCGCCACAGGACAAAGCUCAAAGCUCAAUGCCUUCAAACUCAAUUUGCUUUUCUCUAAUGGUUUCUUGACAUAGUAGAGAAUUGGAGUGGACAACCACAUGCCUGUCCUGUGGCAGGCAAAGAAUCCCACAAAGAUCUUCCACCCUUUUUACACUACUAGUCCUUUUCACUCAAUUCCCUGACCCUCCUCCUCUUCUUUUACUAUCUUCUCUUUCAAAAGUAAAAGCUGCUAUAUUACUUUUCUUCUCUUUUCCUUUUUUUUUUUUUUUUUUUUUUGAAUUUAUUGUUCUGCCUCCCCUGCAUUCCAAAAAGACAGAUUUCAAUAUUGAGAUUUAUUAAAAGGAGAAUUAAUUAAUGGGUAUGACCCAAGGCAUGACUACUACAAAAGCAGUAUAAAUAAGGUGAACUGCAUGAGACAUAACAAGAUCUAAAAACAACUGAUGUGAACCGCGUAAGGGGCGAAAUAGAAGAACAAGAAGACAAAAGCCCAAAAUCACAUGACUCAAUGUAAAUUUCUAACCACAACUGAACCCAUAUCAAGGCAUUAAAGCACAAAGCAAGAGAUAGCAAGGCUACAAUGUGGAACACUUUUUUUUAACCCCCUUUUAGAAGUCUGAGCCUAGCUAUGUUUUGCUUUCACUUUCUCUUCUUUUAUAACCAAAAAAAAAAAAAAAAAAAGAACAUGACUUCACGUUUUGGUUGAAUAUAGUUGGGAAGAGAACCAAGAACCAGGACCCAAGCAUUAUUUUACAGGUUUCUCUGAGCAUGGUCCUAACGUGGCUGUCUCUUUGGCAUCCUUCCAUUGACCAGUACAAAUCACCAUGUAGAAACAUGAUUUGAUUAUUGCAUCCAUUGAUUCUUUACAGGUUGAAGGUGGGUGGAACAGGGUAUAAGAUUUACUUCAGUCAAGUUACUCUUUUAUUCACUCCAUCCAACAGAUGAGACACAGGUAAGCAUAAAGAUCUGCUUAGAACAAGAAAGGUUGGGGAAUUUUCAGUAAAUUGAAGCCAAAAUAAUAUGGGGGUGACAGGUCACAGAUUCACAAGAAGCUUACAUCUGGGGACAUUAGGGCAUACUUAAAAAAGGUGAAUAAAAAUUCUCAAAUUACCAAAAAAACCUUCACCUGGAACAGGUGUUAUAUGUGCUCAAAAAAUUGUAAAAGGCAAAGGUCGUGGUCAGUGGUUUUUCAUAGGCCAAAGCUCAGGAGGAAAGGAAUGAACUUUGUCCACACACUCAAACCAAAACAUGGUCACGGAGACACCCUUUUCCGGACCACGGAUACGUAUCCAGGAGCACCCAAAAUGAUUUGAUUCCCACCCCCCAAAAUGACCAUAGCAACCCCCCUAACCAUUGCAGAACUUUCUCUCAAAUGACUCAAAUGUCCCCAUUCUUUACCAAGCAUUGGUGUCGGUAGGCCGACAACAGUGGGGUUACCUUCCCCCACAUCAACUAUUUCGUCUCUUGGAGUUUAUGUUGAACAACAACUGGUUGUUAUAACAUUUGAUCUUUGAAUCAAAAGAGAAAGGGACAAGAUGAGCCCACUAAGAUUCACAAACUGACAAUACCAAUAUUUGCCCGUGAUUAUGAUCCACAUGAUUUUUACUCUUAAGACCACCACCAAAGGGAUUAAAAGAAAAAAAUUCUAGUUGCAAAGGGCAUGUGACAGAGGUAACAGUAACAUUAGUAGUAAUAAUAUAGUAAAUACUUCCAAAAGAUUUUUGCUUAGCAUGGAGAAAAUCAGGUGGUUUCUAAACAUCUGUGCUUUUGAUUAAUGCAUCUUCUGUAGAUUAUAUUAACUACAGCAUUUUCAUACUACUGAACAUCUUAAGCUCAACAAUGGACCAUUGAUAGUCCAUGAUGGACCACCAUCUUUUCAGGGCCUUUAAUAUGCAAGGAAAGGAGGUUGCCUAGGAUAGUGAAGCAAGGGUGGAUUCAAGCUUUAUGUAGGGCAUGUUUUCUUGAUCAAUUUGUGUAAUUAAAAUAAAAUGGAAAUGAAAUAGCAGGGAAAAGCUUACCCUUUUUCUUCAGGCUACUGUUGGCCUAGGUGGAUUUGGGGGUAGCUUGCUUAAAUGCAACAGUGGGAGCUAUUCGGCAACUCCUCCUCUGAUGCUCCAGCACAAGCUCACCAGCAAACCAGUCGAGUUUCUCGAAAUUGCUCUGCUCUCCUAUCCUUUUACCUCCAAAGAGCACUGAUUCAACAUUCUUUUGCUUCAGCAUUUCCUCAGCUAUUCCAUUUAGCAUCUUUACAUUGCUAGGACUAGGGUCUGUGUCCAUAUUUGCCCCACAACGACCCAAGGUGGACCCAUUUGCCUGUCAUUCCAGAAAUGAUUGAAGUAUUGUAGUUAGAGAACAGAUACAACUCAAUUUGCCUAAGCUUCUACUGAACUCAAAUGAUUUCGCAAGAAAACAUCAGGAAUAUACAUCAUCUAGACUAUAACUGUGCAAGAUUGAUUUAAAUCAACAAGUUGGAAGGCCCAAUAUUAAGAGAGACAAAAAGAAUGAAAGAAAGAAAAACAAAAUGCUGACCACAUUCAGGCAUUUCAGGAUCCAUGAACUUUCUUUUUUGAAAUGGGGUAAAAAACUGAUUCCGGACCAACCUAACUACAUCAAACUGAUUUGAGUGAGUGCUUUAGAACAGUAGCUGACAAAAGGGGCACGCUUCCCUUUAUGCUUCAUGCACUCAAUUUCACUUGGAAAUGAAUGCAUUGUAGGAAAAGUGCAUGCAGCAGAAAUGUGGAGUGCCAAUAGCACAGCCCGGUCAUCAUCAAAGAACAGGGAAAAGGAGACAGAAAAGGAUUGAAUUGAUGAGGGAAACCUUCUCUUUAAUCGUAAAUUGAAAGGGAAGACCAAAACCAAUUGGAAGGAAAACCCACAACUUUAUUGAAUUUAGGUGGCUCACAUUAAGGCAGUAUAAGAAUAGCAAGCCAGAUACAAGGUCCCAGCACAUUGACAGAGCAUACUUUAUACUAUAAACAGCCCUAAUGGUAAGGCUAGCCAGGAUCAGAAAGCCCAUCAUCUCUCGUAUUCAUUUAAUACCAACAUCUGAGUCCCAUUUUUCCAAACACUCCUAAAAAUUCCCAUACUUGGCAAACCCAAACCCCAGCUCUCCUGCUUUUCCCAUUCACCCCACUGCAAAGGAGCACCCAUAGCAACAAAUUUCCAUUCUCUCACCACUCACCCAAUUCAAAUUGGCAUGAAACUAAUAAUUAUCGCUAUAUAUAUAAUAAUUCAAAAUCAUGGGUUAAAACUUCAGUUUUUGUCUGAAUCAAAAUUGGGAAAAAAAUCAAAUAAAAUAAGACCCCCAGCUAUUACUUUCUUUUUGUUCUUUUUGUUGAUCCAGCUUGGGAUUGAAAUGAAAUUUAUUUGGAAUUGAAAAUUUGGAUGGACGGGAAAGUGAAAAUUAUGACAGAAAUCGAGGCUAUUGGGCAUUAGGCUGCAUACCCACUACUGCCCCACAACGACCAUGGCAGAGUUGCAUGAGCCGUCCAAAAUGGAGGCGCACGUUUUGACUAAAACCAGCGCACUGGUCGCACGUUAGCUUAGGAGGCGUACCUGAAUACGGACGUAGUUACUGCUCCGACUCUGCCCAAACGCCAUUGCCACCGAGUGGUCCACCAUAUCGGCGGCACCGUCGCCGGAGAUUCGAGCCAUGGGUCGAGCCCAGUCCUUAGCUUUCCAGUUCUUCACUUGAUCGUAAUCGUAGCUUCCUUCCAGAAGCUGACCUGUUCCAAGUGAAAGUACCAAAAGGUCCUCCACCCCUCGCACGAAUGGAAACUCCUGUUUGUUGUGAAGCACGUGCGUGAUCGCCGCUGCGGUAGGGUUGCUCAUGGCCAAACCACCGUCAAUCGCCACGCACCGGGUUUGGCCGUCGACAGACCGCAUCGAGACCGGUUCGAAGAUGGCUGGCUCGGCCGACGUGGCUCGGCACACCUCCCAGAGGCGGAAGUCGAAGCUGUCUGUUUCGAGAGCGUCGGCUCUGGAGAACAGGAACGGCGCCGAGCUGGAGAGGUCGUAGCACGGUAUCAACACCGGCUUCAACGUGUCUUUCAGCGUCAAACUCCGGCCGUUCUCCGCGAACGCUUCCUUCAUGGCUUUCUCUAGUCCGGACGCCGCCGAGCCGCUGGAGCCACCUCGGAGAAUCCGCCGGAGGAAACUGCCGCCGCCAGAGCCGGAACCGGACGAAGAACGAUAGCAUCUCUUCCCCUGCUCCGCCAGGAACUUCCACGUGUCCUCCGCUUGGAAAAUCGGGCGGCUAUUGUCCUUUGUCCCAAAGAGCAUGGCGGUGAAAAUCCCUCCGACGCCGGCACCGGCCGCGACGUCGAAAUAGUCGGCGAUUCUAGCUUGAGGAUUCCCGGAUUUCGUUUUAAGGGCUUGUUCGAGAUAAGCGAGGGCUCUUCCGGAUAAUAUCCCUCGCAUUCCACCACCGUCGAUGGAGAGUAUGCAGAUUUUGCCCCUCUGAUUCUUGAUAGCGGAGACGCCAUUGUCGGGGGGAGGUGGAGUAGAAACCUCGGACUUGGUCUCGAUCUGUUUGGGGAUCCAGAGCUUCUGGUCAUCGUAGCCAAAGAGAAACUUACUUUCGAGAAUUGAGAAGAUUUCGUAGCUAAGUUUAUCGGUAUCGAUACUGGGUUCCUGCAUUUCUGAUUGAAGAUUACAAGCCAUCUCUUCACUUCACGUCCUUGUUGACAUCACAUGCGUUAUUCACUGCUUCCACAAUCUCAAACCUCCUCCCUCUCUGCAGAUGGUAGCAGCUUCAGCUUGAGCACUAUAUGCAAAUGAAUUUUGAAUUAUGAGUGAAGUGAGCUCAAUGCUGAAAGCAAAACCCAGAAACGCUUUGACAUGAAAAAGAAGAGAACCCUUUAAAGAGGAGCAAGGAGAGCUGAAAUGGAGUGAUUGAUGAGGAACAUCACAUUGAAUGGCAUCGCUUUCUGAAUAAGAAGGUAGAGCUGCUAUCGGCUAUAUAUGAGAAUAUAUGUUACCAAUGAAAAAACCCAAACAAGCCAACCAGCAAAGGACCAAAUGGAGGAGGAGGAGGCAAGAACACAGCAGUUUCAGAGCAUGUCUGAGAUGGAUAUAUUUAUAUCCACCGUAUUAUCAUAUAUAAGCAAAAUUAUAUUUAUAUUUAAAUCCACCGAAGAAACAAACAAGAUUUUCUCUCUCCUAAUCUCCAAAUUUGGGACCUCUUAACCAGGCUGUGUACUGCCGUCUUAACCGUGGUUUACACGUUUACAUCGCACAAGGGCCACCGACGGUUCACUUCCCGUUCCAAUCCCACGCUUCAGAUGAUCACUCAACCCUCUGCCUCCGUGAUCGACGGCCAACUCGCAAAAUUUUCUCCCGCGCCUGUCGUUACGCGUGGGUCCCACCGCCACAUCGUCGGCAAAAGGCAUGGGCGCGCACUAAUUGUGUCCAAUUUGCCCAGUUCAUCCCCAUUUUUGGUUUUUUUUAAUGACCAAACUGCCCUUUAUUAGUGGCCUGAGCUGGUGGGCUCCACGUGGACGUGCUGACGGCUAUGGUGGGCCAGUCGUCACUAACCCCGCAUGCCUCCCUCGUUACCGGUCACCGGUUACUGUCACAACGCAGAAUCAUGGUAAAUUUGGGAAAUGAGUGUGGAUAAGAUGAUUGGUGAACAGUGAGUUGACCCUUGUUAACCACUCCCACAUGCUCUCAUCCAUUAUGUCCUGUUUCUACUGUGGUAACUUUGACCCACGACAAAGUAAAUCCAUUUGAUUUUUCGAAUGAUUGUACGGAACAAAAUGAACAGGAACUUGGCAGGAAAAAAUGUACUAAGUUCGUUAAACAUUUCAUACUUUGUUUGAAACAUUGAAAUCAAAUUUGGGUUCAUCAUUAUUCAAAAGCCUUCGAGUCAAACGUGGAAAUAAAACUUGAAACUUUCAAGACUCGUAUUAAAGUUAAGGGCACGUCAUGUUUUUCGUAAUGGAGUAUAAUUGCGCCUUCAAUUAAAGAAGAGAUAAGAAGGGGUCAGAUAUGGUAGGAAGUAUGAGAUCGUUUUACCAUUUCUUUUCCAAAAAAUAAUUGUCAUUUUCAAAGACACCCCUCCUUCAACAAACACAAUAAUUUGUUUGUCAGUAUCCCCAGAAGAAAAUGAAGGGAGGGAUCAGGGGGAGGAAGGAGGCUGGGAGGGUCAUUGGAAUGGACGUGUGGGUGCUGGAGGAGGUGGUGGCGGAGAUGGAGGAGGAGGAGGAGGAGGAGGAGCAGUGGGUGGUGAGGGCCUGAGGAGACAGCAAGACAAGGCAUUCUCUCCUCCUGCCCUCUCCCCCCGCAUUAAAUCUCUGACUGCCUCAUGUUUGUCGCAAUCUCCUCAAAUUGCUCCCACCUCCAUAACAUAGCUCCUCAUCUCUGAAGUCUGAGCCACACUGGGCCUCACACUCUUCCAUAUCACCUAUCCACACCAUCGUCCUCCUCGGAUACCAUCCACUUGUUUACCUGUGGGGACAGUCCUUUUCUACCUCCCCUCUUUUCUAGCCCAACUCUUUCAACCUAUAGGCCUCAUGGAAAUUGAACUGUAAAACAUUAAUGCAAGGAAGUACAGAAGAGAGAAAAAGAAUAGGAGAGGAUUCUAGUCUGAUUCCGCCUUAUGUCAUCAUUUGUGCAGACUGAAUCCUAUUGUACACAGUGACUGAGAUACAGUUGGGAUAAAGGCCCACUGAGUAGUAAUCACAGGAAGAGGAAGUAGCCCCUACACACAGCCCACAGUCCCACUCUAGGCUAUUACUAUUUUGCUACAAAUGUAACCAUCUGGGGGGGCUCAGCUACUAAUCCAUGCCUAGAAAAAGUGGGCGUAGGGGACCAGAUGGUGUCAACCCAUAAACCCACAUGGUUUUUUCCUGGCCAAACUCUUCAAGUCUAGUGCAUGAAAUGCUUUUGCUUUGUCUUUUAUUUUGAUAUUCAUAGAUUUUUUAUCAAAUAUAUUGGCAUUUAGUGGUGUGCCGGUUUUAAAGGAGCAAAUGAACCCUUUGAACCUUUUGAGGAACAGCUGGGUAGAGUGAAAAUUUUACAAAAUAUAUGAAAUCCAUUAGGAGGUAUUGGUAGAGAUUGGAAGUGAGAAACUACUAGUAUGCAUAUUCCCAACCCAGAAUAUCAAAGCUGAACUGGAUGUAACCUUCAAAUCAAUAAUUUCAUUACCUGAUGAGAUACCAACCAAACAAUAAGGGUGCUGAUGUACCGCUCUGAGUCAUAAAAUGCAGUUGUGGAAAUGGUGAGAGAGACGUGUUGGAAGCAGAGACUUGGGCGAGGACCUCAAUCAUUUCUCAUAAAUUACAUAAAAACCGGUUCUCCAAUCGCACUUCCUCCAGGAAAAAUGCAGGAGAUGGACCUCUGACAAUAGGAACUCUGGUAGUAGGCAAUGGGUCUCCCAUAGUCACCCAUCAUCAGUUCUGAUCCCUCUGACAGCAUCAUUGAUCCCAUCUUAUUCAUGAGUUUCUGACAUGUAGGAACUCUGGCAAUAGGCAAUGGGGCUCACAUAUAGAUUCCAAUCAAUUCUGAUCCUUUCCAACGGCAUGAUUAAUUCAUUUUACCAAGCGUUUGUAGUAAAACAGUUUACUCUCACUACCAAUAGUCCCUACAAGAACAAGAACCAUCUGUGAGAGUCUGGGAUCAGUUCAAGAGAGCAACAAUCUUCUAAAUAGUCAAUCUUACUUCCCCUGUGAAUGGUCUCUACAAGAACAAGAACCUUCUAUGACAGAAUGGAAACUUAUUGGACCUACGGGAAUUCUCUCUUUUUCAGCACUGAGAAGAGCCUCAUUUUUGUAUGGCAAUCUCAGCAGGCUCCCAACUUCAUCCACACUUUCAUAGAAGCUGAUGUUGGCAAACUAAUGGAUCAUGGCUAACUUUUAGUUAUGGUAGCCACCACAAAGCUAUUGUUCUGUUCAGGUUUAGGGACUCUAAAAACAAGCCCCUCAUUAGCGAAUUCUACUUAUUUCAUAUUUCUUCCAACCGUGCAUAAAUAGUUUGACUUCAAUGAUGACAUUUAUCACCCACCACAAAAGAAAGGCCAACGUUUUCCUACCUCAAUCCAACUUAGACCAGGUUUCAUUGUAAUUCUACCAUCAGCAAGUCCUUGAUUCUUUUGGCUGGCAUACAUUUUUCCACAUUAGUGUAGUUGUUGUCAAGAAGCACAUAAGACACUGCAGCUUCAGGUUCAAGCUCAAUCAGUCUCUCUGUAACAUGUUUCUCAGUGACAGUAUCUUUAUGGACCCUGCAAGCAUUCAACAACACAUAAGAUGUUUACAAAUCAUCUUCAAAGCCAGAGUUGAUAAUGAAGUUUUCAGAAUGAACCAAUCUUUCAAGCUCAAUCCAAGAGGUCAACAUUACAGGCAGAAUGCUCUGUUUUUUGGAGUCAUACCAUGAUCCUUCUUCAUGAUUUUGAAAUGUUUGCCAUUGAAAAAGGUAAUCUAAUUACAUGAAUGAUGAAUUAAUUACAAACGCAUAUAUCACUAAGAGAUAGGUUUCAAAAAUUGCAUGUGCAAGCAUUUAACAAUCUCACUAGUGUAUGAAUUAUACCUAGCUUAAUAGGCAUGCAUGUCCAAUCUAGUGCUUAUAUUAAUUCAAGAGUAAAUUAUCCUCAAAACUGCAUAUAAUUCCAAAAAUUUUAUGCAAAAAUUAAAAAUUAAUCCUAACAAUUCAGAAAGAUAAAACAGGUUUCCCCUUUCCCUCUGCUGUUUCCCCAAAUCCGAUCCAUUCUCCCAUCUCAACAGUUUAUUCUUAAUCCAGUCACGAACUUGGAAACACUAACUCCCAACCCCAAAAAGUUUAAUCCCCUUGGAAUUUGAAGAAAGCCCCCCCCCCCCCCCCCCCCCCCAACAUGAACAUCAAAUAAGUAUUGAAAACUUACCAUAAUCAAUCUUCAACAUGGCUCAAUUAAAAAAUCUGAAAAAUGUAAUGUGACUGGGCACUUCCCCUAAUCUUUCAAUCAACUUAAAGAAGGCUUAAAGCUUUGGGUGCACAUUCCAGUCCCAAAUUUGCUUUAAACAAACAAUGACCAAAACACUAUUUUAAAAAUCAUUUCCUAAAAAGGUUGGAUAUGAAAAAUCUAUAUCUCCAUAAUUUGGCCCCAGGCCCACUUUGGAUAUCCAAAGGGAUAGGAGUUUCUCAUCCCANNNNNNNNNNNNNNNNNNNNNNNNNNNNNNNNNNNNNNNNNNNNNNNNNNNNNNNNNNNNNNNNNNNNNNNNNNNNNNNNNNNNNNNNNNNNNNNNNNNNAAUUCCAAAAAUUUUUUGCAAAAAAUAAAAAAUUAUUCUUAAAAUUUAAAAAAAAAAAAACGGUUUCCCCUUUUCCUUUUGGUUUUCCCCAAAAUCGGUCCCUUUUCCCCUUUCCAAAAUUUUUUUUUUAACCCCCCCCGAAAUUGGAAAACCCAACCCCCCCCCCCAAAAAAUUUUAUCCCCCUGGAAAUUGAAAAAAACCCCCCCCCCCCCCCCCCCCCACCAACAUGAACAUCAAAUAAGUAUUGAAAACUUACCAUAAUCAAUCUUCAACAUGGCUCAAUUAAGAAAUCUGAGAAAUGUAAUGUGACUGGGCACUUCCCCUAAUCUUUCAUCAACUUAAAGAGGCUUAGAGCUUUGUGUGCACAUUCCAGUCGCACAUUGCUUUAAACAAGCAAUGACCAAGACACUAUUUUAGAAUUCUAUUUCUUAGAAGGUUGGAUAUGAAGAAUCUAUAUCUCCAUAGUUUGCACCAAGGCCCAUCUUUGGAUUUCGAAUGGAUAGUGAGUUUCCUAUCCCAGUUUUCAUUGCAUACCCCUGGACCUGGUUACAAGAUAUUUGAUGUAGGCUAAUUGGCAUAACCUAAACAUGCUAAGUAUUAUGAAGUCAUCUAGUUCUCUUCCCAAUUCAAGAGGCAUUGCACUCAAAUUAUCCUGCAGACAUGUAUGUCCUUGAGCCAAUCUAUAGCUUGAGUCUCAAAAGAAAACAUUUCAGCCCAUCUUCAAAAGUACACACUUCCAAAUGAAAUCAUUUGACUCAAAUUCAAUUGUUUUUUCGGAUUUGAGCAUGAUUUUUGCCUUACAUGGUCAAAAGCUUCACCUGACUUACAAGCUUUGAAUGUACUUGAGAAUAUGAACUUCAAGAGCUCCAUUCCUUUCUUUUGCAUCUAAAAGAAAACAGCAUAAGUAUUCCUCCCCAAACUCAUUGCUUCAGUCUCUGUUCAGAGUAAUCCAGGAGUCAUUGCAUUAUACAUUACAACAUUAUAAGCAGGCAUGAUCUUAAAAAUCUGAUCUGUAUCAUUGAAAUCCAACCCAACUUGGUUGCACACCUGUGAAGAAUUACUUCCACAUUUUAUUGAGUAAACAAAGUUAGAGCAACAUUCCCAUGACCUUAACAAUUCAAAUUCAUAUAUAUUCAUGAUUCUUUCAAGAGUUUCAACAAUUCCUCAUUCAAACCAAUUUUUAAUUAUCUUGCAGUUAUCAAAUAAAAAGAAAAAAAAAAUCAGGCCCACAUCAUCCAAAUUCACAAACAAAAAACAUCAGGUCAUCCAGCACCUAGUAACAAUUAUUAUGUCAUGAAUCAGAUGACCCAAGUGCAUAUCCCCAGUUUGACAACACACACUGAAAGCAUUGGCAUUACUGAAUUCAUUAAACACCAGCCAUUGGUAAAAACAUCCAUGGGCUUAUCAUUAAAAUUUAAUAAAAAAUAAAUAAACCCACUUGAUUAUGCCCAGAAAUUAAAGAGUUCCAAGAUAUAACAUACAGGCAUUUCAUCCAACAUGUGGCGGGCAAUACCGAGUUCGCCAUAUUGGCAACCCAAUCGAAGAGGAUUCAUUGGAAAAAAGUAGACAAGGGUUUGAAACAAGUCCUGGUGAUGUGGGCAUGUACAAUCUCACUUUGGAUCAAAUACACUGUUCUGGUGGAGAAUUGGACUGGUUUUGUGAAGGCCAAGCCCUGAUAAAGGAAUAGAGAUGCCCAGAAAAAUGGUGAGCAUUUAGCGGCGGGGUUAACAUGGACUGAGGCAAUGCGGUGAGAACGGCGGUGAGCGACGGGUGGAGAUGAGAAACUCAGAAAAUCAGAAUGGUGGUCCUGAAUCCUGAUUGAAGUUAGAAGUUGGAAGUUGGAACUACGUUGAAUUGAUCUCUUCAAACAUGGCUACCUCCGUACCGAUGCUUUUGCAACCCGACCCAUGACCGAACGGGACAAAUAAAAGAACGGGAUAUGUGAUAUAAUUUAUAAUUAUUAAAAUUAAAAAUAAUUAUCAAAAAUAAAAGUUAUACAUAAAUAAUUUUAAAAAAAAUGAAAUAUUACAUCUUUUUAUUUUGAAUAUUAUUACAUCAUAUCAUAAUUGCAUAAAUGUAUUAACCUUUUUUUUAUUAAAUUAAAUAACAAAAUUAUAAUAUUUAAUUAUUAUAAUGAAUAUUUAUAUUAUUCAUAUUUUAUUCAUUUUUAUUCGUAUUUUAUUACAUUCAUACAUUAUUAUUUUUUAUCUUAAUAUGUUUUUGUUAUAACUUAAAAAUGUAAUCGGAAAGUUAAAAUUUAAGAUCAAUUUCAUUCGCUUUUAUUAAGGUUUUGACUAAUUACAUGUGAUCCUCGUUGGUUUGAAAUUUUAUUAAAUACGGUCCUUAUUUUGAAUGUUCGAGAGAGAUGAUGUGAGUAAAAAUAACAAAUGAAAAAGAUAAUAAAAUUAUUUCAUGAAAUUUUAAACCAAUAAGGAUUAAUUAUAUUUAGCUAAAAUCUAAAAGAAAGGGGGUCAAAUUAAGUUUUACACUUUAUUUAGCCAAAAAGAUGUUUGACUUGGUGAUAACUUUCUUAUGUUAAGCCAAGAUUUAGUCAAUUUUGAUUUUGAUAAACCAAAAUAAAGUUUGAAUAUAAUAUUUUAUAUUUGAGUGUGUUAAAUAAAAAUGUUUAUAAAGAAAAGACCUUAAAGAUAUCUCAAAUCAGAAGAAAAUCAAGAAAAAGUAGAAGGUUUGAAAGAGAUGGUUUUCUAAAUUUAAUAUUUUACGAUCUCUUUAUAAGAUUGUAGUUAUACUAAAUUAUAAUUCAAAUAAUAUUCAAGAAUGACUUAGAACACUUCCCUCAUCAAUAUAAUAAGUUUGAAACCUUUAAAUAGAAGUUAGAAGCCCAAACCAACCAUUAUGCACAAAUUGGGGACCAGAUCAACCAAUUGAUCAAGGUUACACCUUAACCAAUUGAGACAAGCUUCUACCACUUUAAAAUUUUUCUAAACCAAUCAAUUGUUUAGUUCAACUAACAAUCACUUGGUUUAAUUAGUUGACCUCUUGGUUCAAUCCAUUAACCUCUUUGCUCACCCAAUCAACAUCUUGGUUCAAUUAGUCAACCUCUUGGUCCACCCAAUCGAUUUAUUGGUUUAAUCAAUCAAACUAUUGGUUCAACAAUUCAACCUAUUAGUCAACCAGUGGUAAACAAGAUAGAAAAAAGUGAGAAAUGUUGCACAAAUGACCUUUAAUGGCUAAUAUUGUUUUAAUAUGAAAACUUAAUAUUAAAAAAUCCUUUUUGAUGAUAAAAUGCAUAUCAAAGUAUGAGUUUUUAUCUUUGAAACAAUCAAUCUCAAUUUUUUACAAAAAUUGUUCAAAGAUGAAUAAACAAACCUACAAUUUUUACAACUUUUCAUCUUUAACAUAAAAUUUUGAGGGAAACCGACAAAAUAACUCAUUGUUAUUUUGAGAACCUUUUUAACCAUGAAUAACGUUAAACAAAAGUUGUUUUUAUUUAGAAAGAUUCUUCGUUCAAUUUAUAAAAGAAUAAAACCAAUUUAAGCACUUAGGUGGUGUUUGUUUUUUUACUUAAUUCUAAAUGGAACCUUAAUACUUAAUAGUAUUAAAUAUUAGGUUGUUUGUUUUUAUAGUAUUUUAUUUCUAUUAAGUAUUAAAAAGUAAAAAAAACCAUUGUGUUAUUUUUUCUAUUUAGAAAAAGCCACAUAUUUUAGCUUUUUCUAUUUAGUAAAAAGUUUAUAAUAAGUCAUGAAAAAGUAAAAAAACAAACAACCUAAAUUCUAAAACUAAAUGGUUUUCAGCAAAAAGCCAAAAAAACAAACACCACCUUAGAUGAUUUUAGGUGCUUAAAAAAAUGUAAUGCACUAUAAAACUAGUGCACCAACAACCUAGAGAAUAAGUUUUGAUUGAUAUUCUUUUUGAGGUUUCUCUUUCUUCAUGAUUUUCCUUUGACAUGUUUUACUAUUUUGAAAAUCAUCAUAUCUAACCACAUUUAAAAUUAACUAUUAGUCUCAAACCUUAUUUUAUUAUCAUCAAAACCGAGAUUAAUCUAACAUUGAUUUCACAAGAUGAUUAUAUCGGAUAUAAGCAUUUCAAUUUAUUUACUCCCCUUAGAUUACUUGACAAUUUUAUUUAUUUUUUUAAUCAUUUUAAUAUGAAAAAUAUUAUAAAAUAUAGGAAAAUUAUCAAGUGCCAAAUUGGUAUGUGAUCCAAACUAUUUAAAGUAUAUGAUAAAAUUUAGAUCAUUAGAUGAUGGUACAAAUGUAUAAGAAUUAGUUACAAAUAAGAUGAAGUUAUAAGAAUUUGGUAAAAAUUAAAAAUUAAAUUUUUUUUUUAAAAAAAAAAGAAAAAUAAAAAGGGCCUCUGUAUUGGUACGAUCCGAGUGAUCUCGCUUCUGGGUAUGUAUACUGUGACCUAAAAUAUAGUGGGAUCCACUCCCAAGAUAUUUGGGAAAUUUUGUAUUUCCAGUCCAUUCAUUCCGAUGCUUGUCUUCCUCUUCCCCCCACCCCCCAUGGAUAUACAGUGCAUGCCUUCAUCUUCCUGCUUGCAUCCCAUAGGCCAUGGGGUAGCAAAGCUAAGUCCAUCAUAUUCAUGGGCAAGGGAUCAUCAACACAAUGCAACCAUUUGCUUCAAGUUGAGGAUGUAUGAUGUCACUCCUUUCAAUUCCUUCCUCUUCUCAGUUAUACGUUGUUAAGUUUCAUUUCUUCUUGCAAUCAGCCGCUCCUAUGCUUGCAGUUGCCACCUCCAAAAAGAGCAAAGGCCAUGGCUUACUUGGAAACCUUCUGCAACCAAGGCAAACAGAAGUGUUGCAGAAUUGAGGAAGGAGCCCAUCAAAGAAUCAAAGAAAAAGGGAACUAUCUCUGGAGCAGUUGCCCUGAUCAUCGGAACAAGUAUCGGUUCAGGAAUACUUGCACUGCCACAGAAAGCUGCUCCUGCAGUACUUUACCUCUCUCCGUCUCUUUGAAGAUGCAUGAGGAUAUACCCACGUUUGUUUUUCAUGUUGCAGGGACUUGUUCCAAGUUCGAUCUCCGUCAUUGUGUGUUGGGGUUUUCUCCUAAUUGAAGCUCUUCUUCUUGUGGAAAUCAACGUAGGUUUGCGGAGGAAGAAGGGAAAGAUAGAGGAAGAGAAUGAGUUAGACAUAAUCUCCAUUAGGACCAUGGCCCAAGAGACAUUAGGAGAAUGGGGUGGAAUUUUAGCCACUGCCACCUAUGUCUUCUUAGGCUACACUUCCAUGGUUGUCUAUAGCUCCAAGUCAGGGGAGAUCCUUUUCCAUUUGAUUAAUUUUCCGGCAUCAAUCUCAGGUUUCUUCUUCACUGCACUCUUCACCAUCCUCAUCUCCAUAGGAGGGACUCGUGCUACUGAUCAAGUCAACCAAUGGCUCACUGCUUCCAUGCUAUGUAUAUAUCUGCAAACUUUUUGACUGAAUGAUGGCAGCAGUUAUCUUCCUGAGGUCUAACAAUGCAUUGAAACUGAUGAACAGGUCUGCUGCUAGCAAUUGAAGUGCUUGGAGUUGUGUUGGGAGGGUGGUCAGGACUGGAGGGAAGUGGGGACUGGGGAAAAGUCCCGGCCACAAUUCCUGUGAUAAUCUUUUCUUUGGUGUAUCAUGAUCUAGCACCGGGUAAAGAUGACAGUGGUUUUAGUAUGAACUCAAUCAUCUCAGGCAAUGAAGUGAUGGCAUUUUACAGUAUGUGAUUUUCUUGCAGUUAUAUGUGCUUAUCUGGGCGGCGAUCUUACACGCAUAAGGGCAUCAGUUUUGCUUGGUAGUCUGGUUCCGCUGGUAGCAUUGCUUCUAUGGGAUGCAAUUGCCCUAGGCCUCUCUUCCCAGGCCGACCAAGCUGUUGACCCUGUUGAACUGCUCAUGAGGUAUACCAUCACCUCCCCACUGUUUAAGAUAUUCAAUACAUGUUCGUAGCACAACAAGAUAACAAUAUGUAAUCAUUCACAAACCCCUAAUUGUCAUCCUGGUUUAGUGUGAAUUGGAGUGGGGUAUCAUUUAUGGUGGAUGCCUUCUCACUUCUGGCAAUAGGAACAUCACUCAUCGGAACUCUCCUCAGCUUCUCCCAGUUCUUCAAGGAGCAGCUUGAUAACCUGUCAUGGAAUUCUCCCUCCACACAAAUAUUACCAGUAACCUUUUAUACCUUUUCCUCGCUAAAUCUAUUGUUGGCUCUCAGUUAUGAGAUUUGGUGAAGUUCAUAUUAGCUUUUGAUUAACAUGUGAUUGAGAGUCAUAUUUAGCAGAAACCUGGCGAGCUCUUUGGGCUGAGGAAAUGGUGGGGAAGAAACAAAAGUAGCUUCACAGCAAUGGCAAUGGUGGUUGCUCCUACUCUACUUGUAUCAGCAACCGUUCCAGAUGCAUUCUCUGCUGCUACAGACAUUGCCGUGAGUAGCUUCAGGGAAACAGAGCGUACAAAUUGUUAUUACUGUCUUAUUGCAAAGGUUUUGUAAUUAGUCAUGUCUCUGAUGUGAAACAGGGGGGUUACUGUAUGACAAUGCUUUACGGGGUUCUCCCGCCAGCAAUGGCUUGGGCAAUGCAUAACAGAGAAUGUGAAGACACCAAUCAAAAGGCAUUGUCAAGAGCAAGGCCUGCACUGCUUGGGUUGGGACUCUUUGCAUGUGGGAUAGUGAUGGAGCAAAUUUAUCAAGAUCUCUCACUACUGCAUCCUUAGUAAGGAUUGAAGCCUCUGUUUUAAUAUUAACUAGGCAAUUGUAACUUCACUAUUCUUUGGAGGAGAACUGGGCUUCUCCCAAGCACUUUCUCCCACACUCUGUAUAUAAGCUUCCCACUAAAGUAUACUAAAGAUUUGCUUAACCAGAGUUGAGCAACAUAAUUGUAGUUAACAAGAGAUCUUCUGGGUAUUUGGAUGAAGUAUACACAUUUAACACACAGCAAAACUCAGUGACCUCAUGCACAUGUUUGCACAAGCGCCUUGAAGGUGCUUCCACUGCAAACUGGGGCUGAGCUUCCUGGAAGGCUGGCUGUGCGAUGUUCAGAUCAUAUCAUUCUGCAAAUUCUUCUGCAGUCAUAUAUAAGUUUUUAUCCAACAGCACUGACAAGAGUUCAUUUUCUGUUCAUAAAAUGGAGCUUAAAUGCAGCUUAUUGCAUCAAAAAAGGCCCUUGAUCGAAACUACUAUUAAUUUUUAGCACCAAUACAAAAAGUACAUAAUUGAUUGUUUAAUAUACCAAGGAACAAAGGCAGCCAAUCACUGACAAAUAUAAUCAAGACAUAGGAAAAUACAAGCAUCUUAUUUUAACCAAGGGGGAUUCCAAGACUCAAUAGAGACAAAAGGGGAAGGAGGGAAGAAGCAACACAGGCAAAAGCAAGUAUCCAGAUAUUUCGCCCAUCAGGUACAGCCAAGAUUUUAGGUCCUCACAGUAUUCACAUGCUUCAGAAGCAUGUGGACAACAUCAUGGGAAAUUCUUGCAGCCUCCACCUUCAGGUUCUGGAUCUUUGCAUCCGUUUCCAGCUCAAGGCGUUUCACAUUAGCACCAGAGUCCCCACUACUCUGUUUCAAGACAAAUGAGAACACACUGAAAACAUUAUUUCCAAACAGUGCCAUAGCAAUAGAAGUUGAAAAUUUCACCAACAUAUUUAUUAGUAGUAAUGAAUGCAGGACUUGAAUAUUAUGGUGAUAAACAUAGCUAUAAAAUUAUUCAGAAUAAUCCAAAUAUUAGUCAGAGUAAUUUAAAACUUUGUUGAUAAUCAUAAGAUAUUCCAUAUAAGCAAAAUAUGAUUGGGGUGGAUUCCCUUAAGGAAAAAACUACACAUAAUUCAGAACAUGUGAACCUGACAACUUUUUUUUGAUCAGUCAGAACCUGCCAACUUACAAAUCACAGUUAACAACUGAAAAUUGCCAGUGGGUUCAUCAUGAAAGUAGGCCUCACAGAAUAUUUAUCAAUAUUCUCUUUUCUUUUCUUUGUCUAUUUUUUUUUUUUACCUCUGCAACCUUUCUUUGAAAUUCUUUUUCCAUUCGAACACGGAAUUCAGCAAUCUCCUUCUCAGCCUCUUCUUUGGCCUGUUUAAGUCUAGCCAUUUUUGCUGAAAACAGAAACCAACAUGGGUAUGAACCAUUAGUUGGAACAGAGAAUUUAACUAAUACAGUGGCUUGUUGUAGAAAGCAAACAUGAAAUCAUACAAACUAUAUUCCAAGUUUAGCUCCAAACAUGAGGUUUCCAAUGCAUGGCAUCCAUAACUUGCAACUCAUGUUCUGUUUAGAAGAAUAUUCAAGAUAGAGAAUGAAGCAAGAAAUUACCAUUUCUGGCAGCAUUGACAAUAUGCUGAGCUUCUUGUUCUACAGCUAGCAAUUGUUGAAUUCCAUUCUGGCCUCUGUUGGCUUCCAUACUUGCUGAAAAUACCAAAGCAGCUAAAAAUUGAAGUAGCUUUCUAGAAAUGGAAACUCAGGAGGCAAAACUAAUAUUUAAGUAGCAUAUAUAGAGAAGACAGACAGUCCAUUAUUAUGGUGUAUUUCAUUUCAUGAGGUUGGAAAUGUCUGUUACAUCACCUGGCAGGACAGUUUUAUAGAAGAAUAUUUCCAGCAUAAAAUCAUCUAAGAAUAACCUCAAGGGAAGCAACUUUAUUCUAGAUGAAAUUGUAUUAUGACUAGUUCCAUUUUUUCAUGUAAGCAUGUAUCCAAAGUGUCCCAGAAUCAAAAGGCUUUAAAUCUUGGGAUGAUACUCAUUCUUAAGGAUAGCUCACCAUGUGCUGGUUCGGACUAUCAUAUCCUAAAUUCCUGGCAUGAAAUUUUAGCAUUUCCCCAAAAAUAUAAAUUAAAAAACACAAAAAUAUUGUUAAAGAAAAAAAAUUUGACUUUGGGUGGCUAAGAUGGUGGAUGAUAGAUCUAUUAUACUUGUUGAACUCAGGCCAUUGUUGCAUAACUAUCAUGCCUACUCUCUCUCAAAGACACCCUCACUCCCAUCCCUCCCCAACUGAAUAUCCAACACUACCUCUUCUUGUAUCCACAUCUGUUUCACAGAACAGAUUAUUAACAGAACAGAAUCAUGUCAAUGCAUAUCAAAAGAUAUGCCAAAAAAAAAAAAAAAUUGCAACAAGAAUUAGGACAUAUGUUGUAAUGAACACAACUCAAUGGGUCUCAUCAGCCAUCUGACAUUCUAAAAUCCAUCAUCCAGCCCUUUAUACCCACCUCUACUGCAUCAAUCCUCUUUUUAUUAAAGCCUACUAUAGAGAAGCAUAUAUGCUUUUUGUCAAGAUUAUUAGCAGCCUACCCAGCAUUCUAUGCUGCCAUUCAUAAAGCGACCCUCCUACUUGAAUUUGCUUAUUCAUUGAUGUUAACAACAGCACAAAUUUACCUUAGAAACUUGAAUCUAUCAAAAAGUAAGAGCACAAGAAAAAUCUAGAACAACAAAUAUACGAUAAAAAGAAAAGGAAAACCCAAUAAAUCAAUAAAUUCAAAUAAAUUUAUAACCCCCACUUCUGAUCACCCAAAAACAAACCCAGUAUUGCGCAUAUCUCACUUAACCCAACAAUAAAACACCGAUCAAGAUCAAAUUAGCAAUACCCAUAAAAAAAUUCACCCAAAAAAUAGAAAAAGAAGAACCGAAAACAGAUCAAGAAAAUGUAUUGAAACAUAAUUAAAGAUCUAGUCGUCUAUGAAGUGAAAGUGACAGUGCGAGUGAUCUGUGCUUGCUAUGAUAAAAUCAUAAAUAUAUUAAGAGAGAAGAAAGUCAUGAUAAUGUAGAAGAGAUGAUAUCUUCCAGACAGAGGAAAACGUGCCUGCAGAAGUUGCGGUGGUCUGCUGGUAGUCAAGAAAACUCUACCGGAAUUGAGCUACAGCAGAGGGAAGCUUCAUUAUGAUUUAUGAACUGCCCUUUUGGGAUUCGAAAUCACGGAUAUGCCCUUGCUUCUCAAUAGAAUUACGACAUACCCGUUUAGAAUCAUUGCAGUGUCUCUUUCCUAUGGGUGCCACGAAGAUGAGAGCUAAGUGGUAAUGAUGGAAUCUUUCAUUGUUAUCGGCGUGAUAUAUAAUUAGUAAAGGAGAUCCUGGGAAUUUAAUUCCCAAAUGAGAAAUUAAAAGAGAAAUUAAGAUGAGAAUAGGUUGCAUAUCAAGAGUAUGUUUGGCCAUAAUUUUAUUAACCUUUUGUAAUACUUGAAGGAUAAAAAAUUUUAAGUAUUAGAAAAAUUAGAAAUACUUCUUAAAACCGUUAUCAAACGAACUCCAAAUCAUAUGCGUAAUGCAUCUUCUUAUGAUUUAAAUUUAAGGCAAAUAUAUAAUGAUAUAAUUAUUAAGAAAAUGAUUUUAUUUUUACAAUUUUUGGGGACUAUAAACAAUCCCAACAUCCAAUAUGCCAUUAACGUGGUAUUUGUUUUAGUGUCUUAGCAUCGCCAUGUCUAGUCAAUGGAAUUAGUAAUUUUACAAAUUCCAUUAUCCAAUGGGUCGUCAAUAAGUUGUACUAGCAUUUUAAUGUCAUCACGAGUUGAUCAAUGGAGCUAAUGACUUUGUUGUGCUAACAAUUUGUAUCUACUUGUAUUCCAACCAUAUUCCCAAGCACACUAAAUUUGAAGCCCUUCCUUAAGAUAAGAAAAGAACCUAGUACAUGCAAAGUGCUCCAACUUAUGCAUACCCUUGCUUGAUGAAGUUAGCUUUGAUCGCAUUCUCCUAAGCACGCUCAUGGAUGGAAGGAAUAUUAUCACUUAGGGAUGGUAACUAAUUCCUCUUAACAAAAUCAAAUCGAUAAUCUUGGGGGCAAAAAUUCUCCAACCUACCUAUGUUAGUGUAAUCAAGGUCACCAAAUUGUAUGUCACACUCCCUACCAAAAGGUGAGAGGUUUUUGCUACAUCAAAUACUCUAUCACCCUUUUUACAUAGAAUAUCAAAGAUUAUGCCGACAAAUUAUAUAUUAAUGUAGAUGAAGAACCAUAUCUUAAAUUAUGAUUGAUUACCUUCUUUAUUGAAAUCACUGUGGUUUAUUUCCUAAGCACAAAAUCCUAUUGAUUUGUCAAUUUUUUUAUUUAAUAAAUAGAAUUUAAGAUUUGAAGGAAGAGAGGAGAGAAAGAAGUAAACUAAUGAUAAAUUAAGUUAAUUUGAUUCAAUAAUUAAAUCAGUUUUAAUAUAUUUCAAUUUAUUCAACUUCGGUUCAAUUCUUGGAUUGCUUAAAGAACCAAACUAAACUAAAUUUUGCCUAUUCUAUCCCCAUCCUCAACCCCAGCAUUCUGACUCUUGGAAGGAAAUACACUAACUCAUUUCCCAUCUAUCUACAAAAUAAAAAUACACAUAAUAAUUUUAGAAAAUAUUUUUAAUUUUUCUAAUGUUUAAAUGAUAAAAAAAAUUUAAUUAUUAGAAAAAUAAAAAACGCUUCUUAAAAUCACUGUCAAACAAGACUCUCAUUUUUAAACUAUUUUACAAUUGAAUCCAACAAAAGUUCAUUGCUAUUUUGGCAAAACCUCAUUAACUGAUGGUUGCAAAAAAAUACCCAAGCCACCACCCAAAUGAUGAGAAAACCAAAGAGCAAAGGCAAUACCUAUUAAUUAAAGACCAUCGCCUUAUAAGAGUGAUCAAUCUUGAGAAUUUUCUUCCAUGCCACCACGAGAAAGAUCAUUCAUGAUGAACAAAAAUUUAUGAAAAUUCAUGUUAACAGAACUAGACAAAAUCACUGGAGUUAUCGUUUAAAUUACCCAAAUAUGAGAAUGAAUGAAAAAUGGAGUAAGAUGUUUAUUCUCACUCCUCAUUCCAACAUACCCAACAUAACUUUUAAGAUUUUUAAAUUUGAAAUCUAACAAUUGGCACCAUAUAUUGGCAUGUGUUCUAACUUCUAAUUUCAUAUAUAGAAGACGAUAACUAAUAGCAAACAAUAGGAAGCUGCCAAAAAACAAUAAGCCUAUUUUUUAAAUUUCAUGAUAUAUAACUGAAAAAUAUAUCCCUCUAUAACUCCAUCAGCCCAUUUGAACUUACAAAUGGAGCCACCGAUGCCUUCAUUACACUCGACCACAAUGGGUAUUAUCCACUGCACCCCUAUCUUCAUUACCCCUUAACCGCACUUCUAUAAACAUCUUACAUGAAUAAAAACUUUUAUGGCAUUCUCAGGAUUCUUGAAUGGGGGGAAGAAGGAGAAUUUAAGUUACAAAAUACAAUUAAUAUAAUUGAACUCUGCCUUGCCUAAGCCUUUUUUAUACUCUGUUGUUUUCUGUAUCCAAAACCUAAUAACCAAAUCCAACAAAAUGCUGGUCAGAUCUCACAAUUCAUCCUUGACACUGUUAUUGCUCUCAUUGCCAUCCUUGGCCUCAGCACCCUUGGAGCUCUGGUAUGAAGCUGGUUUUUUGAGCUUGAAAGGGAUGGAUGCAUACUUCUUAAGGAACUUAUAGAAUGCCACCAAAGUACGGUCACCAUCAAAAGUGAUCUGCAGAACCCAAAAAUCAAAUAUCAGAUAAGAAAAUCAAGUAAUGCUAGAGGGCAUGGGUGAUACUGAUACCUGAGUUAACUAGACAAGAAUGAUGGGAAUUUAAACAGUAUCCACAAAAGUGACAAAUUGGAGAAAUGAAUUCCACUAACCGGAUCAAAGCUCUUAUUCCCAGCCGGGAAGAAAAGAAUUGUAGGGAACCCAUCAGUCUGCAAAAGAAAAACAACUUUCACCCAAAUGUUCUCGCUUUUCUCUCAUAAGCAUUUACUGUCACCCUUCAGUAUCCUCAAUUUUAUAAACCAAAACAAAUCAAUGGUGCAUACUAAAAUUUCCAUGGUUGCAUGUUAUCUGUCACACAUCAGUUCAAUGGGCUUCGAGGAGAAAAAUAAUAAGAGUAGGUCUAUGAAUGCUUUCACAUUUACAUCCUCUCCAUACCAUUCUGUGAGAUAAAUAAUGAUGUAUAAACAUAAAGGAAUCAGCGAUGCAAACAAGGAGCAGAAAUUAACCUGUCCAAAUAUAUAUUAAGGAGAAGAUAUAUCUAUAUGUUGUCAAAAUAACUCAAUCCAGGACAUUGUCACAAAAAAACAUUCAGAAAACUGAAAUUGACUAACUUGGCCAUGGUGCUUCUUAUGGACUCCAAAAAGCAUUUUUGAAGGGGAGGGAGUGGUAUGGCUUAUUCUUUGCCAACCACUUGCCCAGUUGAACUCCAAAACCAAAACUAGUUAUCAAUCAAAACAAGGGUUCUUGAAUGCACUCACAGACUCAUAUCCCACAUACUAGUGAAGCAGUUUUAACAAUAUAAACAGUCAGGGGAGACAAACAAUUACAAUAACUGAAAGCUUCUAAAUGAUACCUUUGCUCUUGGGUGCUCAUUUUUUGUCCCAUCCAUCUUAGCUAUAACAAGUGAAUCAAUGCCUCUCAAAUACUUGGCAAGCUUGUUGUAUGUUGGUUCCAAUGCUUGGCAAUACCCACACGAGGGAUCAUAUAUCUAAUUCAAACAAGAAAUAGAAAUCACAAAAAUACAUCAGAAUAGAUCCACAGAGAACAAUUAAAAACUUAAUGUAUAUUUGAUGAUUCAUCUAUUAACAUUAGCUACAUUACUACCUCAAGAAGAACAUCCUUUGAUUCAUCCAAAACAAGUUCAUCGAAAUUAUCACCGACAACAAUUUUUACAUCCCCGUCAUUCUGCAACAAUUAUACAUGGAAAGAAAGUUGGAUCAGAGGGAUGAGAGUGCUCAUCAAUCACCAGUGUCAUAAAGGAAGUCUUAACAACUUACUGUCUCUGGGAUUGGGUCUGACUUGUAAAAACGCUUAAGCUUGUCUUCCAAGAAAUCUUCGCCAAAUGACUAUGAGAUGAUAGAGAGAUAUGAUAGUUACAAUAGUAGAUCAUGAACCAUCAUGCUUAUUGGAAAAUGAAAAAAAUUAUGGAUAUUCGCGCUAUUUGCCCAGAAUUGCCCAGAAUAAAACUCGGAAUAAAAUAAAUAUAAAAUAAAACAUCAUACCUUAAUACUGGUCAAGGUUAAUUCACCAUCCAAUACAUACUUCUUGGCAUCAUCAUUUCCUGUGUAUGCAAGAACCUACAUGCAAAUGGAUGACAACCAAAAGUUGGUUCAAGUCGUGGAUGGAUCAAAUACAUGAAAGGACAAAUAGAAACAAAAGCAGGAACUGAGUAUGGGGAAAAACUCACUCUUGGAGCAUCUCCAGUUACACCAAAGUAAUCUGCAACUGAUUUACCAUCCUUGUUGUCCAUUUCCACAUACACAAAAAUAAGCUGCAAGGAACCCAGAAGAUCAUAUUAAUAAAUAAGUUAGCUGUUAAAAUGUCUGCUAGAAACAAGGAUUGAACAUAGACAGUGAUCACAUAAUAUAAAAGAGACAUGUCAAAGAAACUAAGAUAUUUCUUUCUUUUUCCACAAGUUCUAUAAUUAGUUGUUGUUGCUACAUUGUUUUAUUAAUUUUGCAGAGCCCAAAGGAUUCUCAUGGCUUUAAAAUGUGUCUACAUGACUAAGAUGAGUUCAUACAUUUAUAAUGUUAGAAACUUUUUCCUCUAUCCACCCCCCUCUCAUAUGCAGGCAAGACAUCUUCAUCAUGUCUCAUUGGAUUGCAGAGUCAAACAAAAACAGACACCCCUUAUAAGCCAAACAAACAGAGGCCCACAUUAAGGUCGAGGAUAAACUCUGAUACCAUUUAUAAUAACCUAUUUCCAACCAUGUAGAUAUUGUUGACUUUGGACCUACGACUUUAAAACUUGUUUACAUGUUAAAGAGGAGUUCAUAUAUAUAUAUAUAUGUGUGUGUGUGUGUGUGUGUAGUGUCAAGAACUUUUUCCCAACUCCUCGCAGUUCUUUUCCUCUUGACUGCAUAUGAACUUAAAGACAAAUAUUUAUAUCCCAUGCAGUACAUUCAAAAAACAAGCACACAUAUAACCAUGCCCCAAGACCUAGAUCUCAGGGGUUUUUUGUGUCUGCAACAUAGUGUCUAUAUUGGAACCCAACAUCCAGACCCAUGCUUGUAUUUGUAGUGAAGAAACGAUCACAUCCAAACAAUGACUAAAAGCACACAUUGCAUGGACUGUUUUUAAUAUGACAACAAUAUUCAAGGAGAAUAUGAUCAAAUGAAUUCUAGGUCAGUUUCUUGGUUUGAUAUUGAUCACAAACUAAAAUCUGGAUGAUUCAGACAGUUUUUCAUUUGGUGGGAAGAAACUUAUUAAUUAAAACAAAAGAAAGGAAAAUUCUAAAUGACUUAUCUACAUUAAAUUAAACAAGGCAAUGGUUAUUCACAUAGAUGGGUCUGAGUUCAGUAGAGGAACAAAACUUUAUGCUAUUAACAGAUGUUCAUAAUGCACUCCACAAAUAAUAAAUUUACCUUUCCCUUGAAAGCUUUUGCUGCUUCUUGAAAUUGAGGUAGAACAUUCUCUGAAUCCUUUGAAGUGGCAAAAAGCAACAACUGAGAAAGAAACAGAUACAUGUCAAAAUGGUGAAAUAUUAAAAUACCUAAAUGUAAGAGUAUGGAACCAGCAGGACUCACCUGUUUUUUAAUUGGAUUUUCGAAAAUCUGCCGAGAACUUUCCUUAGUAAAAAUGAUUACCAAAGGAUGCUUGUUUGCAAAUACAAACUCAGCUAUAGCCGAUUUGAUAAACUGACCAUCUGUUGACAUGAAAAUUGGAAGUAUAAGUAAAGGUCCCUCUGUAAUAUACAUUUGAAACCACCAGAGCAUUAAGGUGUUGAGCAGACUAACCAAAGUGGCUCAAUUUUUCAGCCUCCUUCUUUAGCAAUACCAGUGCAGGACGUUUGACUUGUUGAUCAAUGUGGAAAAGCUUUGCCACCUCUGGACUAGCAGUUUGAUAGAAGUUGACAUCAUCUUCCAAUCUUGAAGCAGCAGCCAACUCCUGACUCUCUGGACCCUGUAAAUAUUGUAGGAAAUAUAGUUGAGCAGUGUUUACAUCACAGAGGUUUAACAUGUUGACCUUCCAUAGCUUUCAUGAAAUAAUUCCACUAAUAUAGUAGUGAAGUUCAAAUAUAUGCAAGUUUUUUUAGUUAUCAAAAUCCAAUUAAAGGAAUUAAGGGGGAAAAAAUCUCAAACUCAGGAAUUGAUCUUUCAGUUUCUAAGGGCAAAUUGUUAGCAGUGCUCAAUCUCUCCAAAUUAUGGCAUUACAACCACCCAACCAGCAGAGGCUACAAAACUCUUGGAGACAUGAUAAGAUUAAGCAUCUAAUGCAGUUAAAUAAAAUCGCAGACAGUUUAUGUCAGUAAAAUAAUACAUCUGUUUCAUAAUUUCCAGGUUUCUAAGGUUUGAUCAUCUAAUUGGAAUUUGAUAAUCUCCAUAAAAGAAAAAUGGAUAACCUAGAGUAUUAUAGGAAAUAUUAUAUCAAUCAUCAUUGUGAUUUUUAAUUAUCCACCAAAACUACUGUGGAAUUGAAGGAGGAAGAACCUUCGCAGCAAAGAACUUCCAGGAAAAGAGAAUAAAAAGCUCCAGCUAUAUUUUCAAUAUGGACACUUGUUUUUGUUUUCCUUGCUAAUUCACUGUCAAGGUUGUUUGGAAUCAAACCACAAUCAGUAGAGUGCCUUUAGAUAAAUAGAGAAAUACCUCUAAACUGUCCAGGAACCCCAAAACAAUUUUUGAUUCUGUAGUCAAUAUGCUUUCUGCCUCCACUGUUGUUGUUAUGUUGUGGAUGCCAGACUCCAUCUUCUUCUUAACCCAAGCCACAAUAGCAUCUCUGUAUAUUAAAUUAAGAAGUAUUAAGACUGAUAAGGGACACAAAACAAGCCAUUCUUUUUCCACACUGCAUCUGCAAUGAUGAUCAAUCCAUAUUUUUAAAACUAUUACAUGAAAGAAUGCCCCAAAUUACAACAACUACUGCAGGUAAAUGUUAAAUCUUCCCCACUUGAAUUUUCAUCCAAACUUUCAUGACAUUAAAAAAUAAAAUAAAAUAAAAAACUCAACUGCUAUACAAUCUAGUUUCUUAUUUCAAUUUAUAUUGUAUUAUAUUUUGUAUUGAAAAUUUCGUCUUAAAUUUAGUUUAUGUUUUUUGUUCUGACUUGAGCCAUAUGAUCAAUCAGUGGCAACAAUGUCAAGGUUCAAGGUUGGUGUCCUCCAUCAGAAGACAAUGUCAAGUGCUGUAUGUUAAAAGGUACAUAAUUAUCUCAAGGCAAGACUUAAGCUUGUGCAAGAAAUACACAAGGUACUUGGGCAAUUGUGUAAGAGACUUGCAAACAUGUAUUAAAGUGGCUAAAGAGGUAAUUUUCUGCAUCUCAAUUGCACAAAUGCACAGGAAAGUCCAAAGAUGCAAUCUUUUAGCAUCUCAUUUGUGCACAUGCAUAAAAGGACUUGUACACUGUGCAAGCAAAUACAUGAAGUAGCAUCCCUUUUAUGCAUGUCUGCAAGAGAGGCAAGAUCAUUUUGUAAGUCUGGUGUUAAUCCAUUUCAAAUCUUUGGGUAUCAAAAGUUAGUUAUAAAGGUUGUCACAAAGAUCUAACCACCGAUAAAUAGGGCUUGAUCACUUUAUCCAUAACCAACUUUGUUGAGAACUCAAUGAGAGCAUCUUUGGGAAAAAUUUAGGGUUACUUGUCACGAAUUUAGGCCUUUCCUAAGCUCACGUGCGGCACUUAGACAACUCAAGCCACUUGAUGUUGCUAAAUCAGUCUUUCCCCAAUCUUAGCUUGCUAUGCUAAGCAACGCUACAUGACUUUGUAGCUACAAUGCACAAUGAAGGCAACACUUAAGAAAGAAAGUUUUGUAUUGCACAAGAAUGCUUUACAAUGCUAGGAAGCUCUCAACCUACUUGGUGUCUUGGCCAAAUGAGGUCACCUCCUAUUUAUAGGCACCCAAGGACCUCUUUGGAACCCACAAAGGUUCCACUGUACCCUAAAAUUCUCUAGAAUUCUCUAUACAAAGGUUAUGUACAACAUAUGUACAAGUGUAAUCUAGAACUCUCUAGAAUGCCUCACACACUUCCCUUGUCUUCCAUCCUUGUGUAGAGAUGUGUGGACAUCUCUAGACUUCUCUAAAAUCUUCCACACUCCUCCACUAGUAGACAAAUGUGGAUUGUUCUAAGAGGUUCCAGAAGCUUCCUGCUCUCCCAUAUAAGUUCAAAGGAGGGUUAUUUGAGCAAUUCUUGUGUACACUAGAGACAAUUUUACCACAACUUUGAAUUCUCAUUGGAUUUUUUAUCAAUGCAAUCUCAUUCAUUCUCAAAUGUAGAGGGAGUUCAAAGAUUUCGCAUGAAGGUAGGAGUCUUGAAGAAAUUUUAAAUGUUAGAAGAAAUCAAGGAUUGAUUGAAAAGGAGUAGCAUGGGCUAGGCAAACCAAAGAUUAAUGUAGUGGCUCAAAUUUGGUAAGAAAAACAUUUGUAUCAAUUUUUUUAUUAAUGGAUUGUUGAGAAGUCAAUUGAGUCUCAUGGUUUUUUACCUUGUGAAGACACUUUCCAUUAAAAUGAUUGAGUAAUUGUGGAUGUGUUUUUUAUUUGGAUUGUGAGAUACUAAUACUUUGAAUUCAUAAAAUAGAACAUUCCAUCAAUUGAGAGAAAUUUAGACAAAUUUUCUAUUGACAUCAAAGCAAGCUCGCUCAAAAUUUAUUUUGAUUCAAUCUGUAAAUUGCUUAAAAGAGAAGCAUCAAUAGCAAGACCUCAAUAUUUUGGGAUGACAACCACACUCAUUCAAAGGUUAAUACAUACAUACAUAUAUAUAUAACGGACAAGUUUAGAAUUCAGUUGAGCUUGGUUGAUCAUCACUUAUGGUUCUACAGAAGGAUACAAGUUCUAAUGUAUAGAAAAACCAAAACUAAGUUGGGACAAAAAUGAGAAUGAAAUGAGUGAGAACAAUGUGAAAGUCAUGUAAUCAAUCUUUAGUGCAUCAAGUUGUGACAAUUUUCAUAAAAUUUCUUCCUCUAAAUCUUCUAGGGGAGCUUGAGACAUAUCACAAUUAACUCAUAAGGGCACAAACAUGGUUAAAUGCCAAAACUCUUAAUGCCCUAUAACUAUAGUUAAUUUUAUUGAUUGGUUGGGAUCCUCUUAAGGUUGUUUUUGGGCUAGGUGACUUUUUGGGCCUCUUUAUUUUUCUUUAGCCUUUUUGGUGAUGGGUGUUUAGGUUUGUAUACCUUGCAAAGUUCUAUAUACCUUGAGUCGCUUUUUUGGCGUCUCUUUUUAAUGAAUUAUCUUUACCUAUCAAAAAAAAAAAAUGGUUCAAAUCCAUUCAAAUAGAAGACACUAAGACUCUUUUUAGAGAACAAUGCAAAGUUGAUGAGCAAAAUAAAUUAUACCUUUCCAGAUAUACCUUCAAUGGAGAUUAAGAAUCUUAAGAUAUAUUUUUAUGAUGUUAUAUAGCUCUAUUAGAUUCAUCUAAACACAUUUUUUUUUCCAAAAAAAAAAAAAAAUCAUUGGAAACUUCAAUGUGUUGAUUAUAAGGAUGUAGCCAUGGUUGACAUGAGUUGUUCAUAUGAAUUAACAGAAUUUCAAAUACUAUAAGCAAAAAACUUGAUUCAUAUUUUGCAUAUGGUUUGAUAAUGUAUUUGCCUAUCAAAAAUGAAAAAAAAAAAGUAGUUUUGAAAAUGUGUGAGCCAAGAUUAAUCAAUAAUCAACAUGAGAACAUCAAUUGAUAUAUCAAGGUUUUACUUAAUUAAUUCUAGAACAAUUAACGAUGAAUUUUCUAGAUUUCUACCUCCCUAUCUCCCUAUCCCUUGGUUGUUUGCCCAUGUUUAAUAAAAAUAAAUAAUAAAGGCAUUUGUCCAAAAGAAUUUGUGAUACACACUUUAAUUUCACCCAAAAUACCUGUGCCAAUAUGAUAUGACAAGUGUGUGGGUAUCGAUAUGGGGAUCAUUUUCAAAUACUCUUAUAUUGCUUUGGAUAUUCUCUAUUUUCAUUAUUUUUUCUUUUCUAAAGAUAAGGAUGAAAGAGAAAAGAAAGAGAACCUUGUUUUUUCCAAGGAAAUGUUAAUUUUUUGUUUCUAAUUGAAAAUUUCCCUUUAUUAUGUCAUAUCCAAAUAUCAUUCAAGAUCAUUUUUCAAUCGAAGCCCUGUAUCCAGAAUUUGAUAUAUGAAGGAUCAAAAAGCUAGAUACAUACUAGCAUUGGCCCCUGUACCCAAAUCCAUGUGACAAGCAAAAAAUAUUUCCCCCAUUUAAUAACCAAGUCCUAUGCCUAAGUAGGCGCACUAGGAUUUGUGUCAGAGAUGGUAAGAGAAUAGUCAAGAGCACAAAUGAUGAACAAUAACUUUUCUACCUACCCAAUAAUUAGGUUUCUUGGCUAACUAAAUAGCAAUGAGACGCAUCAAACAAUGGAUAUAGCAUGUAUGCAUAUGUAACUUAGUUGUUGCACCCUUUUUUGUUCGAGUCUAUGUUCCUAACAAAUGUCUUAGCAUCUAAUGUCCUAAAGCCAAUUGGCUUCAUGGUUGUUGCUCUUGAACUUACUACAUGGGCUAUCUAGAAAGCUUAAGAACUUUGUUGGGUAGUGCUUUGGUAAAAUAAAAUAAAGGUUAUAUAUUCGAUGACUAUGACUAUUAAGGACAACUGACUCCAAGUUGUCUAGUGAAUUAAAUAAGUCCAUAAGUUGAAUUUGUUGAUUUGAAGGGAGCAAAUUCCUAGUAAGACUUGGUACGUCAUUGAAUGUGCAAUUGAUACGUUUUAGAUUUCUUUUGUCUUUGUGUUUUUUUUUUUUUUUUUUCUGAUAGGUAUCAGAUUUAUUGUCUUAUUAUAAAAAAGAUUGCUUUCAAAACUAGUGUUGAGUGUAUCCUUAGUUUUUGGUUUGAUCAUUUUUAUAAGCUCAAGAGCAUGUCUUUGUGCUUGCUCAAUCUUGCAGUUGGCUUUGGCGAGCAUUUGCUUCAUUUUUGCAAGAUGGAUGACCUUACAUGAUUCCCAUUGACCCAAUAUGACAUGCUAAACAUCAUUCAGAAGUUCAAGUAUCAAUCUAGCUUUCGUAACAUUCAACUUAUGUAUUACAUUCAUAUUAGCAAUUCCAUCUUAAUUUUAGCUUUGGUUUUUAUAACAACUUGAAUCAUAUGAUCAAUCAAUGCCAACAAAGUUCAAGUUCAAGUCCAAGGUUGGUGUCUAUCAAUAAAAGACAAUGUCUAUAUGCUCUCCAAUAUUUUAAAAGGCUAAAAGCGGUCUCGAGGUGUUUUGCCUUAAUGAGAGGAAGCAUAACCUCAAGGAACAAGGCGUAAGCCUCAAUUUAAAACAUCAUAAUAAUAAUAAUAAUAGUAAAAAUAAAAAAUAUCUUAAAAUUAGAAAAAUACUAACAAAUCACAUGAAAAUUAAAUAAAAAGUAAAUCAUAUAGUAAAUAAUAAUCAAAUUAGUUGAAUGUCAUUUUCAAUAACUUCUAAUUUAGUUUUUCUUGUCUCUUCUAAAGUCCAACUCUCUCUCAUGCAUUUAUCAAAUAAUCUUCAAAACCACCAUCAUUAUCACUAGUAAGAUUCUCCAAUGAAUCAUAAUUAUAUCUCAUUACUCUAUUAUCCUCUCCAUCAAUGUUAUUAGCAACCCCUUUUUCUUUAUCCAUUAAUCACUGUGAUCUUUUUUUCCUUUAUCCAUCAAUAAUAAGAUAAUGAUUAUAUAUAAACUCGAUCACUAUAGUGAGCAACAAUUCUUUUAUUUCUUCUUCCCAAUCUCUUCCUUUCAUUUCCAUUUAAAGGAUUAAUUAGUAGUCAACAAAGCCCUUAUUUUUUAAAAAAAUUAAUCCUAAUCUUGGAUGCAAAACAAAACUUAUAAAUCUAUACCAAAACCCUCUUAACAAAUGUAUAAAAAAAGCCCAUAAAGGCCUUAAACCCAUUCAAACGUUUUGAAUAUUUAAGGCUUAAGCCUUAAUAGCCUCAAUGCUAUAACCUCAAGGCUAUAACCCUCAAUCGAGUGAGGCUUAAACCUUGAUUACCCUCUAUUAAGGCUAUAGCAUGAAGGCUAAUUUGCAUAGCCUAGCCUUGAGGCAAGCCUUUUAGAACAAUUGCCUCAAGGCACAAAAUAAUGGAUUGUAGAAUAGUGAUGCAAACUUAACCUUGAACAAGGAAGAUGCAUGCAUGUGUAAGGCACUUGUGCACAUGUACAAGAGUAGCCAAAGAGGCAGCUUCCUACAUCUCACUUGAGCACAUGAUCAAGGGACUGGCUCACAUGGGCAAGAAAGUUUAAAGACAAGUUCUUUAGCAUCUUACUUUCCACAUGUGCAAGAAAAUCUUGAACGCAUGUGUGCUAAGGACUCGCCCAAAUGCACAAGUGAGGCAAGAUCAAUUUAUGAUUCUAGUGCUAGUCUAUGUCAAUUCUUUGUGUGCCAAAAGAUAGUUAUGAAGGUUGCUAUGAAGCUCUAACCAACUAUAAAUAGGGUUUCAUCACUUAAUUUACAACUAACUUUAUUGAGAGCUCUUUAAAAGCAUCUUUGAGAAAAAUCUAGGGUUAGAUUUCCACAAUCUAUAUCUUGUGUGCACUUGAGACAAUUUUACCACAAUUUUGGAUCCUCCAUGUAUCAUUUAUUGGGGAUCUUGAAGCAAUUUCAAGUGUUGAAGAAAUUAAGGAUUGAUUGCAAAGAAAUUACACAAGAUGUGUAGGCAAGAUAUUCACCUAGUGGGGCAGAUUUAAAAAUACAAUCAUUUGGAUAUCCAUUCUUUGAGUAAUGGAUUGUUGAGAAACCGAAUGAGGCUUGAGGUUCUUGACUUGGCAAAGAGGAUUUCCAUGUAAAUUAUUAAGUAGAAUGUGGUUUUUUUUUCUAUAUAGUGUGACAUGUUAAUAAAUUGAAUUCAUUAAAUAGAACAUUCUAUUACUUGGGAGAAUCUUAAAAAAAAAAAUCAUAUAAGAUGUUAAACAAGAUGAAAAAGGAGAUUCCUUAUUUAGUGGUGUUAUUUCGUAAUUAAUAUUUAAAAUUACCUUGUAUCCUAAGAACUCUACUCCAUUUUAUAAGUUCUAAACAUCUGGGUUGUCUUCUAAUGUUAUAAAAGUUCUCAAUUACCAUAACAUUUUAAUAGCACGUAAUAAAAAUCAAAUGGAAAACUCAUCAAAGUGAGCUAUUUUCUUACUACAAAAUUCACUAAGGCUCCAUUUUAGAAAGUAUGAAGGAAAAUACAAUGAAAAGAAAAUGGAGGGGGAAAAUGGAAGACAAGAAAAGUUGAAGCAAAAUAAAAAUAGGUCCAAAUUAAAUGAAUUUUUUUACAUACCUCUCCAAAUUUAUUUAAUGAAGAAUGUGAAAAUAUAUGAAAUUUCAAAAAAAAAAAAAUUAUAUUUGAUUCCUUUGUGGUUUUCAAGAUAAAACAAAUAGGAAAAUUUGGAUUCUUUCCUACAUUUUUUUUUCCUUCUUUUUCCCAUUUUAAAGUACUCUUCAGGAUCCAAACGGAGCAUAAAUAAAUGAACUUAUUCGAACGGAACAGCAAUCACUCAUAUGGAAAAAUUGAAAAAUAAGUAUGGUUUUGCAUCUAUUUGCUUCUUCUCCGACUUAGCCAAGAUUUAACAAUUUAAGCAUAUCACAUUUUCCAACUCAAGUCAAAAUCUCCAACCCUCAGGUUGAUUGACAAGAAAACCACAGAAAAGCAAAAAAACAAAAAAAAUUGAAUCUUAUAUUCGGCAGCAUUGUUUUUCCCCAAAAAUAGAAAAACUCAGGCAUAAUUAAAAUGCAAGACACAUUUUGUUAAUUUCAUUUCUUUACCUACAUUUUCUCAGCACCCAAGGAGAGCACAUCCACAAGUCAAAAUUAAAAUCCAACAAAAGCAAAGGAAUUGAAGGAACUCACUUAGUCCUCAGUCCAGAAUAGGCCUUAUGAACUCCAUCAGCAUAGAAAUACAAAGUCGGAAACCCCUGCACCUCAUACUUGUCCAUGAGCCCACUCUCCUCCGUACCAUCAACCUUGGCGAGCACCGCCUCUCCCUUCAACUCAGUCGCCGCCUCCGCAUACUCCGGCGCCAGAGCCUUGCAAUGGCCGCACCACGGCGCAUAGAAUUCAACCAUCACGUAGGGAUUCCUCUCCAGGAACUCGCUGAAAUUCGCCUCCUUCAACACCACGACAUCCUUCUCGUCCACCACCUCGCGAUCCGAGUCGUCGUCGCCGCCGGCACCGUCUGAAUCGGAUAGGUCAUCGUCAUCGCCGCCGCCGCCGCCGUUGAAGCGGUUUGGAUCUGGAGGAGGCGAUACGACGUCGUUUUGGUCUUGGGAUUGGAGCAGAGUGAGAUCUUCUGGUUCGUCGGCUUUGGAGAGGGAAAAGGCAACGAAGGGAAGAAGAAUUAAGAUUGAUAAAAUCAUAACCACUCUUCCCGCCAUUCCGUAGAGCAGUGGAGAGAGUUUCGGACGGUACAGACGGACUACAGAGUCAGAGUGUAUGUGGAUCUGUGACGGAGGCUUAAAGUACAGCACUGUGACGUUGAAGAACACUACUGCUUGAAACGUGGCAGACUUUUAUUCGCAACAUUUUCCGAUCACACCCACAUAGCAAAUCAAAAGCGGACACGUCUGAGCAGUGACUCACAGUGCAAGGUUUGACUCAGGCUUUCUGGGACGUGGAAAACAAAAGAGGAGAACGAGAGUUAAGAGGGAAGUGGAAAAUGGGAAGAAGACUUAUAUGUAAAUAUAUUAUGUGAGUUUUUUAUCAAAAUAAUUCUUUUUUGAAAAAAAAACACCCAAUUUCGAUCGGUUUCAAAACACCCAAUCAUUGAUUACGUUUUUAAUGAAGGAAAAAAAAUAUCCAAAAAUAACAGAUUUAAAAAUAAAAAUAAAAAUAAAUGAAAAAAUCAUUUUUAGUGACUUCCCUUAUUAUUUUCAAAUAUAUUAUUCUUUUAAAUUAAAAUAAUAUUUGAUCUUACCCUUCUAAAUUAAAAUAAUAUCUAUAAUUAGAAUUUUUAAAAAAAUCAUAAAAACAAGUAUAAUUAAAAAAAAAAAUCCUAUUUGAAAUUUUUUUAUGUUAGUUGAUGAAAAUGAAAAAAGAAAAAAUCAUAACACACUUUAUUUGGUUUAUAUGAUGUUUUGAAAGUUAAAAAUUAAUGAAAACAAAUUGUUAUUCCUUAUUAUAAAUUUUUAUUUUAAAAAUAGUUUUUUAUUUUUUAAAUUAAAAACUAUUUUGAAAUCAUACCAUGGAAUAGACUCCAACUUUAUACUUGUUGCUUGAAAUUAUUAUUAUUAUUUAUUUUAUUUUAAAAAAUUACUUGUAGAGAAUAAUUACCAAAUAAACACAAAUUUUUAAAAACAAUUUUUUUUUUUUUUACAACUAUAAAUUGCAUGUGGCUCUAAUACCAUAAAGGAUUAGAGACAACUAUAAUUGGGUGAAAGCCUGACGAAGCAAUACUGCAUGGAGGUAGAAGGCUCAUGGAUCAUGAACUUCUGCUCUUGAAGAAGAAGUAAUGAAGGUGUCUAAGGAAUAAGCAUCAAUUAGCUCUAGGUCAACAGUCUGUGGUAAUACAGAGAAUGCAAGUAUCAUCUGGAAUGAUUGGACGUAAAGGGUCUGUAGGUGAUUUUUUAAGUCCAUCGUCAAAUCCUAACCCUAGACAGGUGGUGAAAACUACCAAGGUAGAGUAUGGUAAGGGUAGAGGGAACUUUCGAUGGAGUGGUGAAAUACAUAGAGAUCGGAAAGAACACUGCAUGCGUUCAAAGAACCUAACGGUGAUAGUUGAGUGGAAUGCUCCCUGUCUGGUUUAGAAUAAUAAAUUCCAAGCUACCAAAUAAGAGGUGGGGCUAAUCUCUAAAAGUUUCCUUGAACAAGCAGGGUAUUCAAAUAUUUAACGAAUGAUAAUCAAAAAGUGCAAUUGUAGAAACAAUAACAGAGAGAAUGAAGUUCUACAGCUGCAAAUUGGCAUUGGAUGAGGCCCCAUUUCAUAGUUUUCCCUAUGGGCAAAGUUUUAGGCAGAGCUACUCAGCUUGAAAGCUUUGAAAUUUGCAACAUGGCAAUUGUUCUCAAAAUGCUUUCUCCUCUCUACUCCCUCAAGGACCAAUCUGAUUCACUUUCUUUGGACUUGAAAACUAAGCAGCCGUGCCAAUUAAUACAUUCCUGAUCAACUUCAAGAUGUCCGAGACCUGAACAAAACCACAGCUACUUAAAAACACAUCUCCUUAAGAAAUUCAAGCAGACAUCAGCUGAUAUGCAUGCAUAAAUAUAUGUAUGGCUACAAGUGUUGUGUGCUUGCUAACUAGGUAUAGAACGCGACGAGUGCACAGCACAAUAAGUCUUCUCAUUGAUGUUCUGCCGCAACUAUGAUUCAAAUACAGCUGAACUAUUGAGGGUAUGCCUCAUAUUUCUGCUUACAUCCUUUGGAACAUGUCAUAGAGGGGAAAACGGUUGGUUCUAAUGAAAAAAAAAAUUAUUUUUCAUUUCAUGCCCUGCCUAAAUUCAUUACCAAAAAAAGACAGUUUUGAUUUCAUUGCAUUUUCUGGCAUUUUUCUAUGAAAAAGUAUAGCAGCCAUAGUUUUGAACAUUGGUAGCAAUACCAGAACCACAAGUUUGGACGCUUGGAAAACUGAAAAGCGAAAAAGCAAGCACCAGCCUUUUAUAGUUAGGUUUAAAUGGAUGUGCAAGAAAUGAAAGUGAUAUCAGAGGCCCAAUCCUAAAAGAUUCCAGGAGAUUAGCCUAAAAGCUUAUUUUUAGGCUUGAGCCUAACUUCUGUCAACAUUAGACUUGUUAAUGCUUUAAAUUAGAUUGACAAUUUUGUUCCAUUCAUACAUUGCUUCCCACACUACUUACUUUCUUGGGUCUCUACCAUCAUGAUUGAGUUUGAGAUGUUUGAAAGAUUAUUUCAAUGGAAGUAAGUAGGCAUUCAAUCUUAUGACAACGCACUAGCUAUUUAAAAUGCCAUGAAAUGGAAAUUCAAAGCAAAAUACACAAGAAAACAGCCAAAAAGGCAAAGGGAGGAGGGAUAUUUGAAUGUCCAUAAGGGAACGCUCAAACACCACCUAUUGUGCAUUUGAAUGUCCCACCAGCAUUCAAGUGCCCUCCUACAUGCAGUUGCAUGCUCAGCCAAAUUUCAUCCAAUUUCGUGAUUUUUAAUGUUUUAAAAUGUACCUUUUGGUAAUUUUACCUUUCAUAUGCUUACUCUAGGGACUUUGAUUUGUUGUUGAUGAGAUAAUGAAGAGAUAGUCAUUACUUUGCCUUAAAACUCCUAACUUUCAAAAUUUUCAAGAUUAUUCUUGGAAGUCAUCAUGGGAUUGACGACUAAGGAGUAAAAGGUGUUGCAUCAUGGACGUGAAAGAAGAAUGUAGGGGCUGAUAUCAAGUAAAACUAUGUAUCUUUUUUUUUAAAUCUAGUAGAUUUAAUAUACAGUGUCCAUUGUGUGGAUCAAUUAUUGUUAUACUUUUUUCAAAUUAUUUUUUAAUUCAAAAAUUGGAUCUUGAAUUGAUUGAAAUGCAAAAGAUAAAAAAGGUUUUACCCCCUUCCCAUCCCUUUGUAGGUAAUCCCGUUCUUUUCCUCUCUUUGGGCCUCUUGUACUGCAGCUUUUAAAGGAGUUCCUCUAAGUGUUUUACAACUCAACUGGGCUGCGAUUUGCGCUUCAAAAGUUGAGAGUGUUGGGGUUUCUCUUUGUUUUCACUUUUCUAAAGUUGGGUGGUUUCUACUUUGUUCAGUUUUUGUUUUUGUGGGAAGGACCUCUCAUCCUUCUCUUGUUUUCUUCUCUUUCUCUUGCAUCUUUUCUUCUAUUAAUAUAAUUUUCUUUGUUUCUGAUCAAAAAAAGAACAAACUUUCAAGAUUGAAAAAAGAUGAAGGCUGUGAAUAUAAUUUCCCUUUCAGAACAAGAGGAACCCAAAACCUUCCUAUGGUUGGAAGCUAGGAAAUAUAACUUACUACAAAUGCUGGUGGUAAGGCCAUGACCUGAGGAAUUCACAAUUUUCGCAAAGAUAUGGAAUAUGAGCUGCUCAGUUUUUGUGAGGUCUGGGUUAAAAUCAUUGGCUGAUGAUCAGAUGUUUCUGACUGGACUAGACAUUUUAGUACCACCACAUGAAAAUAUAAAACAUUUUCAACAUUAUGAACAUAGCUCACCUCAAAAUAUUGCUGCAAAACUGGUGAAUACCGAUCCAGUGUCAAGUAUAUUCUCUCAAGUAGGCCCAGAAGAACAUCCACUUGAUCACCCAACAGAUCCACCUAAAUGGAACAUGCCACCAUCUUUAGAAAAAUAAAUUUCAGUUUGAAAACUUACAAGCCAAAAUUCAAAAUAACUCCAUCUGCUAAUCAUGAACGUAAAAGAAAUGCAAACUGUAAUUGUAUUUUGGAACCUCAAUUUCAGCCUUCUGGAGAUUAUGGCACCUCCUCAUAAAAGCAUUCCUGUAAAGCGACUCUUUUUGGCUUAGUGAGGCAAUGAGUUCAACAAGUGAUUCUAAUUUAUUUUUUACCUCAUCCAACCUGUAAGAGGCACAAAGGAGUUGUUAGCUCAUGUAGAGGUACGUUUAUUUUUAAGUAUAAAUUGAAAUCAUAGCUAAAUUUGCUUGUGGGAAAUGCUUUUCAGUUCUUUAUACUAAUUUUGAUGUCAUCAAAUCCUUGUAACAUAAAAAAGUUCCAUUCUCAUGCAGCAACAUAUAUAUAGGUGAAAGAUCUCUCUUCAAGUGGUGGUGGUGGUGGUGGUGGUGAUGUAGUGAGAGCAGGAUUGCUAUCUUAGGAAAAGAAAAUAUAAUCAUCAUAUUAUGGACGCAAAAAUCUAAUGAAAGUUGUCAUCUACAAUUAAACAUGAUUUCAACUAUGAAACAAUGAUUAAUUCAAGUCCUUACAAAAUGCCUAAUCAUCAUAAAGAUUUAGCACACUUUGUUUAAUAAAAUAGAAACAAAUACAAAAAUGGUUCUGCAGAGUCUUGACAAUAAAACCAACAAGGGGAUCUGAUCAAAUGUUUGAAUUGCAUGUUCAUAAAACAGUAGAAAUUCAUCCAAAAUCUAAGUACCUCAAAGCAUUUGUUCUCAAUUUUUUGUUAACUGCAUCCUCAAAAUCCACAAGUAGUUGUGGAAAUCCAAUGAAAUUGGAGAACGCAAAAUUAGAUGGGUCUGACUGUGUUUCUUUUGGUGGGCAUGGGUGCACUUCAUCACGUGCAACACCUUCAAUAGGAGUCAUCUGAUCAUGAACCUUUACCAAAUUGCCUACAUCUAUGCCUAUACUAGAACCCAAGUUGCUCAAUAGAUCCUUACUCAUAAUUAACUGCUGCAAAGUCUUCUCUAUUUUGCUAAUUACAGAACUGAUCAUGCUUUCCUCCUCAGUCAACAGCUCUUCAAACAAGUCAUCCCACUUCAACCAUCCACAUCGCAACCCCACAAGGUUAAUAUAUGCAUUAUGUUCCUUUAAUUUAGAGCUUGCACUCAGCAUCAAGUCUUCCCCCAUAUAAAAAGAUUUUAGCAGUGAAUUUAGUUUCUGAAUCAAACUUCCAUCUCCACUUUCCUCUUCAAUUCCAUAUAACUUGUUAGCAGAGAACAAGUUGCCUGGAAAAUUUUCUGGAUUCUGGCCUUCAGAUUCUCUUGGAAAGAUAUAAGCAUCUUUCAUUGCCUCAACAAUGACAUAUUUAUAUAUAUCUUCCUCAAUGAGGCUCCCCAUGUUAUAAGCAUCUAUAUCCAUUCUCCAAUUCUGAACCAUUUCCUUGAGGAAAACCAUACAAAUGUCCUCCUUCACUAGGGUUUCUAAACUUUGAGAUAACUCAUUGGUAAAUGGGAAGUUGCACAGAGAAUUGUCCAGAACUCUAACCCCUUGCUGUUGACUUAAUGGGGAAUUGGAGAUGUUCACAAUAUCUUUUAUAGUCUCAUCAAAGACAAUCCAAUAUAUAUCUUCCCUAAGAAGACUCUCAGACUUAUAACUUUCUAUGACCUUGUUCCAUUCCUCAACCAUUUCCAUGAUGAAAACUGCAUAUACAUCCUCCCUUAUUAUGCCCUCCAAGUUAUGCAACAACAUAUUUGUAGAUGCUGAGUCUUCCAGACAGCUAACACCAGCUUUGGCACCCUGAUUUUUUGCUAAUGCAAAGGCAUGAGUACAGCCAAAAUCCUUAACUGCUUCAUUGAAGAUAAUGUAAUAUAUUUCUUCCCGGAUCUGGGCUUCAGCUUCACUGCUUUCAAGGUUCUGGUUCCAAUCAAUGACCAUUUCCCUAAAGAUGUCCCGACAUAUACACUCCCUUAUCAGGGUCUCCGCAUCAUGAUUAUAGAACUUGAUAUAAAAUUCUUUCAUCAAUCCUUUAAAAAGAAUGACGUUAGUUGCUUCCAUUAUCAUGGAUUGCAAAGCUAAAUCUUCCACAUCUUGCUUUAGUUUCUUUAUCUCAGUCUGCAGUUCUUCAUCUCCUGCAAGAGAAACUGUAUCGCUACCCACUUUCUCCAUAACAUCUUCUAAAGUAUCAAUUCCCAUUUCCAAUUGAUCAGUUAUAUCAAGUCUUGAUAACCUUUUCUCAGGAAAAUUUUGCUCCUCAUGGAUGCCAAAAUCAUCAUGAAAAGUUUCACCUAACUCAGAUUUCCAUUUGAUUAAAUUGUUCAAUUUUACAAUAACUUCUUCAAUCCUUCUUUUUGGAUCAUCAGGAUCCUUGUCACUCCUGCGAGAUGAAAGUCCCUUCUCUCGGAGAAUUUCUCCCUUCACCAAAUUCAGCUCUUCACAUUUUUUCCUGAUAAUGGAUUCAUGGCUCUUUAUCAUCUUUGCAACAAGGUGGCUUCUGUCCCCUUCUAGAUCCUCUUCAAGUGCCUUUUCCAUAUGGUCCAAUUCUUCAACCUUUGAGGAGGAAUUAUCAGGUUUGCCAUAAAUUUUGCAUUCUGGUAAACGGUUUUCUCUUGCAUGUUGAGAGAUCUUAAACCCAGUAUUUGUUUGGGAUGAAGGAGCUAAAGUUUCAUGAUGGUUGGUACUAUUUAUCUGCACCUCAUUUUGACCACCAAGAGGCACAAGUUCAUCACGCAAAAUAGUAAUAUCAUUCACUAAAUCAGUCCAUUGCUCACUUAAGAAGAAAAGAGAAGCUUGCUUUUUGCACUUCCUCAUUUCCCCUUCAAAAUUCUCCCCAAAAUCCCUCAUGAAGCCUUUAGUCAAGAUGGAUAUUGUGUCUUUCUCAAUAGUCCACCUCCAUUGCUGCUCUAUUGUUCCCACCUCAGACAAGAAAAUUGCAUUCUGCAUCUUUCCAAAAGUAACGUCCAAAGCUUCUCUUAGGCUCUCUAGUUCCGAGCUCAUUUGAUCGAAUCCUAUGUUCACUUCUGGCCUGAUGGAAUAAUUUGAGCGCUCGCUCUCACUAUCGUUCACCUUCUCACAAAGCUCAAUUUCAUUACUUUCAAUAGACCAACCCUGUUCCUUGUCUCCCAGUCCAGAAUCAGCCUCAAGAUUUACCAGAGUGGAAGGGGCCUGGUUGACCUUCCUCAUCCCACUUGUUAUAUUCAUCCGCUCAUCCUCAAGCUUUUGUUUAAUAUUCCAAACCCUCUGAUCUACAUUAUUCUUUAAUUCACAAAGCUCACCUUCUCUAUUUUCAUCCCCACUUAUCCGAUUGCUCAAAAUAAACUCUUGAAGGCCCUCACUCUUUGUUUUUUCAACCUCAAGGUCAGUACAAAGGGAGAUUAACUCUGCUUCUUUUAGUUCCAAUGCUUGCCUAAGCUUCAACUCAUUCUCUAACCUCUCAGUUAACUCUCUAUCCUUCUCUGAGAGAGCAAACUCAGUUUCCUUAAGACGUCCUCGAAGCCGGUCUCUAAUUUCUUUCACAUCCAGGAGCAUCUUUUCAUGGCAGCUUUCAGGGAUGUAGUUGUCCAUCUCUUCUUCGACAAAAUUCAAACAACCUUCCAAUUGCAUUAUUGCCAAUUCGUAAAACUUUGUUAUCUCAUUCAAACGCCCUAUAUCUCCUUCUUUGGACUUGACUUUUUCAUGGGCUUUAUCCAUUGCAGAGUGCAAAAUUGACAUCAUAAUAGAAUCAGUUAUAGAAACCCUUAAUCUACAAUCCAUCCCAGCAAAAAACCCAUCCAUUAUUCCUAGAGAAAAAAAAGAAGUAAAAGAAAUAUGUCACCAAAUCAAAGCAAUGAGCAGUUAUCUAUGGCAAGAAACAAAACAGAGUAUAGACAUGCAUAAAAUAAACAAAGAGUUUACAUAAUUUCUUUACAAAAAAUAUCAGAAAAUUGUCUGUAAAACCAAAGAAUAGGAUCUAACCAGGUUGGAUGUGUCAACUCACCUGUUCCAAGAUGUUGCAAGGUCCACUCCUAUGUGUCUCUCUCUCUCCAGGUGUUUGUCAGAGCUGCUUUUGCUCUCCCUAUGUCCCUACCUCAUGAAAUUCGGCCAUGUGUUAGUUGGAAUAGGUUAGAAGACCAAGUCAUGUGGCACUUUACCUGGGAUUUACCCAGAGCAAGUGAUCAACAAACAAACUUCUAUAAAAACCCCAUCAGAUCUUAGAGGCUUGGCCACAGUUCCUCGAGAAACUUCAUGAAUGUUAGGAAAGCCCAUCUUAGGAAACAAUAGCACAGUUCAAGACUUUAGAGUUUGUGGGCUCAUUAUUAGAAUUACAAAAUGCCAUUUUCAGGUUAAAUCUAUGCUGGAUCCCAUAUUUCAUUCUUAGGCUGGAAGCCAACACAGCCCAGAUCACCAUAAGCAUGUACCCUCAUUCACAUUUAUGAGGUUCACUCUUAUGCUCUAAUUUCCAACUUCUAACCACAUCCAUGGUGUUUCACAUAUUUCUCUUUCCAACCAUUAAAUCUGGUUGGUGGAAGAGUCAUUUCCUUGACGUUUUCCAACCACCACCUCCUUCUGUCAUCAUCUUGGUUUCCAUUUCCAUCACCCAGUACCCCUCCAACCUCAGUAGUGAUACAACCACACCUUCACAUUCCAAGAGAAAUUAGCAAACUUGAGUGCUAAAACGUCUCCUCUGGAAUAAAAUUAAGAACAACAUAAAAUAUAUGUAAGGAUUCAGAAAACCCUCCUCCAGCUCUGAUGUAGAAUUGAGAAAUAUUGGUUUACAUCCCAGAACAUUAAAAAUGUAGGUAUAGAUUAUUUGUCUCACAAUGAUCGAUACCCUUAUAUCACUUAUCAGAACUGAAAAAGAGUUGAAGCAUACAGCUUAUUUUAAAGGCAUAAACUAGUAUAUGACACGGCAUGUUAUAACUUAUAAUUGGCAUCAACGGCGCCUACGCGCCACCAUCUCCACCACCGGCAGCGGCACUUUCGGCUCUGGUUCGAAGCCACUCGACGAUGUCCCCAAACACCAACUCUACAUUCUCAUCAGGCUCACCCACCAACUGGUGGAUCAUAUCGGGGUAGAUCUUCAGCGUCUUAUCCUUACUCGGGGCGCGUCGGUACAGCUCCUCCACGCACGCCGGAUCGCACACCACGUCAUCGGCGCCGUGCACCACUAGAAACGGCACCUCCAUCUCACCGUAUCUGUUUUGGAUCUCUCGGCACACUCUCAGAAGCUCCUGCGCUGUGGCGGCUCUCGGCCUCGCCACCGGACGGCGCGGGCUCGCCAGGGCCAGGUUCCGCUUCCACUCCACCUUGAACGACAACUGCGGCAAGGCGCCGCGCGUGGGCACCACGCGCCACGUGGGGACCACGGCGGCCAAGAGGAACAGAAAGUGCUCUAAUGGCCAAGGGGGUUUGAACUUGGGGCUUAUUCCGCACAUGGCGCCGUUAAGCACGAGGCCGUCCCAGGGGCGGCUAGGUCCGCGGCGGAGAGUGAUGAGGAGGGCGAUGGCCCCGCCGAGGGACUCGGAGUAGAGGAAGGAGGGGAGGGAUGGCGCGUGGCGGGCACGGAAGGAGUCGAAGAAGGCGAUGCAGUCAUCGACGACAGGGUUGAUGUCGGGGAUAUGGGCAACGAGGCCGUCGGAGAAGCCGUGGCCCUGGUGAUCGAUGGCGCAGGUGGCGAAACCGGCUUUGGUGAAAUGGACGGCCGUGAGCUGGAGAAACCAGCUGGACUCGCCGGUGAAACCGUGGACGACGGCAAGAGUACCGAUAAUUUUAGUAGGAGGGAGGGGAGUCCAGGACUGCGUGAAGAGCUUCAUGCCCCUGGAGUUGGUGAUGUACUCGGAGGAGUGAGUGACCGAGUGACGAGCGUAGAACUCGGAGGGAGAGAGCGAGCCAAAGGGGCUCUGCUCGUUGGCCUCAGCCACUGGGUGCACCAUUGUUGGCUAAAAUGCGCCUGGACUGAGAGGCUAGUAGUAUCAACUAUCAAGUGAAGCGCAUAUGCAGAGAGAAGAGGAGGGAGGGUUGUUGAAAACGGGUGGGGUGGAUUUAUUAAUAUUCAAUGCCUCCAUUCUUGGACAUUAUUCUGUGAAUUUCGUCUCAAAUUUCUGCGACUCUUUCAAAUAUGGACUAUUUGGACAGACGAUGAAUCCCAAGCAACUCAAAAUUUCAAAAAUAACCCUGCUAUUAACUUCUUCCUUUUUUCUUUUUCUUUUUUUAACGUCUUUACCUCAAUUUAUUUUCCUCCAAAACCACCAUAUCCCUCUGGUCUAUUUUCCUCCAAAUGUCUCUUUUCGUCUUUUCUCUAUGUUUUAUUCCAAAAAAAAUUGAGAGAAAAUGUGAUGAAGAGAAAAUAAAAAGGAAAAGUAGUAGCUGAAAAUUAAAAAAUAAAAUAAAAUAAAAUAAAUAAAUUAUUUUUAUAUAUUAUUUUAUUUAAUUAAAUUUUUUAUAUAAACAUUAAAUAAUUUAAAUAUAUAUAUAAACUUUUAUUUAAUUUUAAUUAUAUUUUAUUUUCUUUCACAAAAACUAAACAUAAAAAAUCAUUUUCCUCUAAUUUUUACAAUUUUAUCUAAUUUCCUUGACUUUUUUUUUUCUAUCUUACUAAUUUUAAGUUAGUUUUAUUUUGUUAUCAUCGAGAUUGCACUAAUUUUCUCUUACCACUAUCAAUUUUUGUUUAUAUUUCUCUCACUAAGACGCUCUCACCCAGUGAUAAAGAAAAAUCGAUAAUUAUGGAUAUAUCGAUACUUUGAUUUUACAGAUAUAUCGAUAUAUUUUGAAAAAAAAAAUUGAUAAGUUUAAAAUUUAUUAAAACUUAUGAAAAUAUAAGAAAAACAUGUAAUUAGAAGUAUAAUAAACAUUUUAAAGUUAUUUUGUUGGAUAAUUUGAUAUAUAUGUAUGUGUUUGAAAAUUGAAAUUUUAUAAAUUAUUUGAAAAUCGAAGUUUUGAAAAUUGGAGUUUUGAAAAUUAUUUAAAAAAUUAAGUUUUGAAAAUUAAAUUUUGACACAAAAAUAUGAAAAAUUAAAAGGAUGACAUUUGACCUUUAGGGUAGUGCACUGGAAGGUGGCCGUGCAUAGCCAUGUGGGAGUGAGUCUCAGGGUAGAGAGAUGCUGGUAGGAAUGGGUAGAACUCUGGUGUGCUGCUGAAACUUCUUUAGAUCAAAGCAUCAAGUAGCUACAAUCUCUUCAUAAAUAUAAGCUUUCAUCAUUGAAAGGUGAUGGAAAUCUCCAUUAAAAUCAAGUUUUCAUCUCGGCUCAAAAUGGCAUAAAAAAAUUCAAGAGCAUUAUCCACUAAAGCACACACUCAUGUAGCCAUAUAUUCUACAUUAUUUCAACCACCAGAAAACCAUUUGAUGGCUACCACUUUCAACCAUUAAACUUCCCAUAUUGUAUCCACUUUAAACAAUUACAAGAAUUAUCCAUUAUGAAACCACAACUUCCUUAAUGUUCAGCCAUAAGAAUCUUCAUUAUGCAACCACAAUUUCCCCUUAACUCCAUUAAAAAUUUAGCUGCCAAUACACCUUAUGCAGCUAUCGAAAUUCAUUUUUUUAACAUUGAAACUUCAACCACAUUCUCUAUUGAAACACGCACUGAAAUUCAGCUACAUUCCCUCACUACCACCAUAUGCGAUCCAUAAUAUCACCUAAACUCCACUGAAAAUUCAACCGCCAAUACACCUUAUGCAACCACCAAAAUUCAUCUUUUUACCAUUGGAAAUUCAGUCACAUUCUUUAUUGAAACAUGCACUCAAAUUCAACUACAUUCCCUCACUGGAUUCUCACCAUAAAAACCACCAUAUGCAGCCCACAAUAUCACCUAAACUCCAUUAAAAAUUCAGUCUCCAAGAAUCCACUAACAACAAUGAAAAUUCAGUAAGUUUUGGUUAGCUUCCGCAAGCACAAGUGGAAGAGUAGAACUCCACUUUCAGCAAAUAAAAAAAAAAUUCUCAUUUUCUCCAACCAUAGCCCGGCCAUUGAUGAUAUCAUUCCACCAUCAACAAGAAACAUAGCAAUAAAUAGAGAAGAAUAAAAAAAAAAAUCAAAAACAGAGUAUGAACUUAGCUCUUUUUCAUGAAUUGUCAAAGAGCUAGGAACAGGUGGAUUUAGCAAAGAAAGCAAGCAUGAUUCUUAUAUAUAUCAAGUCCAGGGAUGGAGUCAUGCAUCAACUACUUACAGGAGGAGUCAAGGAAACCAAGAUAAAAUCAAAUAGAGCAUGUAUGCAAACAAACAGAUUCAGCCAAACAGACUAAAAAUCCUUAAUGUCCAAACCAAACAAUAAAAUUACACCCAAGAAUCCGCAGAAAAAUGUAGGAGAAUGAUAUGAAAAUGAGGAAAUGUGAGGUUCACAAAGACCUUACUUGGGAGGCCUUUCCUCGAGCAAGACUUUUUUCGUCCAGCUUCCCAAUUCUUUUUCCUCUGCUCCUACUCUCUCUAUCUCACAGUUUUUCUUGUUUUCCUUGCAAGAAUAUCAGUAGACUCACAACUCUCCUUUUUUCCCUCAAGCUCCCCAAUGGAUCCUCUCUAACAGCUCAUCAUCGGAAAAUGUUCCCCCUAAACUAGAAUCCGAAUCUUCUCUUUUCUUAAUGUCUCUUAUCUGAUCUAUCUUCCAUUACCUCACUCUCUUGAAAUCACUCCCUUAUAACCCUCUAGUUCUCCCUUUCUUUGCUCUGUUUUUCUUUCUUCUUUUUUUUUCAGUCUCUGGCUCCUUCCAAAAACUCGUUUUCUGCAACUCUCUUCUUCUCGAAUCCCUUUCUUUGUCACACUCCUCCGGUCUCCUCCUUCUUCUCUAUCUAAUGCUCAGAUCAUCAUCAUCUUAAACUCCCUCCUUCCAGCCAUCUCUCUCUUCCCCUUUUUGCUCUGUUUUUCUUCCAUUCCCAGUCUCUACCUGUUCCACUGCUUACCCUCUACUCCCCUACCCUCUAUUCAAAAAAUGUCUCCAUCUCAACCACCACCAUGGCAAGGUGGUAUUGUGUUUUUGCCACAUGUCCCAUGCAGUUCUGAGCACUUAUGGAGGUUGUCUCCCACUCCUCCAAAUGAAAACAACAAAAAAAAAAAAACCAGUUCCUCUCCGGUCCGAAAAGAGGUCUAAAGUAUGAUAUAAUUUAUUAUAUUUGAUAAUAAUAUGGUAUGAGUGAGUAAAAAAAAAAUGUAAAUUCUAUAAGUAUAAAUUUAUUAUUAAAUUACAUCAAAUAUUAUCCAAUAAUAAUAUUAUAAUAUAUCUAAUUUUAAAAUAUAUUUAAUAUUAAAAUUAUGAUACAUUUAAUUUAAUUUAAUUGUAUUAAAUGGGAUAAAAUAAAUGAUGAUAUAUGUAUAAUUUUUUUAUAUUUAAUUUGUAUAUUAAUAAUAUUUAAAAUACUAUGAAAAAAUUAUCAUAAUAAUUUUUAUAUUUUUGGUAAUUAAUUAAAAAAUUAUUUGAUUAUAAAAUAAUUAUCUUUUAAUAAUUUUUUUAUAGGAUAACUUUUAAUAUAAAUACUUUAAGAUAUUUUAAAAGUUAAUAUAUAUUACACCACUUAAAAUAAGGUGACUUGGACUCCUCAACUGCGUAGAAAAUAAGGUGAGUUUUGAUCGCAUUUGACUGGAGUUGGUAGCAAUUUUUUUUGCCAAAAUUUCGACAAAAAUUUAUAUUUUCCUUGCUUCACUGAUUAAUAGGUAAAUGUUGAAAUCUCGGCGAAAUUUUGGUGAAAAAUGUCAAUUUUUUUGGAUAUUUCUGGUCUCUAACAUUUCGAUCCUCUAUUUUGUUUCCAUGACUACCGAAAACGUGAUAUUUCGGCGAAAUUUUUUCAAAAUUUAUGGAAAUUUUCAUCCAUGCUCUCACCUCAUGGUACUCUCAUUUAUAAGUUGCAAUCCUCUUUUAAAAAAGCAUGAAGAAAAAUAUAUGACAAGAUCAAACAAAAGUAAAUAUAUAUAUAUAUAUAUAUAACUAUGACAAGAUUAAAUAAAAGUAAAAAAAUAAUAAUAAUGAUAACUGAAACAACGUUAGGUUGCUAUUCUUAGCACUUAUGGUUGUACGGAAAUUAUGAAAUUUUAGACUAAAACUCAAUGAAAUUACUUGUAAAAGAUAUUUAUAUGAAUUGAAGUGAUAUUCAUAUUUAACAUUAUAAAUUUGAAUGUCACAAGUGUCAAGUUUUUUAUAGAUGAAACUUAAGGACAAUUAAGUAUGGCUUAAAUAUUGAUGGACAAUUCAAUGAUAUUGAGUUGCUUGCAAGGAAUGUUAACACCAAUUAAGUCUAACAUUGUUUAUCAGUACUAAUAUUCAAAUCAUUUUUUGUUAGAAUGAUUAAUAAAGUGAAAAUAAUGUUUCAAAAGAGAUUGGGUGCAAAAUGAAAAUAUGUACCACUUUGAAGGUUGUUAAGGUAAGGAUAAUGGGAUUAAGAAGAAUACGACCUAUGAAAAAUUCUUAAGAUUUAUAUGUCACAUUCUAAAAGCAAAUCCAACAUAGUGUCAUUAUUCAAUGAAAUAAGUAUUCAAUGUUAAUAUACCAACUCCCAUACAACUAAGUUAUUAUGGGGAUGUGAAAUUUUUCAUUCAUUUAAAUUACACAAAUGAUAGGUUACCAAUUCUAUUAAAUAUCACAAUAGAAAAGAGAAUAAAUGGGCAUGAAUCAAUCAUCCAUAUUAAUUUUGAUUAUCAUACGUAAUUUGAGUUUGAGAAAGAAAUCGAUGGAGACCUUAUAUCCAUACAUACAAGUAAACCUCAAAGUGACUUUGAUGAUGAAAGCAAAACAAUAUUAAAUUAUAAUCCACUUAAUUGUUUUGAUAGUAAUGACUUGAACAUUAACAAGGAUGAUGACGAUGGUGGGAUGAAUGUUAACCCUAUUGAGAGUGGCCAAAUGACCCAAAUUAAUUAAAUAAAAAAGACAACCAUAGAAUAUGAAAUUAAUGAAAAUUAAACAUAAGGAAAGAGUUAUACUAGUGUCACUUGUUAUAACCAUAUGAAAGACCACCAAAUAUGCUAUAAUAAGAAAGAAAUGCAAAAAGGAGUUAUACAUGAUUACUUAGAAAGUAAAGUUUCAAUUUUAAACAUUAAAACCUUCAACCAUGUCAUUACAUGUGCAAUCAAAUUAAGAAAUUCUUAUUUAUUUGAAAUAAGGAAAUAUUAUUCAAUAUAUGCAUGUAGCUAAGACAGUAUCUCCCCUUCUCAUCAUCAUGCAAAUAUUUGGUUGGUCAUCAACUCAAUCAAAACACAUUGUAACGUUUGAAAUAAGUAUAGGGUGGGGAUCAACUAGGUCUAAGUGAAAAUCAAAAAACAAUAAAUCCAAGCUAAUUAGAAUUGACCAAAUCAGUUUGGUUUUCAGUUUCUUUAUCUCCUAAUCAAUAAAAUCCAAAAAAAAACCAACAUUUUGAGACUAAUAUCUCUUGUGGUUUAUAAUUAUUCAAUGUUUGAUGAGUUUUUUAUAUUACACUCUAUUAAAUUAAUUUAUUAUUAGAAGACUAUGGUCACAUUGAUUUCUAAAUGUACUCAUUAUAUUUUGGGUUAUAAUUUUUAAAUGUAUUUUUAAUGUCAAAUCAAAGUUGGUUUUAAUUACUUUUAAAAACAAAUUGAACUUAAGGCUUAAAUUAAUUUGUAUCCAACCGAUCAUUUCAAUAGAACUAAAUCAAAUCAACCUCAAAUAAGCUUGGUUUAGUUGAGUUUUUUCAUCAUUGAAAUGUCAAUUUGAUUUUGAUUCAAGCAAAAAAUCAACCAUAUCAACUCGAUUUAACUUUUCUUUUAAAAAAAAUUGAUUAAAGCAUGCAUUUUUACACUCCUAGGAUAAACUAUAACGAGGCAUAGAGAGAGAGAGAAUUUGCUCUAAAUUUUAUUUGAGGAUCACUAAAUAAGGGAUUUUAUUGUGUUUUACCAUCUUAUAAUUAGGUCUUAUAUAUAAAGCAAAAGAAUCAUGAUAUCGUUAUCAAUAUAAUUAUUAACCAUGACAAUUAAUUUAAGUAUUUUUUAUGGCUUUUGGUGUCUAUCUUUUUGGGUUUCACACAUCAAUAAGGCAUGUUAUUUCAAUCAAUAAAACUUUUUCAAUGACAAAAUUGUUAUGAAUUUUGUUUGUUGCAGCAUGCAAGGAUGACAAUAAUCAUAAAUGUCCUUUGUGUUUUAGAAUUGUGAUUCUAAAAAUGAUUCUUCUUGGGAAUGUCUCCUUAUAAAAUUGUAUGAAGUGAUUGAAGAUGUUGAUGAUUUAGUCAUGGUUUUGGAUCAUCACAACAACAUUAAAAAGUUGUGCAAAAAGUGUUUCCCUGUGUAAGCCAUGGUGUAUGUAGUUAUUGUACAAAAUAAAACUUCAAAACAAACUUUAAAAAUGUCAUUGUUAGCCCAAGGGUUCUUCUAAUCAGGUUUUGAUGAUAACAAACCGUGGUUAAGUGACUAAUUGUUUUAAAUUGUUAAGAAUCUCAGGUAUAAUCUCAGGGACCAAACGAAUACGGGAUAAAGACCAUUUGGAAGACUUGUGAUCAUAGGAAAUGAAUGUAAGAUGAUAGCAUGAGUGCACUUAGGAUGUUCAUACAUUUUCAUGCAUCUAAGAAAACUCGGUUUAUUCUUUAAAACUUGAUUUUCUUUGAAACCCGCGUUUUAUCAAAUAUACCUUAGGCAAAUUGACUCAAAAUUGACAUAUUAACUCUCCUAAAGACCUUGCCUAAGUAUUGGAAAAGAAAGAAAUCAAAAAGGAUAGGUUUUCAGGGCCAAAAGGCUCAUCCGGUCGAGGCUAUGGCCAACCGGCUCAACCGGUUGGGGAACCGGUCGACCGGUUUCCCUUGUCCGGUCGAGGGAGGCACAAAAACCUUCUCUCUCUCCCAGUAGCUUCCUCUUCCCGGUCGAGCCUCACCCCUUGUCCGGUCGAGGCAACGGUAACCUGCUAUGCAUUAAAUGCUCCAACGGCUAGUGAUCCGGUCGACCCUUUGCUCGUCCGGUCGAGGCUACUUUCUGUUGUUUUUGUCUCCCGAGCUUAGAAACCUAUAAAUUGAGAGCUCCUCUUCAUUUAUGACAGAGAGAACAAUUGCAUUCAAAGCCUACCUACCUGUUCUUGAUCAAAAAAGCUCUCAUCUUCUUUCUUAGUGCAUUAAACCAUCAAUUGCAUAUUCUUAGUGCACUCUUGCAAUUCAUCCUAGCCUUCUCUUGUACUUGAGCCUUCAUUAAGCUAGGUUGAGAGUUUCAUCCUUGUGUAAACUGAGUGUGAAAGCCUUCAAGUGGUACAAAUCUUGAAGAGAUUGUGUAAGAGCCCAUUGGAGCCGGAAUCCAAGUGUAAGACGAUUGAAAGCUUGAUUGUAGCUUCAAGUUAGUGGAACCCUUACUCGGUUAGGAGAUUGAGGAGAGUGGACGUAGGCAAGGGAGUGCCGAACCACUAUAAAUCUGAGUUUGAAUUCUCUACCUUUAUCUCUUUCCUUUAUUUAUUUUGUGCAUAUAUUAUUGUGUGGAAAAAGAUUUUGAAAAACCCAAUUCACCCCCCCUUUUGGGUAUUUUCCUUAAUUAUUCAUAGCCUUUGUUUUAUCAGUCAUAAUUCAUAAGUUAUUCUAUGAUGUUCCCUACAAACAUCACUAAUUGAAGUUUAAUGUUAUAUUUAGGAAAUUACAAAUAAUUUCUCUAAGAGUAGCAAUAUACAUAAUGAAUGCAUGUGUUGAUUAAUUUAUUUGUUAUACUCCAUCAAAAAAAAUAUAUAAUGUUAAAUACUUCAUCAAUUUGAGACUUUAAGUGAGUGCUUUAAACAUUCCAAGUGGCUCUGAAAUCCUAUAACACAUAAUGAGGGCAUUGUACUUAUAUAAAAGGUGAUUGCGAUAUUUCAUCUGGAUAAAAGAAGUUCUUUGCACUACAUAUGUGACAUUCUCUUAUUUAGGUAGAUGCAUAUUAAAGUCAUGAGGAUUCCCUGUGCCUAAAGUGGAUAAUAUAUACAUAGGAGAGAGCAAAUCAUUAUAAAUGGUAUCAAAGUUAGUCUUCAACCCAAAGUGAGACUUUAUCCGUCCAACCUCACAAAAUAUGUUUAUCUAUUAGAGCUUGUAAUUCUAUGAAACACAAUAAAGAUGUUAUGUCUGCAUAGAAAGAUGAUUGUGGGUAUGAUGAUUAUAAUAUUCCACAUCGAUUAAAGGAAUAGGUGAACAAUAUUUACACACAAAAAAAAGUGCUUUGAGUAUUUUGAGUGGCCACACAAUCUCACUAGACAUAACAAAAACGUUGUGUAUGCAUAAGGGGUGAUUGUGAUGUCCCAUAUAAAAUGGGCUAAAAAGUUUUUUACACUAUAUAUAUAGUAAACUUUUCUUAAUUGGGUAGACACAUUUUAAAGUAGUGAGAACUUAUUGGACCUAAAACAAACAAUACUUACAUAAGAUGGAGUAAAUUAUUACAAAUAAUAUUAGAGUCGAUCGUCAAUCCUAAUAUGGAACUUUGUCUUUCUAGCUUGUAAAGUGUAUGUCUAUUUGCCCCGCAAUCCCAUGUAACAUAAUGAGAAGAUUGUGUUUACAUGAGAAGGUAAUUAUGAUAUUUCAUAUCAAUUAAAAAAAAAAAAGUUUUAACACUAUAGAAGUAGUGAGUUCCUCUUAUUUAUCUUAACUUUACAAUUUUGAAGAUUAAAAAAUAUUAUAAAAUUUAAAUUUUAUGAAAUGUAAAAAAAAAAACCAAUAAGAUGAUUGCGAUCCAUUUGUUCUUAUCAUGUAUUUGUCUCUUUUUUUCAUAACUUUCCUGAAGUAGAAUUCUCUCUAUCAUAGAAAAACUUAUUAAAUGCCAAAUAAAUGAGAUGAGCGAUGACUAGACAAAAUGAUGGUUGGCACACUCAUGCUCCAACAACAUCUCAUUCAUUAGUCAUGACACUUCGCUUCCCAUCUUCCCCUCUUUAACUUCUCACUUUGUCCUUUCCAAGUUUACAUUUAUUAGUCAUGACACUUCACUUCCCAUCUUUAACUUUUCACUUUGUUUUUUUCAAGUUUUUGCCUCUCCUUAAAGUAUGUAUGUAAUUAAUAGAAAUAAGGAAUGAAGUCCAAUGACUUCUUUCUCAAGUUUUUUUCCACUUCUAUAUAUAUAUAUAUCUUUUUAAAUUAAAAAAGUUAAAUAUUAUUUACUCUCUCACACCUUAUUUUUACUAUAUUUCUUCAUAUAUUUUAUUGGCAAAUCGAAGAUAGAUGUCUAGCUUCACCCUAAUUUUAACACCUAAACAAAGGUUUAAAUACUUUAAAACAUUUAAAAUAUUUUCCCAAAAAGUUGUUUAUUAAGAUUGAAGUCAUUUCACAUUGGUUAAUAGACAAAAAAGGGGAGUUUCCUUAUACCAUAAAAGGAGGCUUUCACCCCCUACAAUAUUCAUAAAAUAAAAGGGAUUGCAUUCUUUUGUAAGUUUUUAUAUUCUCUUAUCUUAAUUUAGAGAGAGGUUAUAAUUUUGUCAUCAUAGUGGAUGUUUUUUCGGUUUCUUGAGUAUCAUUUCACAACAAUAUACAUUAUAGGCUAUUAGUUUUAAUAUGCAUAAAGCAAAAGAAAAAAAAUCAUACAUUGUAUUUUGAAUAAGUUUUUUUGAGCAAAAAGUUAAUAAUAAACAUAUUGUGAAAUAAAAAGAGUGUAUUUGUACUUCCAAAAAAUUAAAAAAUUACAAUAAUUUCUAUUGUCUGAUUCGUAUGUCCUAACAUUGUGCUCUUGUAAAGUUGAAUAAUUGACAAUUUAACGAUUGAUGUCAUAAGAUAAAAUAAAAUGUUGAUAGUUAUACCACACAUUUUAAUUCAAUACCACAUAAUAAAAAUUAUCAAAGUGGAUGUUCCAAUUCAUCACAUACAUGGAAUGAGAUGAAUUUGAAAGAACUUAAGAUCGGGGGACAAUCUUCCAAUAUCCUUGAUAAAUGACCUUUUCAAAUAAAUAUUGAAUUUUUUUUUUCUUAAGGCUAUACUUGGAUCCUAAAAAAUUUGAGGGAAAAUGCAAAUGAAAGAAAAUAGAGAGAAAAAGAACCAUGAAAGAAAAAAAAAUUGAAUUUAAAACCAAUAAAUUAUUUUUAUAUGUUAUUUCGAACUUAUUUCACUUAUUUUUUAUUUUCUAUGUAAGAUUAAAUAAUUUUAAAGUACAUAAGAUUUUAACUAAAUAUAAUUAUAUUUCUUUUCUUUCAUAUUUUCUAUGGUGAAAUUAAAUAUACGAAAAUUAUUUUCUUUACUUUUUUUAUCUUUUUGGAAUACUUUUCAAAAACCAUGUAAGAGGUGAAUGAUUUAUGAAUGACAUAUGAACCCUUUGAAUAGCCAAACAAGGUCUUAAAUGAUGUAUAAAUUCUUGAUGUUGGAUGAACUUUUCUAAUAGUAUUCCAAGUGAAUAAUGUACAACAUUUUGAUAAUUGUGUAAUAAGUGAAUGAUAUAUGAACUUAAAAUUAGUAUAGCAUGUAAAAGAUUAUUUCAAAAUAUUUAACAUAAUUAUGAUUGUGAAUUUAUUAAUAUCCAACUUAUUUUUAUAGGUGUUAUGGAUUUAAGUUAUUGAACCACUUAAUUGACUGAAAAGUGUAAGCUAGUGCAUGAUAGUGAGAUGACAGUACAUAUCAAAAUAAUAUGUCACAACUCUAAGAGAUAAAAAUCUUUUAAAAAAUUCCUAAUGAUCUACGAAUUAAAAUGAAUUUGAGACUUAGAUUAUUCAGUGGAAAUAAAUAAGACACUUAAUCCAGUCCGAUAAAUUAUUUGACAAAUCCAAAAAAAAAGAAAAAUUAAGUCAAAUUAGUCAAUUUAUGGAUAUGCCAAUUUUUUAUUUUUUAUUUUAAAUAUUGAUGGAUCAAUUAAUUUGAAAUUUCAAUAAUUGAAAAAAAAAUGUAUUUUUCAUUAGAUAACAAAUAAAUAUCUAUCGAAAAUGAAUUAAAAUUAUAUUCUACAAACAAAUUGUAUAAAAAAAAUAAUUUUCUAUUUUUUUUCAAUUAAUUCAAAAGUCCAUGAAUUGAAAAGUACACUAAUUAAACAAAAAAAUAAUCAAGAAGAUUUACUUAAAUGUUACAUAAACUAUUUUCUUUAACAAAAUUGUUUUUUUUUUUUCAUUUUUAGCAAGGAAUUUGAAAGUUGUUAUUUAAUUAUUUGUUUUAAGGUUUGUAACUUACAUGGAUUUGUCAAGUAGCUCAUAAGGUACUCUUAGGAGUUAUUAUUUGUGAGCACAUGGAGGGAUUUAAAAAAUAAAUAAAUAAAUAAAAUUGGACUUCUAUGCCAAAAUAAAUCAAAUUUAGGGCAUAUUCUUUUUUCUUUUUCCAAAUUUUGGCCUCAAAACAUAAUUCUCUCAAUUAAAUUUAUUGGUCCCUCCUAAAGUCGGGAAUACUAUUUUGUUGACAUACUGAAGAUGAACAACCAAUCAUAUAGUGUGAUAUGUGUAGAUUCUAAAUUUGCCACAUAGUACUUUCAAUUUGUAUCAUCAUAGUCCUAUUUGUUUAUACUUUUAUCCAAUAUUUUAGAUUUCAUUACACAUUAUUAUUUAAUAAUCAAGGCGAGAAGGUCGAUACUAUUUUUCUAAUUAUGAUCCACCUCCAAUUAAAAUUCAAAAAACAUAGUUCAUAAAUAAAAAUGAUCAUUUUUAACUAAAUUUACAUUUUGUAUUAUUAUGUUUAAUAAGAAUUGUAAAAAAAAGAAGGGUGUUUGAAAGCAAUCAUGAAAAUAUCAAUUUUGAUAGAAAUAUUUUAUGGAAAUAUGGAUAUUGAUCAUAAGAAUUUAUAUAAAAAAAUUUUAAAAAUCACAAAAUUAAUUAAAAAUAUGAAACAUUUUUAUCAACUUUGAUAAAUGAAAAAAAUAAUAUAUUCAAUUACUUUUUUAAUAAAUUAAUAUAAUAAUAUUGAUAUCAUGAAAUAGAGUUUCUAUGAUUAUAGAAUAAUAUUUAAUUUAAUUUUAUACGACAUUUGCACAACAAAAUUGUUAAAUAUCUGCAUUUCUUCUUUUGAUACCGAUUCAUCUAAAUUAUGGAUAUAAUGAAUAUACUUGAUAUUAUGAAUAUUUUUAUUCUUGCUAGAAAGAAAAAAUAUUUAUUUAUUUAUUUAUUUGGUGGAACUACAAAUAGCUGGUAAGAUGAGUUGAUCAUAGAUUAGGCCAUCAAAAUUGAAACCUAAUUUUAGACUCACACUGACAUACAUAAGUCCACUGCAAAAACGCUAGCUUUGGAAUAAAAUUGUACUACAAUUUGUAAUGGGCUUCUUGCUCCGUCGUGGCAUCACUUUCAAUUGCGUACGUAAACGCGUGCAAGAGGCUUCGAUGAAUGUUCGAGCGCUUACAGUGAAUGGGUAGAAGGCGACUAGAGAAAGGGCUGUCAGGUGUAAGCUGAACGUGUCCUUUACAUUUAUGAAUGAAUCUGUCUGUCCGUUGGCUUUACCGAUUACCAAACCCAACGGCUCGCAUUUACAACCACACCAUUAUCUUCCUACCACAUAAUUUCUCUUUGAGAAUUAUAUAACAUGAAGAGAAAUUAAUAGUAUAAGAUACGAUGAUUUUAUAUGAAAACCUUAACUUUCUUUUAUAAUUUUUAUAAGAAAAUCAAAUACGAGAAAAUCAUUUUCUUUAAUAUUUUUGUCUUUCAGAAAAUAUUUUUGUCUUUCCCUAAUAUUUUUCGAAAACCAAACAUAGUCUUCAGCACUCAACUAGUUUAAAAUAUAAGUAAUUAAAAGAAAACAUUUUAGUUCAAUUAAAAGACCUAAAGUCCACUUUAUGCUACAUUUUAAUCAAAUUAUCAUUUCUCGAACCUUUUUAGACUUAUUAGUGUCAUCCUAGAUUGAUCAAACAACAAUUUUGAGUCUUCAAAGGAAAGUAAGACAUAAACAAAUAGAAUGAACAGAAUAAUAUCAUCAAGCACUAACACAAACUAAUGCCUCCACUCUAGAAAUUGUUGCAAAAUGCACUUAAACAAAUAAACAUCUUGUGCAAUUAGAUAAAUAAUUGUUUCUGUCUAAAUACCUUUUUUUUUUUUUUUACUGCAGAAUAAGUUGAAAAAAAGUAAUUUUCAUAUUUGAAUUUUCAAAUAAAAUUUUGUACUUAAAAAUAAUUUUAAACUAUUUUUAAAAAUUAUUCUCAAAAAUGAUUUUUUGAGACCUAUUUCCCAAAACGCUGCCAAACAGCCACAGAACACCACUGCAAAAUCUAGAUAUGGCCCCUGUUAUGAUAUGUUCCGGAUGGCUUCACAGAUGAUGAGGAAAAAAAGGCCCCACGGCCAUGCUCAAUAAUGCUGUGGCAGGGAGGGAUGUGGGGAGAUUUGACAGUUUUGUCAGCAUUGAAGAAGCUAAACUCUCUUCAAUCAAACAUUUGUAGAAGAGAGUGAAAUGAACCAGGACUGUAAAUGGAUCAACAUCUUCAUAUCAGCUAAUCAACUAAGCUCAAGCUUCAUUUUUAGGCUCUUUCGUAAACCACCCAAGGCUGAGGGGACCCCAGCUUGAGGAAAGAACUUUUAACAAAGCAAUGAACUGAUUUACAAACUGGAUUGAUUGAGCACAAGAAAAAGUUCUCUAACUACAAAGAAAUGAGACAUGCUUGAACAGGCAAGUUGAGCUUGAUCCAAGAAGAAGAAGAAGAAGAAGAAGAAGAAGAGAACCGAACAUGAUGAGAAUAUUAUGGAGUUUAUUUAACUUAACUAUGUAUGGUCUCUGUUAUUUACUCUGUAAAUCUUGUUUGCACAAGGAUGGCUUUUACCACGCCCCAUAGUCCUUCCCAAAACAAGUACAGUAUCAGUUCUAUUCUUCAUCAACACAAGCUGAAAAUAGGUAGGAAGAAUGUUAUCAGCAUGCAUGACUAGCAAUUUCAAAUUUCAAUGCCCUCAAUAUGUCAAAUGCAGAAUCUUCAUUAAUUUUGAUACUGAGGACAACCCAAUCCAUUAUUCAGCUUGAAAAUGCUUGUUAAAAAUCAUACAGGCAUGCAUGACUAAAAGAUGAAAACAUGAGCAUGAAUAAUUAAAACAAAAGACAUUUUAGCAAUGUCAAUCCCAUCCAAGGGAACCCAAUUAUAGACUAAUUAAAGCACGUUUGAUGCAGCUCUAGCUUCCAACAAGGUCUGUUUUUCUACUUAACAAAGUUUUAACUUCUGAAACCUCUUCUUUUAAGCUCUUAUGCAGAAGGAUCUCACUUCAAAACUUUACUGAAAAGAGCUUUAAGCCACUUCAAAAAUUCUUUAACAAGUAAUCAAAUAAUCGUAAAGCUCUUUAAACAGUCUCAAAUGGCUUUUAGCCACUCAAAAAGCUGCACAAGCAAAGCCUUAUAGUACUGUGUAGAAACCUAUAAUCCAUAUACAGAAAAAUGUACAAGAACUUAACACCCAACUGGCAACUGUUAGAAAACUCAAGUCUUCAUGACAUUUCACAUGGAAAACUGAGAUUCAUUUCAAGCAAAACCCAAUUUAAUCAUGUAUCUUUUCUGUAAGAUAAUAUUUUUUUUGUACUACAACAAUGGUGACAGAGAAUUUAGAAUCCAAAAAUUGCAAAAUGUUUAAAAAUAUAAAUCAAAAAAGAAAAUUGAUGCAUUUUAACAAACAAAAAAAAUUGUCUGCCCUACAAAAUAGAACCUCUCAAAUCCAGAAACUAAUUCUUCCAUAGAUGUGAAAAGUUAUGGUAUCUUCAAAUAUAAUCAGGAUUAGCACGAAGCUAGUUAGGCUUUGUGGAAACUUAAAUACAUAUACCUGCCCAUCAUUUGAUUUUUCUCUCAAUAUUAUGGCUUUUAAUAAAAUAAUAUAUAAGAGAUGCAAAACAUUAGAACUCUACAUCCAAAAACUUUCUGAAACUAAAAAUAGAAAGGACAUCAUCCAGGAAGGCAUAAUCUAAACCAUCAACUCUUGCCAACAGAAGAUAUGAAUGCCUGUAUCAACUGUUACCUCAUUCCAAAGUGGAUUAAUUCCUAGCUGAUGAAGUGCCAGUAGCAAGGUCAGCAGCCUUUUGGGGAAUCAUGUAUUGGCAACUGAGAGGAUUAAUAAAUACACCAACACAGACACCAACAUUCUUUGAAACCAUGCCUCAGUACCAAAAUCUCCACCUCCUUCAGGAUCAAUACAAUCCAUGACCAGCAUUUCACUUGAAUUCCAUCCAUUAGAUCGAUUGGUGGCUGAAUUCAUAUAUCAGUUCUCUAUCACAAUUUUAGUUUAACCCCUUACUCUACUAAAUAUAAAUAAUCUUUUCAAGAUUCACAGCCUUAAAGCAACAAAAUUAUCCAUACUGAGAAUCCUUCACAACCACUGUCACAUCCUUCAUCUCCCACAACUUCAAACUUUUGUUAAGGACUACCAUUCAGAUCAUCCACAAGUAUACCAUGCCUCAAGCAAGCAAACCACAAUCUCUUGACAUUGUACAAAUAACUUAAGCAAAAUUGUAAAUUUUAAUCAGUAAUUUUCUUCUUAUUUGAAAAUAAGAAACAUCUAUCUUAUUUAUCCUGCAGGUUCCUAUUUCUCUAUCUUUAGCAAAUUUGAAUUUUCCAUGCCUUGGGGAAAAGAGAAUAUAUUCUGUUCCCCAUGAAAACUGAAAUCGUCAACAUAAAUUUAGGGGAAGAUACAAAAAAGAAGGCUUCAUGGAAUUGCACUUGCAAACCAGUACUCUCAUCCCAACAAAGUGCAGCCUAAGGAAACUGGAAAGUUUUCAGCUUAACACAAAAUUUUGCAAAAUCCAAUCAGGAAUGCUUCUGAAAUCAAUCCUCUACAAUCCCAUAGAUCUAGGAAAGUUAGAUACUUAUAGGGCCUUCUCUCUCAAGCUCCUUAAGGCAAUUAAUUUUGGAAAUCAUCUCCAUACCUGAUGAAUGGAUCUUCUGGAUAUUAAAAUUUCUCCUUGAACUUCUAAUAUCCCACUCAGCCCCUCUCUUCUAUCUGCUCAGUGGGACAUAAAUUUGAUAACAAUUUUCUUCUCUGACAAGGACAGCCAUCUCCUUGGCUCCCGUUUAAGAUUCUCUCUCAUCCUAAAAAACCAAUACAAAAUUUGUAUAUCCAAAAUGCUGCAUAGCGCAGACACCCAAAAAAUCUGUAGGUACAAUACAGAUGGUGUUAUAUGAGGCAAAAAUUUACAAGUUCCAAAGUUAAUAAGGAAAACCAAACAAGUAAUGUAAACAAGAAGGCAGAUGAUUGCCAAAAGUACGCUAUUUGGUCAUCCCAGUGUGCUGCAGUUCAUUAACUAGCAUUCAAUGGGUUUAGAAUUUAACUAUUUGUCUAUUUAAUGGCUGCAUAAAUACUUUGUAGGCACAUAAAUAUACUGUGGAAGCUAGAUUGCUCCAUAUAACAACCAGAUUCUAUUCUGCAACAUUAGUAAAUGACACGACCAACAAGAGAACUUCUUUUUCUCCUCAUCUUUACACCCUUAUUUUCCUUGUCGUAUACGUUUGUCAGUAAAUUCACUGAUCCAGAUUAUGUUAAACUACCACCAAAACAUUUGGCAAUUAAUUUGCAAAUUAAAAUAUAUCCUCACACAUAAUUUUGGGCAACAAAGGAAAAUUCUGUAUGUCCACCUCUCUCUGUCAACAAUUGAUCACAUUUCCACAUAUGGAUUUUUUUCACAUCUUGCAAACCAAAUUCACCAACUUGCAUUAAUUUGAGCAAGCCCAACUCAAAACCAACCUUCCAAGGCCAACUUUUUACUCCUCAUAGAGGCUGUUAUUCUCUAAUUCUAUAAUUAAAAGGUCAGUUUUCCCAUUAGUAUCAUGCCAGCCUAGAAUGGUCCUGUACUAUCAACAACCACUUUAAUCCAUCUCCAGUUAUAAUUGACCUUCUGGCAGGCAGUGACUUCUUCAAUAAAGUACUAACAACGUUUCAAUUUGCUGCUGCUAUUAUUCUCCUCAAGAAACAUCAUCAAAUUUGGUCCUCCCACUAAAGUUUAAAACUACCAAAUAUUCAUACCACCUAUAAAUAACUAGUUAAAGAGCUCAGGAUUUUUACAAUUGUAUCUCUUCCUCAACCUCCCCUUACAAAGCAUCAAAAUCAACCAAAAACAUACACACAAAUAAAAACCAAAUAUAAGGAAACCCCAUCUGAGAAAAAAGAAAAAUCCAACAAAACCACCAAAAAAAAAAAAAAGCACAAACAGAGGAAGUGGGGUUACCUCCACAGCAGAAACAACAGUAACAGCAAGAAAGAAUGAUCAGGAGGUCUCUGCAACAGGCAAGAGUUCCAUGCUGUUCAAUCGGAGCACUCACAUCGUUAGAGCCUCCUUCUUCAGUAUUCAGAAGUUUCUUCUUAUUAGUUGGAGACUCGUUUUCCAUUCUUUUGAGGUUCCAUUCCAGUUUCUUAAGGUAAUCAAACUUGAACGACUCUCUGAUCCUCAAGGAUGGCCAUAGAUGCAUCUCUCUCUUCCUAUACCAAAAAAAAAAAAAAAAACCCACUAAUAACUACAGAAAUCAGACCUUGUUAGGGUUCUAAGGUUGCUGUGAGUUCGCCCAGACUUCCAACGAGGAGAGGAUUAGCUAACGACGUCGUCUUAACGUCCUCUGUUCCGAUGGAACUGUUGAGUGUAAAUUUAAAAUUGAGAGCGACUAAAAGGAAUGAAAUCUUUUCCGAUUUGAAAAAUUAAGCCUUCACCUUUUUCAACCUAAAAAAUACCUAUUUUAACAAAAGUGCCCUCGUAUUUUUCUUGCAAAAGUAACCAUUUUUUUUAAAACAUACAUGUAAAUAAUAAAAAUGUUGAAGGGUAUUUAUAUCAAAAAUGAGUUACUCUUUAAGUUCAAAAAUUGGGAAGGUUAGUUUUACAAAUUUGGAUGUUUUUGAUCCUUUUUCAUCCAUUAAUCCUUUAAAAUUUGACUUGCUUACUACGUUGGCGUAAGCGAGGUGUAAAGCUGUCUGGGCUGGGCCUGGGCCGAAUCAAUUUUGGAGUUCCAACCUUUCUGGGUUUGUGGGUCCCAGAAUGGUCCACGCCACAGAAACUGGGCUUAAACUACUCGGCCAGUUUUACAGGUCCAUAACAAAGGUAAUAAACUGUAAAGCUCUGCACUUACAAUUUCUUUUUCUCUGGAAAAUCCCUUUUGCUAUGUUUCCUCCUUAUUAUUUUACUUUUAGAUGAAGGAAGUUUCUGUAUGAGUUGUGAUUUGUGUAUAUGUAUGCAAUCACCUACAAAAGAGUAAUCAAAAUCCAGGAAAGAAAACAAGAUGAAGUGAGGAAGCCCAUGAUUCAAACCAUUUACAUUCAUCACCUCAAACAUUGGCUAAAUAUCACAACCAACAAUCAAUCCCAAGAACAAGGCCUAGAGUUCUCACUGCAACUCAUUAUGUGUAUGUAUGGUAAUUCCUUUCAUGCCAACAAACCCCUCUAGUGAAUAGACUCGCAACAUGCAUGGAAUCAUAAAAGGGUUAGCAUAUCUGGAUGCCAGAUGCCAAGCUCCAUGGGGUCUUGAUACCUGAAACCAACGCCCAGCACCGGAAUCAGGUGGGUGGUUGUGAGAAGAGAAAGAGAUGAGAGGAAGAGGAGGAAGAGGGUGGUAAUAGGUGCCAUCUUGAUGAGAGUGAAUGGAUAUGGUACUUGGACGAUUGUUCAUUGUCAUUGAGUCCCCUUUAUUAGGCCUGAGGAAGCGGUUGUUGCUUGAGUAUGAAGUAUUGUGUUACCAAUGCUGUGGGCAACAUGAUUAAAAGUGCUUCUACCAUUGCUUAUUCUAAUUGGAAAAAUGAUGUCUGGUAAACUGGUGAGUGACUGGCAGUUUCAAAGAAAAAAAAGGGUCUAGGAUUAGGUGCUGUGAUCAGAAAAGCAUUUUGUGUACAUAUACACACCCUUCAAUCCUGAACCCGGAAAGGCAAUUGUAUUAACACAACACCAGGGCCAAAUGACUGGAGAUGUAACAUGAGGAGUAGGCAAAGCCGCAAAGGUAUGCUGUCAGUUACUUUCAAAUUGUCAUUUCUUUAAGCUUUAGAAGUGGAGUGAUAAUGGUUUACAAGGGAAGUGGAGGUAAUGAGUGCCUUGAAAUCUACUUAGUAUCUUGCGUGUGUAAUUCAACAAUGCCUUGGUUGGCAUGUAACAAAGGACUUAUUUUCAAUAAGGCAAUGUUUGGUUUUUCUGAUAGUUACACUUUGAAUAGGGGAUAAGGGAAUUUUGAGAGAUUGGGCUGAGCUUGUUUUAUAUUCAAUUCCCCAUAAUUAACUCUCCAUUGAUCUCCACUCCAAAGAAAAAUCUGUUCUGUAUCCAAACUGCUGAACACCAUUUUCAAAAUUCAUCCCUGAGAGGACUAGCAUUUUCUUAUGGAGCUCUACCACAUGGUGAACUCCUCUGAGCUAGGCUAGAAAAUGGAAAAUGACAAAAAUUGGGAGGGGAGAUGCAUGUGCUGAUCACAGAUAAUGAAGGAGUCCAUCAGUGAACAAAUGGGAUAGCAGCAGUGACUGACAUAUAUUGGCACUGGGUGAGGUCUGAGGUCUGAGGACUCAGGACUGAGAACCAUUCAUGCCAUACAAAAACUGAAACUUUCACUUUCUUAUGGGUUGUCCUCAGCCAUUUUUCACAUUUUUUUCUCAGAUGUUUGCAUCCUGUUUUCCAAAUGAGCAUCCAUUCUGUUUGUCCCAGCCAUUGAAAGCUUCUUUUGUGGGUUCAUUUCUCCCUUUCUUUCCAUAUAUGAUUAAAAUGAGUGGAUAUUUUGAUGGUAAACGCCCUGCUACCAUCUGGCAGGAUGAUCAGAGAGUAACAUGCACAAGUCACAUGAACUAUGUGCUACUUUUUAGGCAGUGGUCCAUCUCAUGUUUGGACUCAUUCACCUACUUGGGAGUUGGGAUGGAUUUUUCUAGGUUAAUCCUUGCCUCAUGGCCAUCACUUUAAAAGUGUUUUUUCAUUUUUAUUUUUUUUCAAAAUUUUGUUGCCUUAAAAUGGCAAAAAAAUUCCAAAUAUUGGCAGAAUCCAUGUGAAGAUUGCCUUGGAUUUUAUUUUCUUGACAAAGAAGCAACAGCAACCCACCCUCCCAAAGCCAAUGGGGUCUAAAGCCAAAAGUGCAUCGCCCCUAGGGUUUGGCAGUACCUACUCUUAAAGCUUAAACCAAAAUUUCUAAAGAGUAAUCAAGGCAGACUAGGAUAAGGUUGGUCAUGUCAUUGAGCAUGAUUUUGAUGUACAUAAGCAAGAACAUACCACAAUGUCCAUGUGGCCAGUGGCCACAGAGUACUAGAAUGGAAAGGGAGUGUUCAAUUUGAUAUUAUUUGACCAAAAAAGUUGUUUUGAUUCAAAAUUCAAUUUCAUUGGCCUGCAUUUUGUAAUUUUCUUCAACCUUAAUUUCUUGGUAUUAGUAUCUAGAAUAGGAAAAUUUCACUAAACCCUAUUUAGAAGAGGAGAUAAAAGACUAGAAUGAACAAAUAUUCUAAAGGGUGUCCAAAUUUGAUAUCAUUUGAUCAAAGAAAAAGUUAUUUUUGAACAGGAGAAUGUAUGUUAAAUGGUCCAAACUUGAAAAAAAAAAUUAAAAAAAAACCAGGAAAAUAACAACUAAUAUUUGAACUAGUGGCUACAAAGAGACAAGAGGAAAUAUCUGAGCGAGAUUCGCAAGGACAUGGUUAGAAAGAGUCCAUGCUUUGGAAAUUUGGAUUGGAUUAUUACCAUGGCAGCAGUACAGAGAGGAAAUUGGAUUUGGAAUUUUGCAGAGAGAGGAUGAAUUUGGUUUGGUAUAUUGAAGAGGGGGAGAAGAAAGUUGCCCACUUGCCCCAAUAAGAAAAAAUGAAUGCCCUGUGGACUAGGGACAAAGGGUUGAAUUUUGUGGCUCAACCAACCCCACAUAAAUUUUACUUUGCUCAUCUUUGUAUUGAAUUUUUGGCAACUUCAUCUUCCAGUGCUCUCCAAUAAUGCAAGCAAAUUCAGAAGAGGUUCAUUUUUCUGUCCUCUUCUAAUAAUGCAGAAGUAAUUCACCUUCUAUGGUAACUGCUAAAUUCUAAGUCAGACAAUUUAAUUAUGCUCCAUAAUGGCCACAGUGGGUAUCUGAGAAAAGCAAAGAAAGGGAAGCAGUUGAAGUUAGACUAGAAUCUACGGCAGUGGAUGGAGUUGGCUGAGGAGAGAUUUUGUGAUGAAAUUGUAAAUGAAAUAGCAGGAAAUAAAUAAAAAAAAAAACAAAAUAAAGCCCUUUACUUCCAACAAGACAAAGCCACAACACAGAAUUUUGUUCAAGCAUAAGCAAACAAUGAAAGAGAAAACUAGGAAAAGAUAAGCAUGAAGUGGAUUAAAAGAAAAGUGCUUAAGGGAGGAAUACAAAAAGCUUCCUAUUUCCAUAGAGAUGGUAUCUACAAUUUCAUGCCCUCAUACAUAUCAAUAACAACCUCCAUAAUUAUUCUUCCAAUUCCGAUCACUUCUCCUCCUUCCAAAUUCUUUUUCUUCACCCCCAAAAACAGUGGAAGAAGGUAUCAAAAUGGCUCUGCAAAUCAUACAUGAGUGGUGCUCCUGAAUGACCCAAGAGCCUUGACAGCUCCAGCUCUCAAUAUGAACUGGUGGUAGAAGGCUGCAAUGGCUGCACCAAUGAAGGGUCCAACCCAAAAGAUCCACUGCAACCCAAAAAGGAAAAAGGAAAAUACAUUAGACACCCAUCAUGGUGAUAGAUUGACAGUGAUAAUAGGUAGCCAUGGGGGAGGGGAAUAUACUAACCUGGUCAUCCCAGGCCUUCUCAUUGUUGUAGAUAACAGCAGCCCCCAAACUCCUGGCAGGGUUGAUACCGGUGCCAGUGAUAGGAAUAGUGGCCAAGUGAACCAUGAACACGGCAAACCCAAUUGGAAGAGGUGCCAGAACCUUAAAUCCAAAAUAGCCCAGAAUACAAACAUACAUCAAUAUUUUCCUUACACCAUUAGCAAAUGCAGAAAAUCACAAAGACCCAGUUUUAGAUUAGUCUAAUACCCCCUUUUUCAACUAACACCAACAUAAUCAGCUCAACUAGGAAAAAGAAACAGAAAAAAAUAAUGCUCCAUAUCCCAAGCAAGAGUUGAAUCUAGUGCCUUAUUUUCACAAAAAUACAAGACAAAAUCAGGAUUCAAGUGGAUUGAAUAGGAUAGUGGGGGUGGUUUAAACAUGCCAGACUCAGCCUAUCAAGUGUUUUUGGACUUUUUUGUGGGUAUAGCCGUUACAGGGCCCCCACACUUGACGUUAAAAGCACAUCACUAAAAUACAGGCACAGACCACAGACUCAGAAUACAGCAAAGCACUGGACCCUUCAUGAAGGAAAAAAAAUAAUGUGUUUAAAGUAAAAGCCACCUUUUGGCAACAAAACAAAAACUACCCAUGUCCAUCAACAGUGCCUCCCUCAACCACAUCCACACAUCCUCCCAUCAUGCUAAGAAUUAAGCCGCCCAACGCCUCAGCCACAUUUUUUCUAACUCAAGAACAUCUCUCCUGUCCCUUUUUCUAUGAAUAAGGGCACAAACAUUACUUAAUAAUAUCUACUCAAGAUUCUAACAAUAAUCAUUCACACCAAUUUUGAUUGUAAACAAAAAUUGGAGGAAAAAAAAAAUUCAACUCACAGGAACAUGGGAGUCUCUGGCACUCCUCUUGGGGUCAGUUGCAGAGAAGACGGUGUAGACAAGGACAAAAGUUCCAAUGAUCUCAGCGCCCAAGCCGGUGCCUUUGCUGUAGCCGGUGGAGAGCUCGUUGGCACCGCCCCCGUAGCGAUCAUAGUAAGCAGAUUGGAAGGCUUUGACGAGACCCACACCGCAAAUGGCUCCAAGACACUGAGCCACCAUGUACAAUAUUGCUCGGAUCAGCGACACCUUCCGGGCCAGGAACAGCCCAAAGGUCACCGCCGGGUUAAUGUGUCCCCCUGCGCAUUUUACAGAACUAUCGGUCAGCAUGUGCUACCUUGCGCCAUGCCAUUUACAUUAAGAUGAAUCUUUUGAUUUAAGGAAAAACCAUGAGAAAGGGGAAAGAGUAAAUCAAUUUCAUCUCAUUUAUUCUAAAUUUUUAGCAUGAAAAGAAUCAAAACUUUCUGGGUGGGAAGGAAAUUACAUAAAGCUGAUUGAAAAAGUAGUUUUUUUAAGAGAAGGUUCUCCAUCACGAUCGGAGAAAGAGACCCAUACCAUCUGUUUGGUGAGAAGGAAAACUAGAAAAAGGAUAACAGAAGUAAAAAAUUUAUGCUUAUUUUUCGGUUUGGGGCCCAAAGGAAGGGGUAAGGCAACUCCGGCCAAUAGUUGAGUUGAAGCUUUUUACACUUUAGGAAACAAAGCCAACACUAUUUUCCAAUUAUUUCUCAGAAACCAAACGUCAACUCCAUCAACUACCUCCUUCAAGUGAACCUUUCCAGCAGAAUUAUUUAUCAAGGGAAAAAAAGGACCAAAAAGAAAGAAAGGAAAGAAAGGAAAAAAAGCUAUGAAGUUCUAACAGAUCCUUUCUUUCUUUCCCUUUUUUUUUUAACUUCACAAAGAAAUGGUCAUAACAAUAAAUGAAUCCUUGAAAGAGAAAGACAAAGAGGGAAAAAGAGAGAAAGAAAACCAGUUUUCUAACUGAUGUUUUCAGGGUUUUUUUUUCUUUUCUUUUUUUUUUUUUUGUUCUCGAGAAUCAAAAAGAGUGCAUGAAAACAAAAGAAAAAAGAACAACCCAGAAGAGAGAAAACUGACCAGAAAUGCCGGCAGUGCAGUAAACAAGGAUAAAGAUCAUGCCACCAAAAGACCAAGCAAUGCCCAGAAUGCCAACACCACCGCAUGGGUCACCCCCGGCAGUCUGGCUCUUGUAGCCGAUGACUGUCAGCACCGUAAUGUAAAGGAAGAGCAGCGUGGCAAUGAACUCCGCAAUCAGAGCCCUGUAGAAGGACCACUUAGUGAGCUCAACUGAGUCGAACAGCGGCGCCGGCGGCGGGUCAUGAUAGUCCUUGGCGGAGAAGGACCCAUGCUCCGCAACCUCAACGUCCUUAGUCAUAAAUGUUAUAGCAGAAAAACACUAGGCAAAGAGAAGAGCUAGGGGGGUUCAGGAGAAGGUAGGUGAAGGUGGGAGAAGUUGAGAGUAGAGCGUGGAGACUGAGAGGAAGGGAAGGGCCGUAUUUAUGGGGAAGAAAGAGGAGUGUUGAGGUGGAAUUGGGCUGGGCUGCCUUCUUGUUCACUGUAACCCCUCUGCAAUGGUAAGUGGUAACUUGCCUUUUGUAUAUUGUAUUAAUAUUAUUAUUAUUAUUAUUAUUAUUAUUAUAAGGGCUUUUGGAGUGGGGUGUGGGUGGGCCUGCAAAGGGGCAAAGUGGGAUAGGACACUGCAUUCGCCAGCCAGCCAGCCACCUUCUCACCACACCCUCACUCACUCAGCCGCUGCUGCUGCAGCGCUGCUAACCGCCCCAGUCUCGUGCGACCCCACUUUCAUGUCUCUUUAGUCUUUUUCCAUUCAAGUUUUCUCUUUCUUGUCCCUUCCUUCCUCGGAAUUGGCUUUAGGUGUCUACCCACCAACUCUUUCUGGGCAUAUCCCAUCACCAUUUCACCAUCCCAUUCCUUUCUAACCACACCAAUCCUUGCUUUCACUUCAAAAUAUAGCAUAAUUUUUCUUUCCCAAUCUCAACAAUUCCCCAUUUUGUGCAGGUUUAAAAGAUUAAAAUCUUAUCAUAAAAGCUAUAUUUUAUUAUUUUAUCUCAUAUACAAACAUUUUUCCUCUUCAAUCAAAAUUUUUGUAAUUACCAUUUCAAAAUCAUGACAUUUGCCAACAACAAAAUGUCAUCUCAAAACAGCCUUUACAAACGACCAAAACUUUUGGGGACAAAAAAAAAAAAGAAAAGACUUUUAGUCACAUCUUGAAUUUAGUCUUCCAUUUAGUGAUAUGUCAUGUACUUUCUGGCAAGUAUUUAUCUUCUCUACCACGCUUUAUACCCUCAUAAUGAAGAACAUAAUAUUAUUUUGUUACUUUGUGAAAAAUUUAAAACCAAUUAUGCACUUGUAUAAGAUAUGAUUGAAAAAUUACUUAAGACAACAAAAAUAUUUUUUUCCAUUUUUUCCCUUUCAAAAUGGGAUUAAAAUGGAAUGAAAAGACUUAGAAUUUUAAACUUAAAAUACCAAUCCAAUUAAAUUUGUUUUUUCACUUCUUAAAAUAUAGAAUUUAAAAUAUAAAAAAAAAAACCCUUUAUUUUUUUAUUAAUACACUAUUUAGUAUAAUUGUUUUGAUAAUGAACAAAAACGGCUUUGGAAUGUUUUUGUAAAUUCAUUAAGAAAAAAAAUUCUUACUUAUUUGGGUACAGUGUUUUUGGACAAAAAUGAUUUCUUUAAAACAAAAUUAAUUUUAUUCUCAAAGUAAUAUGUCUCAUUCAUAUGCAUAUCUAUAUUAUAAAACCAUAAUUGAUAAUCAUAAUUUUGAUUUUUUUUUUAAAUGAUCAAAAAAUCAUAGUCGAUGAUUGUAUGUAAUAAUAUACACUCAAUCUUUUAUCAUGUAAACAUGAAAAAGUCAUAUAUAUAUAUAUAUAUAUAUAUAACUUUUUGCAUAUUAAUCACAACAUGAAAAAGUCUUAUAGUCACCGACGGUUUUAUUGAAAAAAAAAAAUUCAAAUGUUCAAGUCAUUUUGCAUAUUAAUCACAACAUGAAAAAGUCUUAUAUAUAGUCACCGACGGUUUUAUUGAAGAAAAAAAAUUCAAAUGUUCAACUCAAAAUCACGACUUAUUUUGGUAGGAGAUUUAAUUUGUAAAUUUUUUUAAUAUAUUAUUUUUGCAACCGAGGACACGCAUAUUUCGAAAAACAUAGGUAAGUAACACACGUGCAACUCACGUGAGAGAAGCUGUGUGCAUAUACGAUCCUUUUCCCGUAUUAAACACUCAUACGAUUGCAUGGAAGGAAGUGCAAUGUUUGCAGUCAAGCGAGGAGAGCCGACUGUGCCCGUACGAUUGUAAUCUGGCGGGGCAGACCCACGGAGCACGGACUCAUUAAUAAGGCCCGCAUUCACACAGCUGAUCGCUCUCACAGGUCAAAGUACGAACGUGGCAGCCUUUGAUUGGUCUCCAUGAAAAGACAGCGACGAAACAAUGGAAAUUCCGGAAAGUAAAACGUGGAAAAAUAUGGGCCAGUUGUUGACCACAAUAUUCAAGACCGACACGUGGCUAAAACAUGAGGCUGGAGAUGAAGUGGCGGUUCCGGGUGGGAUCCCAUGCACAGUCAGUGGACGGUGAUUGGAUGAAUAAAAAAUGGAGAAAAUGUGGGGAGAUGAGAUGACGUCGGUGGACAGGUCAGCAUCAGCUGCUGAAGGGUCAUUCGAGUGCAGUGUUGCUUAAGAAACUUUUCCCUGCUAUUCACUCACUCAGUGAGUCAGGGUCCUUCCGGUCACCAUCAUCAAUGCCCUUUAAUAUUUUAAUGAACAGGUUUAGAUUAUGAAUUCACGUAAAUUUAAAAUAGAUAAUUAGUGGGUGGGGACUGGGAGAGAUUGGAUUAAAAUAUUCAAAAAAUCAUUAGUCCAAUUAUGGUUUGAUUAAGAGACUGAAAAUUACUUAGACAGCACACCACAUGAGCCACUAAUGAAGCCAGGGUGGCAAUUAAAUUAAAAUACCACUAAGUUGGAUUAGAACAUUCUGCAGUCUUCCAGCCUUCCUCAGAAUGGUUGCAGGCCGUAAAAGAUGAAUGAAGUUGGUUUCUUUUUUUUCUUUUCUUUUUUUUGUGGUUUUCAUGAGAUGCGUGUGUUAACAUGUGAAGAUGACCGUUGUUGACUUUAAAAAGCACAUUAAAAUAAGAGCAAAAGCAAAUGAAACAAGCAAGCUUUAUAGCCAUUCUUUUUUUCUUUUGAAGUCUCAAGGCUGUGGUUGCAGAACCGUGGCGAAGUAAUGGUUGGGUCAUUCACGGAUGGGAAUUUCUGGAGCUUCCACCGCCCACUUAACAUCAUCAACAGCUCAUGCAUCAAACCCAUCGCCUUCUCUUAAUUCCAUCUCUCCCUCACUCCCUCUUUCUAAUUUUUUUUUUUUUUUUUUUUUUUGUUUUUGUUUUUGUUUUUUAGUACUAAUCCAUAUUUCCACAUUCAUCACAUGCUUAACCCAGAUUCUUCUUCCACCAAAAGCAACCAACGGGCAAAUCCUUGCACGUGAACAAACAACCCAUUUAAAAUCCCAAAGGCCCACAUUUUUUAGUUCCAAUAUUUUAUUUAUUUCAAAGAGGAGUCUGGAAGGGAUUAAUAAGACAACAAUGCCAGCCAAGAAAAAGCGGCUUCAUAAAUACGUUGAGCAUAGGAAAAAUGAUUGAUUUUAAUUUAUUUUUUUUCUAUGAUAUAAAUAAGUUUGAUAGAAAUAAUAAUAACAAUAAAAGAGAAAGAAACCAGAGGCAAACCGACCAUGACAGCCAGGCAACCAGAGUGGAGGAUACAUGAGCGACGUAGGUUGGCAGGCGGCUGUUCUAAGUCCAAACCUAUUAUUUAGGCUUACCGACUACCAAGUUCGAACACCGUAUAACUCAAUAAUUUUCCCUUGUAUGAUGAUGAUAGCGACCUCGAAAACAUGGCAUUAGAUGGACUCCAAACAUUUUUUUUUAAACUUAUACGGCCCGCCCCCCACCCCCCACCCACCACCCUUGACGCACACGACUCCCAUCACACCAUUUGUAAGCUAGGAUGCUUUUAAUUCCACGUUUUAUAGGUAGAGAGGGAUUGUGGUGUGGGACACAUGGUUAAAUGUCAUAAUCAAAUGCAGUGAGUAACGAGAUUAUAACAAACUAUAUUCCAUUUUAUCCUAUACUUUUUUUUAGUAACACUGUUGAUAUGGUAUGGAGUAUUUGUUACAUUGUUAUUUAAUCACUAUUUUUUACCUGGGAUUUUCAAAUCAUCAACUACUCUAAAUCUAUGAGGUUGAGAAUCAGAAUUUAUUGAGAAGACAGAUAAAAAAGACGCAAGAGUCACAAUCACCACUAAGCAAAAGUGAUGGCUCUUUAGGGUUCAAUAAAUCAGAGCCACAUCUGGAAACCCCCCUGCCACCCCAACUCCAUGUUCCACGAGAGAAGGCGAGCCCCCGUCCAACUCAGAGAUAGGGCCACCACCAACCAAAUCAAGAAUAUGCCUACCAUUAUGAUUUGGUCCCACUCAGAUGUGAGCACACACCGUUCCAUGGCCACUCAAACCUCUAGACAAGGGCUAUCAGGUGGUCCCUCCACCCGUGUUCGACAGAUGCACAGCUCUCAGUCAUAUUAUUCCGGAGCCGGGUCUGUAUUACAACAGAAGCCCUCAUUUCUCAGUCAUCCUUGUCUUUGUUUGUGUGCAGUGGAUGCCUUUUCUAUCCAAAGGAAAGAAACAUUUCUUGCGACCACUGCAGCAAGCAAGGCCAGGGAAGUAGAGAUGGAGAGCUAAGGCUGCUCCAAUGAUAAUCAUCAGAAGAUAUCUUAUUGAUAGUAGUGUAUCCAGGAAGGUUUUCCAAUCAAGACACUUCUGAUUUCUGGCUUUCUGCAAACAAUUACAUGUCCUCCUGCUAUAUUGUCUGCUGGAGAUGCAGUUCUAUCUCAAGAAUAGACAAAUAUGCAAUUGAAGGGUUGAUUUCAAUUCUAGUACUGCCAUAUUGUAAGUUCAAAAAGCAAUCAUCAAAAAUGAUUCUGAUGGCCACCAAAAGUCGUGAAUAUGCUUUUACAAGGAUUAUGGCACAAGAAGAUUCUUGACAAGUUCACAAUCAAGGGAUAAAUAGUUUCUAUGAUACACCAAACAAGAAUGAAAUGAUAUAGCAGCCGUUACUAUGUUCAAUAAUAGUCAUGCACGUCAGCAGAAAAACAAUGGGCAAUGGAUGUUAACUAAAGCCUGUUUUUGAAAAACAGAUUGAUUCCAGAAGAAAUAUGAUUCUACUUCUAACCAAGCAUCUCCAAGCUAUCAAAGCUUAGCAACGCAUUAAACAUAUCAAAUCACUUCCUUUCAGAAAUAUUCAACGAGGAAGUUUUCCUUCUAACAUCCAAAUUCCUCAGCCUUUCAUGACUUAGAUUUGAUAGAAAAAAGAAAAUUAAAAAAUAAAUCAAUAAAACAAAACAAGUGGGGAUCCAACAGAACAACUUGAAUGGAGCCACAUCCAACAGACCACAAAAAGGGGAGAAGACGACAAUCCAAUCUAAUAAGAAAAAAAUACAGAUAAGACUUCAAAACUGUGUAUAUGUGGAUGCAUAUCAAGAUAUUUUGCAGCGAAAUGGCUAAAAGGAAAAAGGAAAAAGAAUUAUAAAAAAAAGGACUGUUCCACUUUUAAAGUUUCCUCUCCCUGCAUAAUCAAAGGAAUGAUUAAAAACAAACAAAAUAUGUGUUUCUUCAAUUUCUUUCCUUUUCAUCAAGAAAUAUUCAAAAGAAAUCACAAUAUAAUAAUUCUUUUAAGCCACUACCUGAGUUGAACCAAACCCACUGCAUCCAUUUUGUAGUUGCCAUUUAUAAAACAUAUUUGUAAUAACACCUAAAAAAGGUGUAAUUCUUUACAAUAACAGACACCACCAAAAUAAUAAACAUCAAGAUGCAUAUACCCCCACCCUACAUCUAUUUUUACUAGUUUAGCAUUCCUAAAUUGAACUUUUAAAAAGUACUGUAACACUAGUAUCAUGCUAUCAGCCAACUAUCCCAUCAUAGUUAGCACCAAAUUAAACAUAACAUGCAAGGCUGUGCUACAAUAUAAUGAUUCUUAUCAUCAAUGGCAAAUAAUAUUACAUGGAUUCAAUCACACAUCUUCUUUGCACAACUCUUGUUUAAGUCAUCUUCUAUUGGCAUUAAAUCUUUUUUCCUUUUGUUAUUGAGAAGCUUUUCUUGCUAACAAUCCCACUCUGGUUUUCAUUCUUCCCUUCAUUCAUUCAGCUUUUGCUCCAUUUGGAUCAGGAAAAGUGGGAGGGAAGGGGUGAGAGUGGCAAAAAACAAGAGAGGAAAGGAAAGAAAGAUUGAAGAAAAAAUUAAAAAUUUAAGUUUGAAUUCAGUAAUUUUUCGCCCCCAAUUUUACCCGCUUUCAUGUAUGAAACAAAAAUUCAGAGAAUGUGUAAUCUUUAAUAUAAUCUUCCAUCAUAUUUUCCAUGGAAAACUAGACGAGCGUUUGAGAUUUUUUUCCUUUUCUCCAUUUCCUAAUACUUUCCAAGAUCUGAACCAUAGUAGAUGUCAUAAUAUUAUUACCAGAAGUGGAAGACCAGAUAUAUCUUUUUAAUUUUUGAGAGAGGAGACAAUAAUUUGAAUAAAUUUGAGAGAUUACAGGAAGAGGAAGUUAAGGUGGUGUGAGAAGUUGAGAGAUUGGAAAGCAUGGAAUUGGGAGAUGUUUAGAGAUUCACGGACAUUAAAGUUGGAAUACGGGAAAAGAAAAUUCAACUAAGUUAUUCACAGAAUGAAGAUGGAACACCAAGAACAGAGAAACAUUAUUUUAACAGUUCUAUGACACUAUUAACAGGUUAUUUGAGCAAUUGGCACCCUUUACAUAUUUAUUAAUAUACAUUCUCUUAUUUGCCUAUCAAAAAAAAAACUCGAGCAGUUCUAUGACACUAUUAAAAGGUUAUCUUACAGUAUUUCACAAAGAUGGGACAUCAAAGCAAAAUUGGCUGAUUCUUCUGAAAUAGUAUGAUAACAACAUAUAAUUCCUAAUUAUACAAAAUGGCCAAAUGGUUUAUAACUAGUAUUCUCUAACAUUCAUAAUUUGGCCAGCUGCAUAUCUUAUUUAGCUACUCAAGUGGGGUUGAGUAAUCUCUUCUUAGAAGAUUAGUCCACUAAACCUUUUCAUAGUCCAUGGGCUAUGAUUUAUGGUCUCUAAAGCAAGCUACAACACAAUUGUCUGGGGCUGCAACAUUGGGCAAGCUUGGCCAAAGUAUUUCGAUAGCUCAAGUUGUAUUUGGUUGAUAGACAUCAUCCUUUCACAAACUUAGAUUGAACAUCAACCCGAGCCUGACAUCUGAUAAAUACAUAGAUGAUGCAUGAUGGGUUGAUUUUUAAAUCAUAAAAGAGAAUAGAAGCAUGAAAUCACACAUGUUUCAGAAGGGCCAAAAGGACCAACCCUACUUCUCUUAGAUAUCUUUACACUUAAUUCCGCCUAUGGUCAUGAGACUCUUGACUCUCUCCUUUUGCUCUUGCUGGGAGGCCUUUGCACUUGUUUUACUCUUUCAUUUCUCCUCCACUUGUUUCAAUUUGGUUUUCCGAAAAGUAUUUUCCUGCUUAUUUUCAACAAGAUAAACAAACAAACCAUCAACUAUUCAAUUUAAUUCUUGUUUUUUUCUAUGGAAUCAUUUUGAUAACAGUAGAUCUGCAUACAGUUUUCACCAAUCUGCCAUAGAAGGAGCCGGAAAUUUGAUCGAUCUGAAGAGAAAAACCUGAAUGCAAAUAGCAUCCGUAAAAAAAAAUCUUGAAGUUUAACUCCUAAGAAGCACAGCUAUUUCCGCAGGAUUGGGUAAUUAUGGGCACAUUGAUCCUAUGGAAACACCACAAAAUAUAAUAUUAAAAUAAUAAAUAUAUAAAAGGUGUAGUAUUUAUAGGGUGAAAUUGUUACAUAUUUGCUUCUUCAAAAAUAAAAAUAUUUAGGGAAAUGCAGAGUCAAUACUCAAUAGGAUGAUUCUGUCCACCAAACUGAAAUAUAUUGUAUUAUCUCUAUGACUAUCAUGAAAUAUUAAAAAUAUUAAAUAAAUUGCAUCUCUAUAAUCCUCAUCAAAUACUAGCAAUAUCAAAUAAACUGCAUAAUGGAUUUAAAUAAUUAUUAUAACAAUAUAUGUAUGUGUUUAAAUGGAUCAAUAUAUUUCAAUUACUAAAUUCUCUCUACUUGAUGUCAAAAAUGUUUCCAAUGGAAAAUAUCUUAAACAACACUAUAUAGUAGUAGCAAAUUACCAAACAACAGUAUCUUGAAUACCCAUCUUCCCUCAGUUAAACUUCACUAGCGAGCGGGCUCAUAGAAAUUGUGAUGUUAUAUUUAAUAUUGACUAAUUUGAAUUUUUUUAUGAAAAAAAUAAGUAAAUACUUAAAGCGCCAAAUACUUAAAGCGCCAAAAAGAGGGCAGAGCCUACAACAAUGGGAGCAUAUAAGCUUACCGUAGAGGGAAGGGGAAAGAAAAAAACAGAAGACCCAAAAAGUAUGAAAAUUUGAUAGGUGGAAUAUGUAGGAUUUUAAGUCAGGUAAGAAUCAAAUAGAAAAAUAUGGACAAGGACCAAGGAAGGAUCAAAUCACCUUUCAACUAUUUUUCAAGGAAAACAAGCAUGGGCAAGAAAAUUUCUGCAAUACUCCAUGGAAGAAAACAAGUUGGAGGUGGUAAGUGCCCCAUCACACUCACUUGUCCAUCUUUUUCUUGGUUCUUCUUUCCAAUUCAUUCUCAGCCCUGAAGUUGCCCCAAAAUGCAACAGGUCAUGUAGCUACCUAAGUUUCUCUUCUACUACUCCAUAAGAAAUUAUAGUGCCACGCACAUGCAACAACUGGAAAUCAACCCUUUCCUUACCUGAAAACUCAAAACCAUAACCAUCUUUUAUUCACCAAUCAACCAGAACCAUAAUAUAAAGGAAAGGAGAAGAUGAAUUCUCCCCAAAAAUUCAGCUCGAUACCCUAAGGAGCCACAUUAUUCAAGCGCACCAGAAUAAGAAAUCUAAAAACGAAACACAGUUUCUUCUUCUGUUUCCCAGUGCUUUCCAAAUAUUGAGAUCCAAUGAAAUAAAUAUAAAAACUCAAAAUGAAGAUACGUCACCAUGAAAUUCCUACUUUUUAGACAUGUAUCAGUAAGUUUUAUGAACAUCAAGAAGAGGAAAACAAAAGCACACUUAGCUUCGUGGACAAAUGCGUUAUCCCUGACCUUAAAUACACUGGCAAUCCAUUAAACUCAAUGCACAUAAAACACCACGUCGACUCAGAAUGAAAUCCAAGAUACCAGUAAACCAAAAAAAGAAUGCAUCAUUUUGUAAUCAAAAUUCAAAACAAAACUUAUGUGUGCAAUAUCAUCCAACUACAAACCCAUAAGAAACAUCUAAUAAUAUAACAAAACAAAGCUUCAAAUCUAAAGAUACAUAAACUUCCAAGUAAGUCCCUCAUUCCAAUUUAUGAAACUUGGACAAAAGAAGCAAACCGUAGCAAUCCGAAAACGCUCAAUCUUCUGGAACCUCGACGUCUCCAUCGGCAAUCUCCUGCUGCAAAUCCUUGGGAUCCUUACCGUCGACCGUGCAGCCGACAGACACGCAGGUGCCGAGAAUCUCCUUCACUGUGCCGGACAAGUCCUUGGCCAUGGACCUAGGGCGCAUGACCCUGGCGAUCUCGAUAACAUCAUCCAGCGAAAUGUUGCCAUUGUGCUUGAUGUUCUUGGUCUUCUUGCGGUCGCGCUCGGGUUCUUUGAGGGAUUUGAUGACCAGAGCGGCGGCGGAGGGGACGACGGAGACCUUGGCCUGGCGAUUCUGAACGGUGAGUUUGACAGUGACACGGAGGCCCUUCCAGUCCUUGGCGGUCUCUUUGGCGAUGUCUUCUCCGAUUUUCUUAGGGGAGAGACCGAGAGGGCCGAUUUUGGGGGCGAGUGAACUGGCGGCUCCGACUUCGCCGCCAGUGACUCUGACGUAGACGUCGACGACUUGGGAUGGGUCGAAUUUGGGCGGCAUUGUGGGGGAAUAGGAAAAGAGUGGCUGUGCCGCGGAGAAGAAGAAAUGAUCAGGGGUUUAUGGGCUUUUAUAAAUCUAGGGUUUUUGCUGAAUGAUGGUCAGUUCCUUAAUCACAAUCCCUAACUUCCUAAACCAAUGCUUGGAUUGGGCCAGAGUGUACCCUAAUACUCUUCCUCCAUUUGUAGCCGAAUUUCAUGAUUUUUUUAAUAGAAUUAAAAUAUAUAUUCUAAUUCUUUCAAACUCUCUUAUAAAUCACUUUCGUUAUAAUCUUGUUAAUUAUAAAUUAUAGCAAUAAGAUUAAUUUUUUCCCUAAUGCAUUGCACUCACACCAAAUAUUAAUUAUAUUUUUCAUUAUUUUUUACAUUAAUAAAAAUCAAAAUCAAAAUCAAAUAAGAUUUUUUAGAUUCUACUUUUAAAAACAGUUUCCAUUUUCCUUAAUCAGAAGUACAAGUGGUGAGAUGCAAUUGCAUGCAUGCAUGCAUAGAGAAUGAAUUUCGACUGGAUAAAGAAUACGAAAAUGAAGAUGUGCUUCACAGUUUGAUAAAGAAACCUGGAUGCCAUUGUUCUUCCCAUAAUAUGCUUCUGAAACAAUCAGCUACUACAUAGGCAAUGCAUAUACAUAUCAAAAGAGGGCAUAGAUUUAUUAGCUGGUUCAUCUUUAAAAACAUCGGUCUGGAAAUCCCAAAUCGUAGCCGAGGCUGAAUCCAUCGAUUUCGUAAGGCCUUGUUUUCAGACCAGCAAGAAUAAAUAUAAAGAAAACUAAGGAGAUAGUUGCGCCCCCGUCUUUUUAUUUGCCCAACACUUCUCUUACAGAUUCUGAAACCAAAGAUAGAAGCAAAAGGUCCUGCACUAUUUCCAUUUUGAUUAAAAAAAAGGCAUAGAAAUACAAUCAAAUACCCAGUAAACUAAGACUUCAACGGUCACCAAGUCAUAUGCACUGUCUUUUCAACCUGAUAAAAGCAGAAUGACCAAAGACCAUUUCCAUAAGGGGCUUCUGUACAGAAUAUACAAAUACCCAAACCUGAAGAUCUGAGAUACACAAUAUACAGCUGGUGCCUCUACAAAGGGCCCUAAUGCUGUCUAGUAUAGUACUGGUGAAAUGGCUGAAACUAACCUCCUUAACUGAACAUGGCAACACUUUACUUUACAAGAAAGGGAUUUGUGUUUGACCUCUAAGCAGAAAAGGCUGAAUCCAUUGCUUUUAAGAUUGCCGUGGUAUCAAACCUGAAGUUUCUGAAGCUCCUGCCAGGACCUGUGUCAGGAGGGUGAACAUCUGAUACGGGUUUUGUUGCCUGGUUCUCCGCUAUCAUUGUGCUACUCCCUGUAGAGCUGUUCUUGGCUUUCCACACACAGAAUCCUUAACAAAAUGACCAAAUGCUCAUCAGCAUAACCACACAAGAAAAUUAAAGCACCACCAUACUUCUUAUGAAAAUCAUAGUAUGCAAACUAACAAAAAGAAACACUAGGGCAUGUUGCUAGGCAGCUUAAUUAGAUCUUUCUCAAAUCUUUGAAACAAAAACAAGCUACUGCUUACUCAGCCUGCUUCUCCAUUUUUUGAAUCAAACAAAUUUUAUUUCAGCAUCAUUUCUGUUUGAUAGCAAAGAUGCGUAGGGAAAAGAGCAAAAAUUUGGAAUGCUAUAACAGGUUGGGGUUUGGGUGGCUGUUGUAAGAUUCCAUCCAAGUUCCCUUCUCUUCAUAUGACUUCCAUGUCAUCAAACCGAUCAUCCAGAGAAAGCAAAAUAGAUUGAUUGCACAGGUAAACCAGCAGGGAAACUUAAUCCUAAUUACAAGUCCUGAUAAAUAGUUUAAUAGUCUGUACUUGUGUCAACAACAAUAUUAAGAUUUAAGACACCAUGUAGUGAUUAUUUUGACGAUGCUUCCUUGUUGAAAAUUUUCUAACAUGGCAAUAUUAAGAUAAUUAAGAAAAAUGAGCUCAGCUUUUUUUCACUGUUUUAGAUUAGGGGCUGAAGAUACAUAAACUAUUGGGAAAUGCAAAUGCCCUGUUUCUGGGGGGCUCUAUCUGAGUUAUUUUCCUUCAUUCUUUUUCGGCUUUCUAUCCAUUAAACAUAAAGAAACGCUUUAAUGGGAUACCUAUCACAAGUAAAAACAAUGAGAGGAAAAUGUCAGAAGUUUCAGAAAUUCCAUUCAUGGAAGGACAAACCUUUGGCAGGCGCAUCAAAUUUUGGGGCUAUGGGGGGUUGAUGUGCUGAAAUCCAUGAUUUCAAAGAUCUGCAUGAGAACACUAUUGAAUAAAAAUUGUCCAAGAAUGUAAAACCCUUUUGGAGAUCAUACCAAAAUUCUGUGAACAAUACUCACAAUAAGAAAGGAGCAACCAUGUAAAGCUUGACACCUGAGAGCCCACGAGAUAUCACAUCACCACUUACUGGCUGAAGGUCAUCGAGUCGAUGCCAUGAGAUUUCCUGCAAGCAGAAAAUUGGCAACCUCUCAAAAUUUCAAUUUUCUGCAAGGUACAAGCCUUUAACAUUGCCUCUCACUUAGUUAAAAAAAUAAAAUAAAAUGAAAAGAUGUUGCAGCAGUCGUGAGAGGUGUAACAAUUCAGAAACUUAAUUGGACGGCCAAAAAGAAGCAUGAGAUGUGUCCUAAGAAGGUCCUUUAACUAAGUAUAAGCUAAAAAAUUUUAGCCUGUAAGAUUACAACACACUAGAGUGAUGAAGUUCCUUAUCUAGUUAAUUUCUAAUCCAAAGUUAGAUAAGAAUUAGAGGGUUUUUUUUUCCUUCUAUUUUUUUAAUAGUUUUCUGUCUCUUGGUAGGAAGAAAUCACUAGACUGAUUAAAUCAAAACUAUAAUCUACUUGCUAUGAAACCUCCAAUAUAAUAACCCUCUGCCAAAGUGCAUAUGCUUUAAAAUCUUCCCAAGAUGAGAACUCCUAAAAGAUUGAUCUCAUAUAGUGGGUUCUGGAGGGCUCAGUUAAAAUGUUCUCUGCAAAACCUAAUGGAUGUGUGCAUGUAUAUAAAAUUUAUAAAAUAUUAAUAUAUAUAUAUAUAUAUAUCACAUAGUAAGAGUGUGCAUGCACGCAGAGGACUGUGUGCAUGUGUGUGAGAGAGAGAGGAGAGAGAGAUUUGCACAUGUUUUGCAAGGGGAGGAAGGUACUAUUCAAUGCCAAAGUGCAUAUUCUAUUGGUCAUCAGUAUUGCAAAUACAAAGCUCUUUACCUUUCAUUUGUAGGUACCAAGCUUAAAAAACUAGUCCAGGAAAUUCAACAAAUUUGAUCUAAGCUGGUAUGGAUUUAAAAACAGAUUAUUUAGCAUGUCUUGCAAGUAAGAAAAAAGCAGGACAUAAAUUUCAGGUGAUAACUUAGAAACCAAGAAAGUUUAACAUCAAAUCUACCCAGAAAUUUUUCCUCUUUAACUGGUAAACUUCUUUGCAAAGAAAAAAAAAACUGAGAAAUGGAUUUAUCUUAAAAUAUUGACAGUAUUUAAAAGGAGAGGAGCAUAUACACUGAUCUCUUUUUUGGUAAGUGGCGCAAAGGCAGUAUCAUCCUUCACACCAGCGAUUAUGUAAAGCCGCACCCUUUGUUGUCCAAAUAUCUCUUCAAUGUACUCAUCUUGGUUAAGAAGUUUUGAGACAUCAAAACCUGUUUCCUCCUGUACCUGCAUCCACCAUAGCAAAUAGUUAGGUGAAAAGUAUGAGAAAGGUAUAGAGAGAACAGCAGUUUAAUUUAGUUCUCCUUUUAUUUCAAACAAAGGCAAAAAGCAAUAAGUGAUAUUGAUUUAAGAAUCCAAUCUGUAGCUUGAAAUAUAAGGUUUCUAAUAAGUUUAGCAAGGUUGCUUAACAAAUUUUAUAUUGUAAAUUUUAAUUACCAUCCUCCUUAUCGCAGACAUCAUUAGCAUGCAAUAAUUAAGAAGAGAAAUUCACACAAAAGAAGAAAACACAACCAAAAGUGUUUAAGGUAGCUAUAUCUAUGGGUCAAGACAGCAAAACUAGAUCUACUGAAUUAAUGGAAAUUACAAGAACAUAAGUUCUUUCUCCUGAAUAUAUAAAAUGAGAGAGAAACAAGCAAGAAAACCAAUCAUGUCUGGGACUCAGGGGUCACUCCCAGAGUCACAAGACACCACUCAAACAACAUCAAAGUAAACAGUUACUCCUAAAUGCUCCAGAACUUUAACAAAAGCCACAACACUUCUCCCUGAACCAUCCUCCCCAAGAAUGGGGAUUUCAAAAUCACCCAAGCAUGCAUUUUGUUAAAAAAGAUUCUAAAAAAGUUAAAGACAAUUCUAAAAAGUUCCCUAUUGAAAAAAAAAAAAGGACCUAAUUGGACAAGGAAUAGCAAGCUAAUCAACAAGUUAAUCUUUAAAAGUGGUCUGGAAAUAGUGACAAUUUUCAGGCAAAAUGAACGGGCCCUGCAAAGCAAGUAGUAGUGGAGAUGGAAAACAGCUUGCAGAGAAGAAUCAUCAAUGCAAUUUAUCAUCAAUCCUCAAUAUGGUAAUCUACCAUUGGCUGUGCUCCUGGUUGUACAUCAGGAAGAAUUUGAACAGAGGAAUUCAACAAUAUUUUGGAAAGCUGUGAAGGUUUUGGUAGGGACAAUAAGGAAAAGACAAAUUUGGCUGACAUUUAAAGCCAAAAAAGGAACUCCCCUUUACAAAGCCAGCUGCAAGUCUCAUCAUCCUCUCCCAACAUGGGAAAAGCUUUGAUCAGCACUUGUGGACUCCAGGUUGUUAGUAUUAAUGGUUACACCCCCUAGCUUUAGAAUCUUCAUGUUUGGGAAAUUGAUUCCAUAUAGAUCCAGUUACCCUUCAUUUGGUCAUGCCCCUCAAAGGUGGAGGGGCAGGAUUGUUCUUGUGGAAAUUAGUUUGGAAAUUCCAAGCCCCAUCAGAUUUAGAUUUCUUCUUCUGGUGUGCAUUGUCAAAAUAAAUUUCAAGGACUGAUGAUCUCAUUUCAGAAAAAUGACAUUCCAAACAGAUGUUAUGCAAUUAUGUGUAAGAAAUAGUGAGAGACACUGAAUCAGAUACACCAGGAUCAUCAAGUCCUUACAGAAACAUCAUUUGACAACUUGUUAUGAUAAAACCAUUUCCCAUAUUCUAAGUCAAUCUUGGACAACAUUCUUCAUAGCCUGAAACUAAAUUAGAAGUUAUGAAAAAAUUGGUAACAUUUAAGCCUUUUUCCCUUCACCAUCAUGCACCAACUAGUUUGAAUCUAUGGGAAAUGGUGUUUUAAACAAGUGAAGAGUUAUAUAAAUAAAAGAACCAGAUAUACUGAGAUAGUCCAAUAAAAUACACAACGGCAAUAACAUCUUACUUCUCUAAUGGCACACGUGUGGUCUUCUUCAUCUUUGUUCUUUUUUCCACGGGGAAAACUCCAGCUUGUUCCUUUCCAUCCCUUCACUAGUAAGCACUGUUAAUUAUACAAAACAAGUAUCAAAACAGUGUGACAAUAUUUUUAAAAGGAGAACUGAAUCACUUACUUCAAACUAUUAGAUAACUCUGUUAUGUGUACUACAGUUUACAUUUUACAUUCUGAAUCAUACAGAAAAGCAUUUCAUGAAGGAUCCAAUUCACCAAAAUUGCAAAAGAGAUAUUGGUGUGCAAACAUGAGGAUAUCCAGUUAAAAUAUAACAGCAGAUAGGGAACCAUCUCUGUCAACUGGUUAGGAGGAAGCCAGUUAGGCAUGGUGUAAGAGAGGUUAUAGAAAAUAGAUGUUCAAGUAUCUUUUAAACUUAAAUUGAGAGAAAAUGAAGUUUAUGCUAGUCUUGCAGUAGCAUUACAAGCCAGACCUGCAAGCUAUAGAUCUUCAAAUUGAGCUACUACCAGCCAAACCAUGACCCACUACAAAAGUGCGGAUAAACAAGAUUCUUAACAAUAAUUAGAUAGGACUACUCCACUAUUCUAGGAGAAACCUUCGCUCCUUUUCCUUUUCAUUUCUUUUCUUUUCUUUUUUUAUUUAUUUAUUAACUUUUUUGUUCUUUUGAUAGGUAAACUUUUGAGCACAUUGGGAGUUGAACCUGGGAAACUCCCACAAACCCUCCCAACCUUUUACCACUUGAGCUAGGCCUCAAGGGACUUUGUUUCUUUCCCAUUGCAACUGGGUGAAGCUCUUUCCAGGCUCUUAGGAGGCUAGAUUUCACAUUUCCAUGAAAAAUUUCCACUUUCACCUAUUCACAAGUAAUUUGCAUCACUCGCAAUAUAUUGAACAGUGGACUUGUACUCCUGUUCUCUAACAUUCUACAAAGUUCCAUUAAGAUUUCCAUUUCUUCCUAAAAAUCUUCUGAAUUUUCACAUUUUUGUAUAAUCACAUUUUCAAUAUCAUAAACACUUCAGUAGCUCAAAACCAGCAUUUCCAUCAUCAUAUAAAGCCUUAAUGUUUCUUAUCUUCACCUCAUAUUUUCUGCCAAAGAAAUAAUCAAAGAGCCAUCAGUGAAACAGAUGGUGAAAAGCUUCAUUUAUGGCAGGCUGUGAGAAUUUAUUGGACUGCUAAGGAAAAUGCAUCAUACAACUAUGAAAUUCCACAUUCAGAUCAACAGUAUGUAUGUCCAUACAUGGAUGACAAAAUGUAAGAUAGAAUCGAUGACAACAGAUUCUUUGAUAGGCAAGCAGCAACAUCAGAUCUUAGGCAAGUGUAAAGCUGCCAAAAAUAAAUAAAUGAAUAAAGGUUGGUUGUUAAAAGAAAAUGCUACAAAAGGGAUUUUUCUCUCCAAGAAAGGACCAAAAUAGAAUAAUCUUUCCCUAGCUUUCAUUGACAAGAGUCCUCACCCGUUCAAAGGUUUCAUCCAAAAUGAUUGCCCCAGUUACAGGUACUCGAACCUUGUAGGAAGUGAAGUCCUUAAAAAUAUCAUCUAUGUGAGCAACAUAAGGUCGUAAAACAUCACAGCUGUUAAAUACUGAAAGAUGUUAAGGAAAACAAUCAUAAACCAAUACGGAAAUACAUUGAAAGAAUAAAUCCACAAUAAAUGAUCAUCACAUUGUCAAGAAGCUAGUCCUUCCAAAGUAACCUUUACAAUAACUUUAUAUUGAUGUUCCAAUAUUUGAUUGAUUGGGUGGGCUGUUAGCCAUACAGGCUUUCUUUUUUCCUUUUGAUAUUGAAAGAAUAAAUCCACAAUGAAUGAUCAUCACAUUGUCAAGAAGCUAGUCCUUCCAAAGUAACCCUUACAAUAACUUCAUAUUGAUGUUCCAAUACUUGAUUGAUUGGGUGGGCUGUUAGCCAUACAGGCUUUCUUUUUUCCUUUAGAUAAGCAAAUGAUAAUAAAGCACCAAACAAUAUGGUGCACAGGAACCACAUCUAAGAAGAAAAAAGAAGCAAUUAACAAUUACAUUCCCAAUCUAUUACUUAGUGCACAACCUCUCAAUGAAAUCUAUCAAGGAUGUGGAACCAACUUGAACAUCAUCGUGAAGAGACCCAUGAGACCACAUGUAUAGAUUAGAAAUAAGGGAGCCCUUAAGAGAUUGGUUUGUGCAUUGCACCCCUUCAAAACUUAUUUGGUUAUGUUCCUUCCAAAUUGUCCAGAAUAGGCAAAGAGGAGUUGCUCUCCAAGCCUUUCUUCUCUUCUUACCCACAAAACUCUCAUUCCAACAAAUCAACAAGCAUUUCAUUGAAAAAUAGAAAAACCACAAAAUGCCAAAUAAAGAGAACAAGAAGUGCCAUCAAUGUAGGACAACUCUAAGAUGGUUGCCUACACUCAAAUAGGUGAGCUAGGGUUUUUAUUUAAGGAGAUAAACUAGGAAUAAAGUUUAUGGUCGAGAAAAAAUAAAGAGAAAGAAGAUACAACGAAUAAAAGAUGGAAACCUUAGAGUCUCACUAAGGCCUUUUAGAAGUCUCACCUAGAAGAAAAUCAAUGGAAUCUCACCAUUGAGGAUUGCAACACUUGUAAUAAUAAAAACAUAAUAUUAUUAACAUCAAUCAAUUCAUUACUUUGAUUUACAUUAAUUAGUCCUAUUUAUUGGUUUCUCUAAGAAAUCCAAAGUUUACUAGAAUUCUAAUAACCUAUUAUGACUCUAAUUCUAAUUAUCUUAUAACCUAACUAGCUAAUCCUAAUUUGACUCCAACAAAUACUAAUCCUAAUUUAAUUCCAAUUAAUAAUAAUUCUAAUUUAAUUCCAACUAAUAUUAAUCCUAUUUAAAGUUUAUUUAUAUCUUCCCUUUCCUUCUUGAAUAUACUUUAAAAGACUUUCCCCCAUCAGCCAUAGUCUCUACCUUCCCUAUAAUGGAUGAGUAAAUGGUUUACUUAUUCUUCUGCAUUUUUAUACAUACAAUAAUAACUCACUAAAAACCAACCUCUUCUUGAAUGGAUGAGCAAAUCCUUCUCUAAGCCGUUUUCCAUGUGCAAAAACCCACUUUGGUAGGAACCCAAGAUACCCAUGCUAUCUAUGAGGGGAAAAGCACUUCUACCUCCAAACCCAAGGUAGAGUAGAAGGACUUAACCAAGAAUAUCCCACUCUUAGUAGUCUUCUAUACCAUUUUGUCCUAUCCACUACUCCUUUCUAACACAUGUAGCUUUCGAAGCAUCUCUGUAACAUUACUCACCUCGCAAACUUAGGAAUGUCUCAAAAAGCACAAGUUCUACAAGACCAACUCACUUUCUACCACCCAAACAUCACCCACUCAAGCCUUUUUUUAUUUUAUUUUAUAAAAGUUAUAAAAAAUAAUAGAGAUGGAAAAGAGUCCUUCAAAGGAACAUCACCACAUUAUACAUCUUGCCAAAAUUUGAUUCUUCUUCCACUGCUUAUCUCAAACCCUAUUUUGGCUUUAAAAACUCCCCAUCCUUUUCUUACCAUCUUCCACAAGCCAAGGUCAUAACCUUCCUUCCUACCCAAGAGCACCACUUAUCUGGCUCUUCUCCAAACUUUCCCACUAUAUCCUUUCUCCAAGGCAAAUCCCUCUCCAAAGCAAAUUUCCAACACCAUUUUCUUAGUAAGGCUUUAUUGAGGGUAAACAUGUGCUUGAUGCCUAGGCCCUCUUUCAUUUUAUCUUUGCAGAUUGACGACCAUUUUUACGAGAUGAUUUUUCUUGUUAAGAACCCCUUCUCCCCAUAAUGAAUUGGUAGCCAUACAUGCAUGUUUAUGUCGUUACCUUACCUUACACAUACAAUUGAAACAGCAAGAUCAUAUCACUCCCCAGCCUCAAGCUAACAAAAACAAACUUCAAGUUGCAGUAGACACAAUGAUUAAGACUUGACAGAAAGUUUGUACUUUUACAUCUUAGUUUCCUGAACUUCUGUCUUGUUGGAGCUUAGGAAGUUUUUUUUUUUUUGUAUAGUUUCAGUACUUAUGAAAGUUUAUAUAUUUUGAGUUCAAGGCAAUUGGCAACUACACACAUGCAUAAACAAGAACUUUCUUUAUUUUUUUUCUUUUUCUUUUUCUUUUAAUUGGUAGAUAAAGAAGAUGCAUCUAACAAAAGAAGGGCACAACCCAUAUACAUACUAUGUGUACAAACAGCACACCUGCAAAUAAAGCAGUAUAACAGACCUAAGCUAAUUAAUCCCCAUAAUGUUCUACAUAAACAAUAAUUCUACAGACAACAACGAACUCUAGAGAUUUUUCACAUUUUUAAUCACUCUUUUAGAUAAUACUUCUAGCAGGAAUUUGUUAAUUCUAAGGUUUAUCUUCUCUUUUUGUUUAUUUUCUUUGUUGUUUUGCACAGUUACACAAACAACCAUCUUGCCCAAACUAAAAUAUGACAAACGGUGUCAAGAUAGCUUGCUUUGUCUUUGUUUGACAUGUUUAGGUAUAGAAGAAAUCAAGAACGUGCUUACAUGAAAUCUGGUUCCACCAAAAGAAUAAAAGAUGAUUAAUUUUGAAGUUAUCUUUGACUUGAUAAAGUAAUAGAGGUCUAUUGACUCAAUGCAAGCAAUCAUAAAAUGAAAUUAAACUAAUAAGCAGCGAAUAGGAUACAUAAAGAGGUAAAUUCUUUUAAAUUGAAGGACUUCAGCGACGGAUUUUUUUCUACUGAGUUGUCCUCAUAGAACCAGUGUGCAUACUCCACAAGAAAUAAAAUCCUCUCAAAUGAUUGUUGGUCUUCCUUCGGCACAUUCAAGACAAAACGACUGCAGGGAAAAAAGGGAUUAAAGCUGAAUAUACAUAUUAAAGAAAAAAACCUAGUCUUGAAAAAGAAAACAACGAUAUGCAAGACACUGCAACUUAGAAGGUUGAUGUGAUAAUAUCAUAAGCACGGAGAAAGUAAAAACAAGCCUCCCAAUUCUAUAGAUGGUACAAAAAAUGUUUAGGAGUCACAAACUAACAGCUAAAUGAGAUUUUGCAAUUAUUCACAGCAAAACACAAACAGAAAGCAAUUGCCCAACCAGUCAUAAAGCUAAUAAAUAUUUUGAAUUUGUACAAAUGGCUAUUCAAAUCCAUGACAUAUCAACAAACAUUUCUUCCUUUUCAUACAACGCAGUAUAUUACAGAUUGAGCAAAAUCAGUAUUGAUCAAAACAAGCUGCAAUUUUCCACUCUGAGAUCCACACCUAUCAAGAAAUUUGGUCACAUAAUCCUAUAGCCCGUUUACAAUAUGAGAACCACGGAAAAAUAAAGAAAUGGGUAUAUGUAGUAUAGAUACAGCCAGAAAAAUUUGAUCAUACAGUUUGUCCUUGAUUUGGUUCCUAAAAAUAAAUGAAAUAAUCAACUCACUAAAGUCAUGAGCAAUUACUUCGAUGAAUUAAACUGAGUUCCUCCUUUCCUUGGAAUUUAAACAGCAAAGGAAUGCCAAACUUCAAUUUCUUUUUCUUUUUUUUCCAUUUUCUUUUCUCCACAGCUAAACAGAGGGCAAUGUGAAAAAAUAUUUCCUGUCCUCCUCACAUUUCAUCACGAUAGAAAAAUCAAACACCAAAAUAAAUGUACUUCCUGUUUCGCCACUAAGCGUCCUAAACCCUAACAAGCGAUUGCAAAACAGUACCUACAACUGAAAAACAAAUGCCAUCGACUGUACACUGAACCUCUAUUUGGCUACCGAAAACCACAAGAAAAAUGAAAAGAAAAUAAUAGAAAACACAACUAAAAGAAGCUCAAAAGCUCUUGAGUUCCUAUUUCUUUUCCACGCUGUUACUCGACAACCAAACGUGUACUUACCUACAGAGAUCGUCGAGGAGUUCUUGAGGAGGAUUUCCGUUCUUCAGAGUAGCGCUUGAAGAUCGAUGGAUGCUUGACAUGACUUCUCUGUCCAAUUCAAAACCCUAGCUUUGGGGAAAAUAAGACGUUAAUCUCUAUUUCUUCCGUUGACGGAAAUGGAUCGGAUCGGACUGAGCAAAUAUUUCCCGACCUGGCCUUCUAUGGCACACCGAAACGGUGCCGUUUUAACUUUUUAUUGGGACUCUUAAAACGAGCCGAACCGCCGUUUGAGGCCGGUUGGACCGCUCGGGGGAUUUGCCUUUGCUAGUAGGGCGGUUUCCUUGUUAUCAAGUUUCUAGGCUAAAAGUGGAUGAUUUGGUAACAAUAUAAUUGGACUAUAUUUUAUAAAAUCUCAUAGAGAUUUUAAAACAUUAACCAUUUUUAUGUAAAAUACUUUAAAAAUUCUUUUGUGUGGAAGGUUUAAUGAAGCCAUGACUACCCUAUGCUUGUCAUAUGUCUCACUUAAAUUCGAUUUUAAUAUAUCAGUCUGAAAUUGUCAUGUGUCUUUCCUUUAUUCAAAUUAAAUAUACCAACCCUAUAUUUGUUAGUAGUUGGUUUGGAAUAUGUUAAAUCAAUUCAUGAAGCCAUGACUACCUUAUGCUUGUCAUGUGUCUCACUUAAAUUCGAUUUUAAUACAUCAGUCUGAAAUUGUCAUGUGUCUUUCCUUUAUUCAAAUUAAAUAUAUCAACCCUAUAUUUGUUAGUAGUUGGUUUGGAAUAUGUUAAAUCAAUUCAAUUUGAACAUAUUAACCCUCUAUUUGUCAGUAGUUGGCUCAGGAUAUUUUAAAACAAACGCCUAUCUUUGAGUUUCAUCAUCGAUACACUAAUUUGGAAUAUGGAUUAAUUGAUUUAGGUUAACUCAUGCAAGCCAAUCCUAUCAGUACUUUACAAAGGUCAUCAUGUUCAUCCUAAGCUAACACCUUGACAUAGUGACAAAUAUAACAAAACAAUCGAAACUCUUACUCAAAACAAACUCUUGUUAUGAUAAUAAUCAAAUAUCAAGAUAGUUUACGAUAUAAACUGAUUGUUAGAGUGCUUUUGUCAUCAAUUUUUCUUAUAAUGAGUUUUGUGCGUACGAGUAAAGUGUGAAGUCAAGUUAACCCAACCUAAAUAUAUACCAAAGAGGAAGAGUGAAUUGAAUGUUGAUCAAUAGUGAUGUAGUGUUGAACAAUUUUAAAGUUUAACUAAAAUGAAUUGCAAUUGUUAGAUAACAAGGAAAAACAAAUAGUAAUGUAACAUGGUUCAAUGCAGUGUCGGCUAUGGCCAUGACCUUAAGCUCCAAUCCAAGCCUUCAGGUAAUCCACCACAUAGCAAAGAUCCUUCAAUCUAAUGAAUACUUUAACUUGUACACUUGAUUUUUAGGUAUGGACUUUUACGAUUCAACAAGCAUCCUUCAACACUUAAAGGGUAUUUGUUUUUUAGCUUUUUGUCAUAAGCAAUUUGAUUUCACAUUUUAGAUUGUUUGUUUUUCUAUUUUUUUAUAAUUUAUUAUGAAUUUUGAACGGGAUAAAAAAGGCCAAAAUAUACGACUUUUCCAAAAUGGAAAAAGUAACAUGUUGGUUUUUAUUUAUCAUUUAAUACCUGUUGGGCUUUGUGGAGCCUAGUUUUGUUUGAUCCGGUUUGACAACCCGACCCGAAUAAUAUUGCAUGGCCUUUUUAAUGGGAGAUUUAUUGAGGUCUGUUGGGCCCGUUUAGCCCAUUGUGGAACCACCUUUUGUAAUUAGGGUUUUUAGUAUGAUAGGGUUGUCAUGCUAUAUAUAUAUAGAGAAUAUUGUAGCCGCCUAGUUGUACUCUGUAUUCUUCCCUGAUAAUAGCGAUAUCCCUACAACUCCGUGGACGUAGGCAAAUUGCCGAACCACGUAAAUACUGUCUUGUGUGUGUGAUUGUUUUUUUUUUUGGCGUGUGUUUUCUCUAAUUUUUUGUUUCUCACGGGUUGGGAAUUCGGUUUAAUUCCCUACAACUGGUAUCAGAGCCUAGGGUUAGGUUUGAGUGGGAGCAAUGGCAGAGGAAGCAGGAAAGGCGUCUGGAAUAGAAAAGUUUGAUGGCACAGACUUUGCGUAUUGGAGGAUGNNNNNNNNNNNNNNNNNNNNNNNNNNNNNNNNNNNNNNNNNNNNNNNNNNNNNNNNNNNNNNNNNNNNNNNNNNNNNNNNNNNNNNNNNNNNNNNNNNNNNNNNNNNNNNNNNNNNNNNNNNNNNNNNNNNNNNNNNNNNNNNNNNNNNNNNNNNNNNNNNNNNNNNNNNNNNNNNNNNNNNNAUGCAUCAGUAGCACAACAUCUGAAUGAAUUAAUACAUCACAAAUCAAUGUCGUCUGUAGAAAUUGAUUUUGAUGAUGAGAUUCGUGCUCUGAUUGUCUUGGCUUCUUUGCCAAACAGUUGGGAGGCAAUGAGGAUGGCAGUAAGCAAUUCUACAGGAAAGGAAAAGCUCAAGUACAAUGAUAUACGAGAUUUAAUUCUGGCUGAGGAGAUUCGCCGAAGAGAUGCAGGUGAAACCUCAGGAUCUGGUUCUGCCCUAAACCUUGAGACAAGAGGCAGAGGUAAUAACAGAAAUUCAAAUCAGGGUAGAUCAAAUUCCAGAAAUUCUAAUCGGAACAGAAGCAAAUCUAGAUCAGGCCAACAAAUACAAUGCUGGAAUUGUGGGAAAACAGGCCACUUUAAAAGGCAAUGCAAAAGCCCUAAGAAGAAGAAUGAAGAUGAUUCUGCUAAUGCUGUAACAGAAGAGGUACAGGAUGCAUUACUUCUUGCAGUAGAUAGUCCACUUGAUGAUUGGGUUUUGGAUUCAGGAGCUUCGUUUCAUACCACUCCACACCGAGAAAUCAUACAGAAUUAUGUUGCAGGUGAUUUUGGUAAGGUGUAUUUGGCUGAUGGUUCAGCCUUGGAUGUUGUGGGUCUGGGAGAGGUCCGGAUAUCAUUGCCCAAUGGGUCUGUUUGGUUACUGGAGAAGGUUCGACAUAUUCCUGACCUGAAGAGGAAUCUGAUUUCUGUUGGACAACUUGAUGAUGAAGGACAUGCAAUACUAUUUGUUGGUGGUACUUGGAAGGUUACAAAGGGAGCUAGGGUAUUGGCUCGUGGAAAGAAGACUGGCACUCUGUAUAUGACCUCAUGUCCAAGAGACACAAUUGCAGUUGCUGAUGCAAGUACUGAUACAAGCCUAUGGCACCGCAGACUUGGUCACAUGAGUGAGAAAGAGAUGAAGAUGUUGCUGUCAAAAGGAAAACUACCAGAAUUGAAGUCCAUUGAUUUUGACAUGUGUGAAAGUUGCAUCUUAGGAAAGCAAAAAAAGGUGAGCUUCUUGAAAACUGGAAGGACACCGAAGGCUGAAAAAUUGGAACUAGUACACACUGAUUUGUGGGGGCCUUCUCCGGUUGCAUCCCUAGGAGGUUCAAGGUACUACAUCACAUUUAUUGAUGACUCAAGUAGAAAGGUAUGGGUUUAUUUUCUGAAAAAUAAAUCUGAUGUAUUUGUAACUUUUAAGAAGUGGAAGGUCAUGGUUGAGACAGAAACAGGUUUGAAAGUAAAAUGUUUGAGGUCAGAUAAUGGAGGAGAGUACAUAGAUGGAGGAUUCAGUGAGUAUUGUGCUGCACAAGGAAUUAGGAUGGAGAAGACCAUUCCUGGGACACCACAGCAGAAUGGUGUGGCUGAGCGCAUGAAUAGAACUCUCAAUGAGCGUGCUAGAAGUAUGAGGUUGCAUGCUGAACUACCAAAAACUUUUUGGGCUAAUGCUGUUAGCACUGCAGCUUACCUGAUAAACCGAGGACCAUCAGUUCCCAUGGAGUUCAGACUUCCUGAGGAGGUUUGGAGCGGUAAAGAGGUGAAGUUUUCACAUUUAAAAGUUUUUGGUUGUGUUUCUUAUGUUCAUAUUGAUUCUGAUGCUCGUAGUAAACUUGAUGCAAAGUCAAAAAUAUGUUUUUUCAUUGGCUAUGGUGAUGAGAAAUUUGGCUAUAGGUUUUGGGAUGAACAAAACAGGAAAAUCAUCAGAAGUAGAAAUGUGAUAUUUAAUGAACAGGUUAUGUACAAGGAUAGGUCAACUGUAACGUCAGAUGUUACAGAGAUAGAUCAAAAGAAAUCUUAGUUUGUCAACUUAGAUGAAUUGACUGAAAGUACUGUCCAAAAAGGGGGUGAAGAAGAUAAGGAGAAUGUAAAUUCACAGGUAGAUCUGAGUACACCUAUAGUUGAAGUUCGCAGAUCUUCUAGGAACACUAGACCUCCGCAGCGUUAUUCACCUGUUUUAAAUUAUCUCCUGUUGACUGAUGGUGGUGAGCCAGAGUGUUAUGAUGAAGCCUUGCAAGAUGAGAAUUCAAGCAAGUGGGAGUUAGCCAUGAAGGAUGAGAUGGAUUCCCUGUUGGGGAAUCAGACAUGGCAACUGACUGAAUUGCCAGUAGGAAAGAAGGCUUUGCACAACAAGUGGGUAUACAGAAUAAAGAAUGAGCAUGAUGGUAGCAAACGUUACAAGGCCAGAUUAGUUGUUAAAGGGUUCCAGCAGAAGGAGGGCAUUGACUACACAGAGAUAUUUUCUCCAGUUGUGAAGAUGUCAACAAUUAGACUUGUACUUGGAAUGGUGGCCGCAGAAAACUUACAUCUUGAGCAGUUAGAUGUGAAGACAGCAUUCCUUCAUGGUGACUUGGAGGAAGACCUUUACAUGAUUCAACCAGAAGGGUUCAUUGUUCAGGGACAAGAGAAUCUAGUCUGCAAACUGAGAAAGAGCUUGUAUGGCCUUAAACAAGCUCCUAGACAGUGGUACAAGAAGUUUGACAAUUUUAUGCAUAGAAUUGGGUUCAAGAGAUGUGAAGCUGAUCAUUGUUGUUAUGUUAAGUCCUUUGACAAUUCUUAUAUCAUAUUACUAUUGUAUGUGGAUGAUAUGCUUAUUGCAGGGUCUGACAUUGAGAAGAUUAAUAAUCUGAAGAAGCAAUUGUCCAAACAGUUUGCAAUGAAGGAUUUGGGAACUGCAAAGCAAAUCCUUGGUAUGAGAAUCAUUAGAGACAAGGCUAAUGGUACAUUGAAGCUUUCACAGUCAGAGUAUGUGAAGAAAGUUCUCAGCAGGUUCAACAUGAAUGAAGCUAAACCAGUGAGCACACCCUUGGGUAGUCAUUUCAAACUAAGCAAAGAACAGUCACCAAAGACAGAAGAAGAAAGGGACUAUAUGAGCAAGGUGCCCUAUGCCUCAGCUAUUGGCAGCUUGAUGUAUGCUAUGGUGUGUACAAGACCAGACAUUGCACAUGCAGUGGGAGUUGUGAGCAGAUUCAUGAGUAAGCCUGGAAAGCAGCAUUGGGAGGCAGUGAAGUGGAUUUUAAGAUAUUUGAAGGGUUCAUUAGAUACAUGUCUUUGCUUCACAGGUGCAAGUUUGAAACUGCAGGGUUAUGUAGAUGCUGAUUUUGCUGGUGAUAUUGAUAGUAGAAAGAGUACUACUGGGUUUGUUUUUACUCUAGGUGGUACAGCUAUAUCAUGGACUUCAAAUCUACAGAAGAUUGUUACUUUGUCUACUACAGAAGCUGAGUAUGUUGCAGCAACUGAAGCUGGAAAGGAGAUGAUUUGGCUACAUGGUUUCUUAGAUGAAUUGGGUAAGAAGCAGGAGAUGGGCAUUCUACACAGUGACAGUCAGAGUGCAAUUUUUCUUGCCAAAAAUUCGGCUUUUCAUUCAAAGUCGAAACAUAUACAAACAAAAUACCACUUUAUCCGUUAUCUUGUUGAGGAUAAACUGGUAAUACUUGAGAAGAUUUGUGGAUCUAAGAACCCUGCAGACAUGUUGACUAAGGGUGUCACUAUUGAGAAGUUGAAGCUGUGCGCAGCUUCAAUUGGUCUUCUAGCUUGAGGACAGGAGGAUGAGUUGUAGGGAUGAGAGAUCGUUUCUUGGAGGAUAGCGGUUUGAUGUUGGUGAUUGGACUAGUCUCCAAGUGGGAGAUUUGUUGGGCUUUGUGGAGCCUAGUUUUGUUUGAUCCGGUUUGACAACCCGACCCGAAUAAUAUUGCAUGGCCUUUUUAAUGGGAGAUUUAUUGAGGUCUGUUGGGCCCGUUUAGCCCAUUGUGGAACCACCUUUUGUAAUUAGGGUUUUUAGUAUGAUAGGGUUGUCAUGCUAUAUAUAUAUAGAGAAUAUUGUAGCCGCCUAGUUGUACUCUGUAUUCUUCCCUGAUAAUAGUGAUAUCCCUACAACUCCGUGGACGUAGGCAAAUUGCCGAACCACGUAAAUACUGUCUUGUGUGUGUGAUUGUUUUUUUUUUUGGCGUGUGUUUUCUCUAAUUUUUUGUUUCUCACGGGUUGGGAAUUCGGUUUAAUUCCCUACAAUACCUACUAAAAAUAAAAUAUUACAAAAACAAACAACUUAAUACUUAACACUAUCAAACAUUAUUUAGUUUUAAUUUUUAUUUAGAAUUCGGUAAAAAAAAAAAAAAAAAAACAAUCAAACACCACCUUACAUACAAUAUAAAGGUUUAAAAGAAAGCAAUAGCUAACUAUAAUUAAUGAAGCACAAAUAAGGAAAGGGUUUGACUCUAAUGGUAAAAUCGAUAUAAUAUGUAGGUGGGUAUAAUUGUACUUAAAGGGUUCUUCAAAAUUUGAUUAAGACCUCUCCGAAAAAUCUUAGGUUAGCAAUCUCGCAUUUUUUCAAUGAUGAAAAAACCUAUAAUGUUUUAAAAUUUAUUUCCCUUAAAUACAUGCAAUAUAUGGAGCUAAAAAUAAUUAACGUAAAAGCUAUAAACAUAAAUCCAAGCAUUCAUACAUAUUCAUACCAUAAAUCAUCUAUGAAACCAUAUAGAAUGAUACAAUAAUAACUAUGUCUAAAAUAUAAAGAUGGCACUAAACAUAACUAAUAUCAUUCAUGAUGCAAUCCAUAAAGCAUAGUAUGAUCAUAACUAUGUCCAAAAUAUAAAGAGAAAUUAGACAAAACUAAAAAGUAGCAAGUAACACUAGUCGAGCAUAAUAAUACAUAACCAUAACCAAACAUAUUUGUCCAAAAUACAACCAAAAACUUUAAUACAACCUUUUUUUAUCUCACGGAGGAGGAGACUCCAUAUUAUACCAACAUUUAUUUAAGUUCUUCAGUCAUCCAAAGGUUUGUAUUCCCAUUAUGUAUAUAUUUUAUAUCAUAAAUUAUAUCGUUUCGACUUUUUCAGGAAAACCCGCCCUCUCAUAGCAUCAAUAACCUAUACUCGUGUCCUAACUACUCUGAUAACUAGAUUCACCCCUUAGUUCACAUCCCGUGGCUUGUCUUUGCUCCUUAUCCUUGACUAGUAUUUCCCUUCAUUAAAAAUCAACUUGAAAAUAAAAUACAUUUAUUGAACUAGGAAAAUAUAAUUUUUUUUAUUUGAUUACGAAUCAUAUAAUUUGUUAGUCUCAUUUGAUGUUCCUUUAAAAAAACCAUCAUCUUGUUCUAAUUAUUUCACUUAAAUUUUCAUUUUGUAGUUUAUUAUUGAUUAGAUAAAAUCAAGACAUGGUUACAAAUAUUAUUAUAAUCCAAAUCUUUAUUUAUAUAACCAUUUAAGUUUAUACAUUAAUUAUUCAACUUUUUUAUAUUCUUAAGAAUUAAUUAUAACUAUGAUAAGUCAAUUCAAAUCUAACAUCUGAUAAAAACAAUUGUUCGAUGAAAUUCAAAAUUCAUUUUCUUUUUCUAAUUCUCUUAACGAAUUUAUAUCUCAUUGGAAAAUAUUAAAAUCAUAAAAACAAAAUAAAAAAUUAGAUUAAAAUAAGUAGUGCGGAUGGUUCAUAUAAAAUGUUUAAUCACCAAGAAUAUUUAGAAUAUAAGACAUUACACAUACUAGAAAUCUAAAAAUGUUUGAUAUUAUACAUUUAUUUAUUCGAUUUUAUCUUUAUUUGUUUCAUGCUAGAAAUGAUUACAAAUGAUGAGAUUUGUUCAAGUUAUCGGAAAAAGUGGGUUUUAACUUACUAAUAUGAAAAUAUAUGAAAAAAUGAACCUUUAAUUUUUUUAAUUAAUUUAAAAAUAAUUUGAAAUAUAUGUAUUUUUUAAUGAAUCAUCUAUUUAUUUCAUAAAAUACUCAUUUUACUUGUCAUGUUAUCAACAUCAAUGAACAAUUAGACUCCACCUAAAUAUUUUCAUUCCUUUUAAAUUUAUUAUUAUUAUUUGUUAUUUUUUUCACCACUUCUAAUGUCCACAAUCUUCAAACUACCUCAUUUUUACUAUGGGAUGUUUGUUUAGGAGAAAAAAAAAUCUCAACUUUUCCUAAGAGGUGUUUACUUUUGGAGGGAAAAUUUGUUGUCAAAUAAUAAUAAUAAUAAUAAUAAUAAUAAUAUAAUAAAUCUAAAAAGAAGAUAAACAUUUAUGUUGAGGAAUAUAGUUGUCCAUGGAUGUUGAUGACAUGACAAGUAAAAUGGGUAAUUUAGGAAAUAAUUAGGUGACUUAAUAAAAAGUAUAUGUAUUUUAAAUUAUUUUUAAAUAGGUGAAGAUAAUGCUGAUUUAAAAUUUUUGAGGUUUUUUUUUUUUUUUGUAUAUAUUUUCAUAUUAUUGAGUCAAAAUCUAAUUUUCCUUUCAUUUUUCUAUAUAUUUUUCAUAUUAGCGAAUUAGGACCUGUUUUUUCCCAAAAGUAAAGUACUACUAGAUAUAAAAUGAUUUUUAAAAUAUAUUUAAAAGCAUUAAAAAUAAAUUAAGAACAAGUCAAUUUCCAAAUAAAAUUUUGAUAAUAAUUUUCAAUUUUUUUUAAACAUUUUUUUGCUAUAAUUGUUGCAAAAUAUGAACUAAUUAAAAAAAAAAAACUAAUUAAAAAUAAAUAUUAUAUUAAAUUUUGAUAUUAUAAAGUAAUUACUAAUGUCAAUAAAUAAAAUUGAAAUUAUCAUUAUAACAUUUCACAUUUUCAAUCCUCUUGAAAAUAUCCUAUUUUUCUUCAUUCCUAUAAUAUUUCAUGACUCGNNNNNNNNNNNNNNNNNNNNNNNNNNNNNNNNNNNNNNNNNNNNNNNNNNNNNNNNNNNNNNNNNNNNNNNNNNNNNNNNNNNNNNNNNNNNNNNNNNNNUGAAAUUAUCAUUAUAACAUUCACAUUUUCAAUCCUCUGAAAAUAUCUAUUUUCUCAUUCUAUAAUAUUUCAUGACUCGAAGUCUAAUAGUAAUUUUAGGAAACGUUUUAAUAUUUUUAAUAUUUGAAAUUUUUUAUCAUUCAAGUACUAAAAAUGCUAAAAAUCAUUUUCAAACACAUUCUUAGUAGGUCACCACGAGCUACAAAAUUGGAGGUAAGCACCUAAGUGAAAUUACCUUAUAUUAUAAUUUACAUUAUGCCCAAUUUAAAAAGUGUUCUCAAUUUCCAACAAGGAAUGAUAAGGUGGUCCUGCAUAUAAAUUUCAUUACCAUAUCAUUUAUUUUCGUGUACCUUUUUUUUUCUUUUUUUUUUCAAUGGGAGUUGCUGUAUUAAAUUUGUCUGUCAACAAAAACAUUCUUUGACUGAAAUAGUGAAAUGUGGCACUAUAACCAACUCAUUAUGGAAGAAAAAAAAUAAUAAUAAAUAAUAAAAUAAAUAGUAAAAUAGCAUGAAAGUACGUGGCAAUGGAGUUAAGAACUUAAGAGUGCCUUAGAGUUGCUGAAACUCUUCAAUUAAUAAAUUUAUGCUUUCCAUGUUGUUAGAAUAGUGGGGCCCUUGAGCUUCUUAAUUUUCUAAAGGAAUAUUUUUUUUUUAAUUCACUAUUUGGAUGGUAGUGUGGUACUUGACUGUUUUUAUCAUAAUUUUUAAUACUGAAUAGAAUGUAAUAAAAAUUGGAUUUGAUUUAUCAAGAUAAAACUUAAUAUUUAUUAUUUAAUUUUAAGUUAAAUUAUAUUUAAGUUAUUAUCUUAAAAUUUAUUACUUAAUUUUUACUUUAAAUAUUAAUAUUAUUUAAUAAAUUUAAUUUAAAAUUAUCAAAUUAACAUAUUUAUCUUCAUAAAUAGGUCGAAUAACAAUAGAGGUCAUAAAAUAAUAAUAUAGAUCGUUGAAGUAAUUAAGACAAAUAAAGAUAAAAAUGAUAAAAUCGAUACGUGGGUUUAAGAAUAAAUUAAGUAUUUUUAUUUAUUACUUAAAGUUAUUUUUUAUUUUAAGUUAUAUCAUUAAAUUAUUUUACUAAAUAUAUUUAAUUUACUUAAUAAUUUAAAUUAAAUUAUUAAGUCAUUUUAAAUUAUUAAGUUAAUUUACCAAACAUCUACUUUGAUAGCAUCUAAUUAUCAUUUAGUAAUAUAUUUUUCUUAUUGUUUUUAUUUUAUACAUAUUCAAUAACCCUUGUUGAUUUGAUGAUUACAUUUCUUAAAUGGAAGAAAGGGGUAAGGAAAUAAAUUGAUAAAUUGAUAUUUUUUUUGUUUUGUAUUUUAAAAAAUAGAAAAUAGUGAUGACUUAUAUGUAAAAUAUAGUAAUUUUUUAAACUUGUCUUAUGAAAAUUAAUUUUAAUUUUUAAAAUAGUAAAAAAAUAGUACUUUAUUAUUUUUUUUAUAUGGUUAGAGGAGUUAUUAUCAUUUUUUAUUUUUAAAACUAAAAAAUAAGAAGUGUAUCCAAAUGAUCCUUUAAUAUUGUGUUUGUGAUUAUUGAAAUUUAUUAAGAAAAAAAUUCAAAUAUUUGAAAAAAAAAAUUAUAAUUUUUAAUUAUUUAAACAAUAAAUAAGGUUUCAAGAAAUUUGAAUUUUAUUCAAAUAGAAGUCAAUAAAAUAAAAUAUAUAAAAAUACAAGUUAUGGAUUUCCUUUCAAUUCAUCAUUUAUUUGUUUUUUCUUUUUCCUAACCUUAACCUCAUCAUAAACUUUUUUUUCCCAUAAUAUUAUCCUUAUAAUUAAAUUUUCUAUUAUAUGAAGGAUCUAAUUCAAGUUGAUUAGGUAAAAUCAAUAGUUGACCCAAGUUCAACUCGAAUGAGAAGAUCAAAAUCGAAUCCAACUUGAGUUGUCUAAUUCAAGUCCAUUAUGAACUUAUGUUUCUAAACCCUUUUACAUUCAUAUUGAAAUCAAAUCAGGAUUGAUUUAGCAUUUAUGGACACAUCCAAUUAAAUUAGAUGUGUUGAUGCUAGUUGUGAAAUUGGGUAAUUGGGUCACGUUAAGUUGUCUCCAUGACAAAAAUAUCAAGAAUUUGUAAAAUGAAAAUAUAGAACCCCUCCUCAUAGUGUAAUUUUAAUUUUAAAAAAUCACUUAUAUGGCGACCAGUUUUUCACCUAUAAUGAGGGAAAACUAACAAUGAACUCAUUAAAAUAUUGGGAUAAUAUUGGAAUUAUGAUAAAAUUACUAAAAAUUUGCCAAACAUUGAUUGUCCAAGAUUUUGUUUGCGUUUUAGUGUUGACAUUGGCUAAAGAUCGAAAAUUUAAAGCAAUGUGAGUCCAAAUGUCUAAAACUUUAAACAUUAGUUGUAUUUAGUGUGAUAAAUAACUAAUUAGAUUAAGGAAAUCACUCAAGGGAGGGGAAAUGUGGUAAAUUAGGUGUUUUAAAACUUUUUCCAAAGCAUUCAAACGAUAACAAAAAUAAUGAAAAAUUUAGAUGUAAAACGAUAAUAAAGUAAAAAGAUAAAGAGAAGAGAUAUGCAAACUUUUUUAUAGUGAUUUGACAAGUCGCCUAUUGACCGAACUUCUCUGUUAUAUCAAAAUAUUUAAGCAUAAUAUGUAGUAGCUUUUACUAAAAAAGAUCAAAGAAAAAGUUGUUACGACUUUUGCAGUGUUCCGGGUAUCAUCAUCAAUGAUUAGCUUAUGGGAUUUGUCAAUAUUAGGGUAAAUGAAUUGCUUUUGUUUGAAUCUUAAAGUGGAAAAAGAUAUGUGAAUAAUAUGAAACUAAGUAAAGUAAAUUAAAUUAAUAACAAAAUGAAUAUUGAUUUUAAAUUCGAUUGAUUCAAGUUUGGAGCUUUUCACAGUCCAACUUAGGAUAUAGAAAUUAGAGAAAACAAGAGUCUUUUAAGUAAUAUGAUCUUAGGGUUUUGGGAUCUUUGGGCAUUCGCGAUCAACUUGAAUUCAAUAACUCAAAAUUUUAUAUGAAGCUUAAUUUUUCAUUUUUUUAAAAUAGGUUCUUAAAACCAUCAAAUGAAUGAGAUUGAUUAUUGGUUUAAGAAUUGACUUUUUAACAUUUUCUACUCCUCAUAACUUUGUUUUGGGGCAAAUAAUGAUAGGAAUAACGAGGAUAAUUAAUUAUUAAGAGUUACCAAUAAUCACUAGUGUUGGGCUUUGUGGAGCCUAGUUUUGUUUGAUUUGGUUUGGCGACCCGACCUAAAUAAUAUUGCAUGGCUUUUUAUUAGGAGAUUUACUGAGGCUUGUUGGGCCCGUUUAGCCCAUUGUGAAACCACAUUUUGUAAUUAGGGUUUUUUAGUGUGGUGUGGUUGUCAUUUUAUAUAUAGAGAGAAAAUAUUGUAGCCGCUGUGGUUGUACUCUGUAUUCUUCCCCUAAUAAUAGUAAUAUCCCUGCAAUUCCGUGGAUGUAAGCAAAUUGUCAAACAAUAUAAAUAUUGUCUCGUGCGUAUGAUUGUUUUUUAUUUGGCGUGUGUUUUCUCUAUUUUUUUUUGUUUCUCACAAGUUAGAAAUUCGGUUUAAUUCCCUUCAACUAAUAUCGGGUAAUAACUUACUGUAUCAUUCCAUAAACUAACUCACAAUAAUAUGAUAAAAAAAAUUGAUAAAUUGGCACCCAACCAAUAAUUAAUCACAUUGUUACAAUAAUUUACCCAUUGUCCCUUAAGUUUCCUAACCCUUAGUUUUUCAUACUCUAAGCCCUAAGUUGGCUUCUUAACCUCUUAUGGGAGUGAUGUCGCAUUUAUAAUCCAUAAUAGGGUAAAAAUCCAUAAUCUAAAUAAAAAUAAACUAAAAACAAUAUAUUUAAUAAAAAAAUAAAAGAAAACAAACUAAAGUUCUCGUCUUCUUCCACCUUCAAUGUCAAACUCUUCAGAAAAAAAGAUCAAAGAACUCUAAACCCUAGAACGAAGAGAGUUUAUAUAAUAUCAUCAAUUACUUAACAUGUGAUACACUCUCAUUGACCACUUAUUACAAAAUAAUUAUCUAAAAAUGAUUAAAAAAUAAUAAUAAAAUGGUGAUUUUUAGUUGUGUCGGAUCCACUCAGGGUGGAUGGAGUGCCUUAGAUGUAAUUCCCGAGAUAGAGGAGACAAAACAUCAAAGUGACAGUGGGUGAAUUCAAAAUUAUGGUCAUUUCAAAUUAGAUUUCGAAUUUAUAAGUUUGAUUUCAAAUUCACAAGUUGAAUUUUGAAAUGGUCUUAUAACUUUAUGCAAUUGUCUUCAAAUGACCAUAACUUUUUAAUUUCAACUCCGAUUUGCACACCGUUUAAAGCAUUGGACUUCUGACUUCUCGAGCUUUGAAAAUAUAUAUGGUAUGUAUAAAAUGGACUAUAGACAAUACUCCAAUUUUUUCAUCAAAGUCAAAGCAUAUGUUGCCACCAGAUUUUGAGAUCUAGUGAGUUUGAGAUGAAGGACUUAGGUAUAACAAAGCAGAUACUUGGGAAUAUUAUAAAAGUAUUACGGGAUAUGUGUUCACUUUGAAUAUUGCUGAUAUUAGUUAGAUUUAUAAGUUGUAGAAGAUUGUUACUUUAUCUACAACUAAAACAAAGUAUGUGACUAUGACAAAAGCUAGCACAGAGAUGAUUUGGUUACAAAGUUUGUUGGUAGAGUUAAGAUUCACACGGGUGAUGAAUGUUUUGCAUAGUGAUAACCAAAAUGCAAUAGAUUUGGCAAAGAAUUCAACAUUUCAUUCAAAUACUAAACACAUACCACUUCGUUAUCACUUCAUUAGGUCUUUACUUGAAGAUAGGGUGUUAACACUUAUGAAGAUACAAGGUAACAUGAAUUCAAUUGACAUGUUGACCAAAACAGUGAUAAUAAAGAGACUAGAGUUGUGUGUAGUUUCAGUGGGUUUAGGCUGAUGACAAGUUAUUUAAGUACAUUAUACCAUUAAUCAUUGAAGCAUAGUAUUUAUUUGUAUUUUAAUCUUCAAAUGGCAGAUUAUUGGAUUGUAAAGCGUAAAUCGGUUUUGUUGUGCUUCGUGGGCCAGAGGUCAAGCUCAUCGUUGUGAUGAAUGACAAAUUUGCUCUCAUUAUAUAUUUAACCUAAUUAUGUUUUUUUAAGGUUUUUUUUAGAGAGCGUGAUUGUGAUUGAGAGGGUUUUUUUGAGAGUUUUAUCAUUGUACUUUUUUUCUUCUUCUUUUGAUUAAUGAAUUGUUGAGUAUUUGUGCUUUGUGAAUGUAGAGAUCACAUUGAUCGCCGAACCAUAUUAAAAUUUUUGUAUUUUUCUUUAUCUUUUGCUCAUUUGUAUGCAUGGUUUUAGUCAACACUUGAUCACUAGUUAACUUAGUUUGAUCCUAUUAUUAACAAAUAUAAAGAUCAAAUCUACAAAAUGGUUGUAAGUUUUUAAUUGAAUAGAGCUUAAAACCAAAAUUAAUAAUGGUAUUUAAUCAAUUUAAGAGAUUUCAAAUAAAAAAUAUAAGUUCCAAAUGUAAUAUUAGUCUUUAAAAUUCAAUUUGAUCUUAAAUACCUUCGAUCCCAAAUUCUAGAUUUUACAAUGCUUUCUCCAAAGAUUAGACAUUGGAUUGAAAACUCUGUAGGAUAUUUUAUUUUAUUUUGUUUAUAACAUUAAAUAUUUUAGGAAUUCUUUAUCAAUAUUUUAUUUAUGUUCAUUUAAAUUAUGGUUUCAUUAAAUCUAUCAAAUGAUUAAUUCUUUUAAUGUAAAAAUAAUUGAACACAUUAGUAUUGAUCCAAGAAAGCAAUCACUCGAAGUAUUACAAGUUGUGAUAACUAUAUCUUUGGUGUUUAUUGGCCAAAAUUAUCACAUAUUUAGACUUUAGUAAUUUAAUUACAAGAGAGAUUUGCAGUCAAUAGCUCAUAGUCCAAAGAUUUUAUAAACUAAGUCUUUCUAUUUUUUUUUUCCAAAAACUAUAAUAGGUCCAUUGAAAUUUUAUUUUUUAUUAUGAGAUAUAUUUUCAUGAUGGAUUCUCUUCAAUAGUUAAGCUUUUUCAAAAGAUCUAACUUUGAUACAAAAUGAAGAGUUUUGUUAAGUAAUCCUAAGUAAUCACAGGAGAUGCAGUGAAUUGGAUGAUAGUCUAUUUAAAAAAUUUUUAGAUAGAGAAACUAAUGUGUUGAAAUUAAAGAGAGUAAAAGAAGAGAGGCUGCAAACAAGAUGAUUUAUCACGGUUUGACAACCCAAAUAUGUCAACGCCCUCUAACUCGUCAACUAGCCUCAAGGUAUUUCGCUUUUCAAUUAGGAGUCUCCUUAUUUUUCUUUUUAUGAAGGUUACAAUCAAUGAAUAACAUAAGAAACCUUUCAAAAGAGUAGUGGACAAGUUAAUGCUCAAGUUUGGGUGCUUUAAAAGAAGGUUAGCAAAUGCAAGUUAAAAACAUUCUUGAAGUUGUUAAAAAUACUCUUAAUAGAGUUGUAAAGUGUUGGGUCUAUGUUAAGUAUAUGUAAGAUAUAGCAUUUGUAGCUGUUGAAGUCAAAUACUCAUUGGACCCAAGCUCUCUAGAAGAGGUCAACCAUGUGGUCCAUUAGGUUGACUAUAUGGCAGACAAUUUUUUCUUUCAUGAUUUUCUUUGUUUAUCUUGAAAUAGGGAAAGAAGUUGACCAUAGGUGAAUCACAUGUGUUGUACCAACACUUUUGCUAAUCUUUGAGCUUUAUUUGAGAACUUUUGAUACCUUCAAAUCCCUUGAACUUUGAACCAUUUUUUUUUAACACUUAAACUAACUUUUAAAUUUAAAGGUCUCAAUUUAAUCUCUUGCCUUCUUAUGAACUUUAAAGUUGAUUAUAUAUAUAUAUGUUUUCUGAAGCUUGUUUUUAAAAACCGUUUUUUUUAAACUUAAAAAUAGUUUUUAAAAAUAAGUUUCAGAAAACAUGGUUAAAAACUAUGAAAUAACUCUUAUUUGUUUUCUAAAAAUUGUUUUCUAUUUCAUUUUAUUUUUAAAUAUUAUUUUCAAAUAACAAUGAUCAAACAAUGUUAAAAAUAUUUAAAAACGAUUUUUCAUUUUUAAAAACAGAAAAUUGUUUUUAAAUCACACUACUAAAUAAGCUCUUAUAUUCAAAAUAAUUUUCUAUUACUUAGAUAAGGGUCUUUAUCAUCCAUAUAUACUACAUUUUUAUUUAAUUUACAAUCAUAAAAACUUAAAAUAAAAAAAUCUAACUAGAUUUUCGUUUACAUCUUCAAGUUUUCUUGCUAAAAAUUGUCUUUUCUUUAAUUAUAUUUUGUUUUGUUAAUUUUUUUUUCUUUAGAGAUGCACUCAAAUUUUGAUAUGUGAAGUGAUGUUACAUUUUCGGUCUAUGCACUUAAACAAUAAAAUCAUUAAUUUUCUCAACCUUUACUUUGUUAUUAUCAAAAUUAGUUGGCUAUUUAGCAAAAAAAAAAAGGGUAUGCUAAAUUCAUACUCCUUUCAAGGGUAUUGUGAUUUUGAGGCGAUGGGAUGCAAUAAAAAAAAUACCAAUAAUCAACCAAAUACAAAAAAAAGGGGGAAAGGGGUAAAAGAGUAAAAGUGACAUGUAAUGAGCAAUUUGUACGUGUAAAGGAAGCUGAAAAAUUCAUGAAAAUACUUUUAAAAAACAUGUGGAUAAAAUAUUUUUGAUUUUGUCAGAAAAUUACACAUAGCGGAAUUGAGUGGGGGUAGAAUAGGGGAAUUGUUUGGACAGUAAUAGCAGGUUUUUCUUUUGUAUUUAAAAUGAUGAAGAAAACAAAAAAUGUGAGACCCACCCUUCCAAACGGGCCACUAGAGAUAUAAUAAAUAAUAGUAUUAUUGUAACUACUCGCAGAGAUAUUGUUCCUAUACGGCUAAAUAAAUAAACGCCAAAUAAAUCCCCGGAUUAAAAAUUAAUUUUGAUAUUAUUUAUAACCAGUUACACAUAAUCAUGUAAAUAUUUUUCGGUUCUAACCUAAAAAAGGCUUCCCAAAUGUAGAUUAAGAGGAGCUCAUAUGUGUAUAUAUAUAUAUAUUAUGAGAGAUAUCAUAAUUAUUUAAAUAUGAUAAUUAUUUAAAAUAUAUAUAUACAUAAAUAAAUAAAGGAAGGAGUAUUCAACAAAUUCAGAAAUACAAAUACAAUAAAUCCAUGGAAGCGAAAAAUCCGGUGGAAGUCAGAAGGAGCUGAUUCUACAGAGACCGCUCUCACUCGUCCUUCACACUUCAUACUUGUUCAACCCCAAAUCUUAAUGGCCGAUCAGAGUAUCAGUUGUUGAGCUGUCUCCUCAUUUAAACCCUCGCCUUCAUUUACUUCGUUAUCUGGUCUCUCUCUUCUUUCUCUCUCUCUCUCUGGUCUCUGUUGUUUUCGUCUCUCUUGAAAAAGGUUCACAAUGUUGGAAGCCAAAUCAUGGAAGCUGAAGAGGAGGAAAACCAGGUGCUUUUGACAACACUGGGGGCGUUUCUCGCAGCAGAUAAAACAAAGCAAAACAGAUGUGUUUUCGAAUAUUUUUGUUUUGGUUCAGUCUGCUUCUGCUUUCGUCACUUUACGUUUUGACCUAAUCGGACCCUAGACGGACUCUCCAAAGCUCGAGAGGGGGGGAGGCUUGUUGGUUGUUGAGGCUGAGGUUGAGGUUGGGGCUACGCGAUGGAGGAGUUGGCGGCGACGGUUGGAGCUCAGGGUGAGAGCAGCGGGGGCGGCGCGGGGGGAGGCGGCGGCGGCGAUGGAAAGUAUGUGCGUUACACUGCGGAGCAGGUGGAGGCGCUGGAGAGGGUGUACGCGGAGUGUCCGAAGCCCAGCUCCACUCGCCGGCAGCAGCUGAUCCGGGAGUGCCCGAUUCUUUCCAACAUUGAGUCAAAGCAGAUCAAAGUCUGGUUUCAGAACCGCAGGUUAGGGGGUUUGGGUUGGGAAUGGUGGAUCAGUUGUGCUAUUUUCUUGAAAUUUGUUGUUUGUUGUGAUUCGCUUGCACGAGAACAACGGCUUCCUCACAGUGGUUUCUUUAUGUUCUUGGAAUUGCAUGGUGAUUUUCAAUGGUGCUGCUGUCGUUACCUGCUUUCAAGUUUGAAUUUUUAAUGCUAGAAAAGUUAUUUUGAUUUGGUCAAGCACAGAAAGGGCGAGAUAAGAAAGAGAAAGAAGAUGAAGAUAAUUUUAUAAUAUUUUCCAUGCUUUUUCUAUCAUUUUGAAGACACCAUUCCUGAAAAUUUGCUUGUUUUCAAGUGAGAAUCAAUCUUUUAGAGUCGGGGCUUAAGCUCAUUAGACAGCAAAUUGGUUUCCAGGUUCUACUAAGUUGAUUCUGAGGAUGCAAUUCAGAGUUCUGUUGUUGAGUAGAAAGGCAUAUCUCAUUUUAUUAACAUUUUUCCUUUUUCUUGCAGGUGCCGGGAGAAGCAGAAGAAAGAGGCUGUCCAACUUCAGUCUGUGAACAAGAAACUGAAUUCAAUGAAUAAGCUGUUGAUGGAGGAAAAUGAACGGCUUCAAAAACAGGUGUCACAGCUAGUAUAUGAGAAUGGAUACAUGAAGCAACAAUUGCAAAAUGUAUGGCCAAUCCAUUGCAAGCUGUUCCAUGUGACUUUGUUUCUUGUGAUUUUGUUCCCUUCUGCUUUAUUUUUAUUUUGGUUAACUUAUUGAGAACUUUUGUUGCUAGAACUUAUUCAAGAUAUGAUUGCUAUGCUUAAAAAGUAGAUGCACUUGGAUGCAUCUUAUAUUUGAUUUUGUCUGGUUCUUUGCAUCAUUGCAGUUUGUACGCUAUCCAUUGUGAUUUAUGUUAUGGAAGGGGACAAUCUCGAUUUAAAAGGGUGUUAUCUCUCCAUACCUCAAUGGGGUCCCCCUUUCUAUCAUGUUUCUUACAACAAUUUUUAACAGUUUUAAUGUGUUUUUAUGUAGAGAAGUUGUCCAUAUUAUGGCUUCCUGAUAUCUUUACAAUUUUAUUGAGAAAAUUUUCCUUUUCUGUUUUGAGAGAUACUAAGACUUGUUAUUUUAGGAGAUAUUAAGACUUCAUUUGGAUAUUUGAAAGUACUAAGGAACAAGAAAAGGAACCUUACAUUCUUUUCUUUGAUUUUCUAUGGAAGAUAUGAAGGAAAAUGUAUUGAAAAUUAUUUACAAAGUUGACACAUUUUCAAAUUGUCAUUAUCCAUAUAAAAGUGGAAUUAAAUGGAGAGUGAUUGAAGAAAUUUUUUUAUUGAUCUCAAACUUAUUUUUUUAUUUUUACCUCACGCUUUCCAUGAUCCAUACAGAACCUAAGCAUACUUCUGCAACUAAGAUGGAUGGUAAUAAACUAAUUUGCUAAUUCAGAAGCUUUAUCACAUUUUUUUGCUUAUUGUCGAUUUCUAUGCAGGUAACUGCAACAACUACUGAUACAAGAUGUGAUUCUUUGGUUGCUACUCCUCAACAUUCUUCAAGAACUGGAAAUAAUCCUAUUGGGUAAUGUUAACCAUCAGCAAUAUUGACCUCUGUAGAACUCCACUUUUGAUGUAGGUUUGCUAUCAUUUUUUCAAUUGCAGCUGCUGAUGCACUUAAUCCUUUAUGUUCUACAGGCUCCUCUCAAUAGCUGAGGAGGCCAUGGGGGAGUUCCUUUCAAAGGCUAAGGGAACUGCUGUUGAUUGGGUCCAGAUUCCUGGGAUGAAGGUAUUUUUUUAUAUUAUCUUCAUAUAUUUAUAUCUAUACAUGUGUGGUGUGCAAGUGUGUUGCAUUACAUUGAUUCAAACUUUAGGUUUUACUUAUCAAAUGUAUGUUUUUCAUUAUCCUUGUAGAGCUGACUCAUUUACAUCUUGUGCUUGUUUCUCUUUUGAGUCCAGCCUGGUCCGGAUUCGGUCGGGACUGUUGCCAUUUCCCAUAGUUGCAAUGGAGUGGCAGCACGAGCCUGCAGUCUUGUAUCUUUAGAACCUACAGAGGUAACCACUGGUAUUAUCAGAGUAGAUUCCAUAAUCUUCCAUAGAAUUGAGAACAACCACUUUCUAAAAUUUUAGAUGAAUAAAACAUAUUUUCAUGGGAUUACUUAUAAUUUAUUUCAUCAACUAUGCAUGUCCAAGCGAUAAUUGGAAGACACUUAUGCUAUGUUUGGUUCUAGGAAAGUAUUGAGGAAAGAAAAUAAAUACUAGGAAAAAUAAUUUUCUUAUGUUUAGUUUUAUUAUGGAAAAAGCGAAAGAAAAUAAAAUAAAACUAAAAUUAGUUAAAAAGUUAUGCAUUUUUAAAUUAUUUAAUCUUUGUAUAAAAGAGUUAAAAUAAGUGAAAUGAGUUUGAACUAACACAUAAAAAUAAUUUAUUCACUUCAAAUAUAUUUUUUAUUUUCCUUUACUUUUUCAUUCCUUCUACUUUUUUUUUCUCUCAUUUUUCGCUCAAAUUUUCCAAGAAUCAAACAUAGCCUUAAGAAAUAUGUCUAGUAAAAAAUUGAAAGGAGUUUCUAUUCCAUUGCUUGUGGUGUUCCGGUUGUCCAUCUUACUUUUUUUUUAAUAAGAAAAAUGAAUAUAUUGAUAAUGACAAAAAGCAGUUUUCCAUUUUAUUUGUUUGUUAUAUGCUUGAAAACUGAUCUUUUGGUUUUCUUUCUUUGAUAGAUAAUGGAGAUCCUCAAAGACCGACAAUCUUGGUUCAGAGAUUGUCGGAAACUGGAAGUCUUCGCCAAGUUUCCAGCGGGAAAUGGGGGAAUACUUGAACUGAUAUACAUGCAAGUGAGCAGAAGUGGUUGAAUGUUGUUACUUUAUUUUCUUGCAUCUGGGUUUACAGCAGCAUAGUAUGGAGGUUUAACCUUUUGAUUUCCUUAAUAAAGCACUAAUAUUUUCUUUCAGGUUUAUGCUCCAACUACACUGGCUCCUGCACGUGAUUUCUGGACUCUAAGAUAUACUUCAAGUUUAGAAGAUGGCAGCCUUGUGGUAAUUGCAGUUGCAGUUUACUUGUUUGCUAAUUUUUCAUUUGUUAUUUUUUAAAAUAAUGAACUUUGGAGCAAUGAUUUAAUGUGGUAAAUGUUCUUUGACUUCUUUCCAUUGAUCAUCUGGUGCUUUUUACAUAGAUCUCUUAUGAAAAUGACAUAUUUUGAGUGUUCCUGUUGUCAUACACGAAUUUAAGAUAUUUGGUGAUCAUGUUUGAAUGUCAUAUUUUCCAACCAAAAACAAUCACAGCAGUACCUGUAAUUGUUAGAUCUAUUUAUUAUUUUAUCACAGGAAUUGUUAGACUUAUGGAAUUUUCCCCUUUGCUACUGGUCAUAUUGAUUCAAUCUUUAAGGAUGUGUUUAAUUAUCAACUCUGAGUGUAAUUUAUCAAAAAAAAAUUAUCAACUUUGAGUGUUGAGUCACAUGUAUUUUGAAGUAGAACCCAUCUUCUGGCACUUAUGCAAUGCCAAUUGAUAUGCAGUGAUACCUGAACCUUUGUCUAUCAGUCAGUACCUUUGGUUUGCUAGCCAUCAGAACUUAUAUUUUUUGAGUUCUUAUUGAAGUGAUAACUUGAAUGAAUAUGCUAAUAGUCUAGUUGGCUGUAUACUUCUAACUGAAUUUUUAAGAAAAUUUUAUCAGGGUAUAGUUGAACUUAAUCUAAUUUGCUUUUUAUACUUGAUGUCAAUAUCUCAAGGUAUGUGAGAGAUCAAUGUCUGGGUCUGGUGCUGGCCCAAAUCCCUCUACCGCUUCACAAUUUGUCAGAGCCAAGAUGCUGCCCAGUGGCUAUUUGAUUCGGCCCUGUGAGGGGGGAGGUUCAAUCAUUCACAUUGUUGACCACCUAGAUCUUGAGGUUUGGUUUCUAGCAGUUAUCUUUUAAGACCUUCUUUGCUAUAGACUUAUUUUCACAAUCCUUGUAGGCAUGGAGUGUACCUGAGGUGCUGCAACCACUUUACAAGUCUUCCAAACUUGUGGCACAGAAGAUGACAGUUGCUGUAAGUGGCCAAUUGUUUUGAAUCCUGAAAGCAUGUAGAUUAUUUUAUCUUAUAAUUGUUGAUGGAAACAAUAUGGUGGAUAGUUUCUUGAAAGAAUACCCAUGAAUGUUAAGGAUGGCCAUGACCAAUUGCAUUCAAAGUGUUAAGAUUGCCUCUCUCUCAUCUGCUGCCCCAUUCCAAAUACUAACAUGAUAGAUAACCUUAAACUUUUGACAUAUAGCUUCUGAAAGGACUACAAAAGAGAAAAUCUGGCGGAAUGGUGCUGUAAAUUUGCCAGAAAUUCAUGUUUUAUUGUUCUUACUUUUUUGUUAAUUUUAUGCUAGAUCGAAGAUAUAGCAUGCAAAGUGAACACUUCCAGUUGUUGAGCCAGUGGGCUUUAUGACUUCCAUGCUCUUUCUUAUUGAUGUUUUUUGAGUUAUCAAGCACAGAUUUUGAUGAAUAAUAUUCAACUUUUCUUAUGCUCUUCCACAGCAAAACUCUUACAGAUUCUAGUUUCUGCAUUUCCUUCCAAUUCUUUUCAUUGUCCUAGUUAAUAUUUUUAUGGGGAAUUUGGAGUCUCAGCAUUUGUUGCAUCUUUAUAAAUCUGUGUUGGGGUACAAUGGAUUGGAAAUCAACAUAUCUAUGUUUUUAAAUAUGUUUUAAAAAUAACUUUUAUAUAUAGUGCUUUAUUUUUAAUCAUUCUCUAUAUUUGUAUAAUUAUUUUUUAAAACAACCCUUAGAAAACAAGUGAAAACAACUAAAAGAUGUUAAAACACCAUGUUUUCUAUUUUUAAGGAGAGAAAAUAGUUUUCUAUUUUCUAGUUGCCAAACGUGUUUUCUUGUUUUGGAAAAUAUAAAAUUGUUUUAAAAAAUAAUCACCAAACAAGCCCUAAAUCUUAUUUUUAUGAGUUUUUUUGGAAUAGGCUGGAGUGUACAUACAAUGAUCAUUCAUUUGGCAUGAUAGGUUUUAUUGAUUGGCUUAGUUCUAAGUGAAGAGAGGGAGCUGGUUUUUUUGUGUUUUCUCUUCUCUUUGCUUGUCUGUUGGUGCCUAUUGUGUACAUCAUAUGUACUUUGGUGUGCCCUUUCCUUAGGCCCUAUUAAUAUAUAUCCAAUUUUUGCCUCUAAAAAAAAUUAUGGUGCUCCUCUCUCAAAAUGCUAGGUGUACCUCACUCAGCUGUUGUCAUGGUCCCACUUUAAUUUAGAUACUGGUCCAUCCAUUGUGCUUAAAGUCUCUGCAUGCCCCAAAACAAUCUUUUAUCUUGUUGUUGCUUUGUUACUAUUUCUUUGUUUAAAAUUCUGAUUUAAAAAUUUCAUUUCUUCUUCCUAUCAAAAAAAAUAAAAAAUGAAAUUCCAUUUCUUCUUAAUUUCAGCUAAGGCUUAAUCUCUACCUUUUACAAUAUUGUUUUAGGACACUUUUUUCAUUUUUGGUGAAUCCUUUCUCCCUCCUCUCUCCAAGAUCAGUCUUUUUUGACAGGACAUUCUCAGCUACUUUUGAACAGUUGGUUGAUCAUAUCACUCUUAGUAUGGCUGAAAUCUUCAGUCACAUUCCUUAACACCAAUCUCUCCUAGGUGAACACUGAAAGAGCACUGGCUCACAAACAUAUAAAGAAAAUUUACCCAUUGGGCAUAUCACUGUGUCAGCUUCUUUAAAAAAAAGUUAUGGAUAAAAAAGAGAUUGAAUAAUUGAAUCCUCAUGCACUAAAAUUUGGGUCACAGGCAGUCUACGGUUCUUCAAGCUCCUCCUCUUGAUAAUUCUACUAAAAUAAUGUAUUGGCCAAAAAUUGAAGCUAUUUUUGAUAGGCAAGAACAAAAAGAAAAAAAAUAUUAUCAAAACAACCCUGUCAUAGCUGUCUGCAUGGACUACCCAUGCCAUCAGUAAAAUCUAAGAAAGAACAUGUCCUAGUUGCUGUCAGUUCUGCUUUCCAAACACAUGGAGACCACAAAACUCUUUUUUUUUCUUAGCUUAAUUGCCAAAAAAUUGCCCCUAGAGAUCCUUCCAUUGUGCUCCCUCCAUGGGCACCAACCUGAUCCCAUGUAGGCAACAUAUAUGUCACACAUACUAAUCAAAAAAAAAAAAAAAAACAUAUAUUUCACAUGUAUUACCCAUGCAUACACUUUGCCCCUGAGGCUUAACUGAAGUGGCAAGGGGUUGGGGCCUCUUUGUGUUAGGGCCAACUGUUAAACAUAAGACAAAGUACCCUGGCCCUGUUCAUGAUAAUCUUUGAUGUGGAAUUCCUUUUUGGGUUUUAUUUUAAGUGACAUAGUAACAAAGGAUAGAUGAACAGACAAGUAUCCCUGGGACUAGGCCUGAGCUUUGAUGUGUCAUAUAGACAUUAUUUUUUCUCUUUUCCAUCUUAAGAGGUAAAUUGGUUGGAGAAAAAUUCUCUAUUUAUUUAAAACAAAGGUUUUAUGGCAACUUUCCCCAAAUCAUAUCAUUCUCUUUUACUAAACUGGGUGGGAGGUUAAGGUUAAUGUUAAUUGAAGUAAGAGGAGGAUGGAAUUACUGUCUGAAAUCCAAGAUGUAGUUUCUGAAACUGGUUUACUGUUUCCUGUAUUGGCAUGUGGCAUCAUGUGCUUAAUUUCAACUUAGAAUUGCUUAUGAAUUAUGAUAUAGUUAUAUCCUUCUCAAAAUUAAGGCAUUCUUCUUUAGAACUAAAGUCAGCAUUUUCUGUGAAGGCUCUGCACCAUAUUAGGCAAAUAGCUCAGGAAACAAGUGGUGAUGUAACACAUACUUUGGGCAAGCAGCCUGCUGUUCUGCGAGCUUUUAGACAAAAAUUGAGCAGGUGAGUUCUAUAAUAUUUUGUUCUUCUGUUUCUCUUCUCUCAUGAUACAUAUAGUUGUGUAGUACAUUAAUACACCUAUCUCUAUAGUAUAUAUGUUGACAUACUGACACCAUGUGGUUGGCAUUAAGGUUUUUGAAUUGAGAAUGCAUUUGUAGAAAUCAUGGCACUAGAAUAUCUCGGAAAUUGAAUUUUUUGAUGUUUCUUUUUUGUUUUCCAAUCUUUUCCUUGAUUUCUGUAGAGGAUUCAAUGAUGCUAUCAAUGGAUUUAAUGAUGAUGGCUGGUCACUGAUGCAAAUUGAUGGUGCUGAAGAUUUAAUAAUAUCUGUAAACUCAGCCAAGAACUUGAGCACCAUUUCAAAUUCGACAGCUGCUCUUUCCUUGCCUGGAGGAAUUCUCUGUGUGAAGGCUGCCAUGCUACUCCAGGUGAGUUGCAGGAUGAUCCCUUUAAAGUUAUUAUGACAUCUAUUAUUGGAUGGUAUUGUAUUCCUGUUUAUUGGUGAAUGCUUGCUAACUUUGUUAGGCAUCUCUAGAUAAGUCACUUUUCCUGGAAGACCUUGACAUGGGAAGGAAAUAUAAGUAUUGUAUUUUUAGUUUAUGAAACUUAAUAACUCAUGUUGAUGUCUGGAUGAAUAGCAUUCUCCAAGGAAAUCUGCCAGCUCAAAAUUGAGGAAUUACAAUGAUCUUUUGGGAGCUUUUUCUCUAAUUGGUCCUAGUAAAAUACGUUAUUGGCAUUACUUCUUCUGCUUCACUAAUUGAACUGUCUGUCAAAGGAAGUUUGAAAUUGAAACCUUGUUGAGUUCUGAUUUUUUAGCAAAACAUGAGUUCUGUUUUUUUUUAGAUAUUAGCAAAACAUUUUAUCCUGCCCCUUACCAUCUAGCCUUGUUUGAUAACAUAAGGAAUAUCAGCGCACAUUGCUUUGCUUUAUGAACCAAACAUAGCUUGAUAGAUUGACAGCAUUUAAGAUUCUCUUUUGGUUAGACUCCUGUGAUUAUAGCAACAUUCUAUCCAUACUAGAAGUAAGUGAUUGUGUUGAUGUCAAGCUUCGAUGAGUAUUCUGAUGAAAUCUGAGAAUAAAUUUUGUUGGUUUACAGAUUAAAUGUAGAGCAAUAUCAACUCUUUUAACUGUAUGAUGAUCAGAUGUUUUAUGAUCCCUUUGCUAGAAUGUUUCCCCUUCACUGAUGGUUCGAUUCCUGAGGGAGCACCGUUCUGAGUGGGCUGAUUUCAGUGUUGAUGCAUAUGCCGCUGCAUCAUUGAGAGGUGACUCGUUUGCUUUGCCCGGAUUGAGCCCCUCCCAGUUUUCUGGCAACCAAACUACCAUGUCUCUUGGCAUCACAGCUGAAAAUGAGGUCUGUUCAUUAUUAGAAUUUUAGGUCUCUCUGUCUGGUCAAUCAAUGAAGAUACAGUAGAUGGAAUUUACUAUUUCAUGAUUUGGCUUUCAUCAUAUAGCCCUAGCUAUGAUUCUAUUUUACUUCGUUACUAUGUAUUUUGUACUUAUUUGGACUGUAAUUAUUGUUUUGCAUCCCAGAUACUAGAAAUAAUUCAACUUGAAGGCCAUGCUCUCAGCCAAGAAGAGGCUUCUGUUAUGUGGAGGAACAUUCAUCUUUUACAGGUGUUCUCUUCAGCGUCUCUCGGUGAUUAUAGUUGAGAAAAUUGUAUGCAUGCUUUUCCUUGAAUAUUGCCUGUUAUACAUGCGUGUGCUUACACACACAACGCUCCUUUCACAUUUGAGAAUUGCUCCAGUUUGACUUAGAAUCAUAAAUUGCCAUGAAAUAAUGGCCCACACAGGUUAACCUGCCAUGCUUAGUACAUCUUCAUAAAAGAAUUUGAUUUUCCAAAGUUGGAAAAACAUCUGGAAAAUUCAAAUUUGUUGAAAAUGUUAUACUCUGCUCAGCCACUCUAUUUUUGCUGGCAAAAAGGUCCCUUACAUUUUGGUGUGUGUGUUAUGACUUGCAGAAUUUUGACAUAGUGGAUGUGAUAUGUUUGCAAAUAACUUGCAGAUUUGUAAUGGAGUGGAUGAUAAUGCUGGGGAAGCCUGCUCAGAACUAGUUUUUUCUCCAAUUGAUGAAAUGUUUCCAGAUGAUGCUCCGAUUCUGUCCUCUGGGUUUCGGAUCUUGGAGUUGGAUGCAAAAACAGUUGAGUUAACAUGUGCUCCUCUUGAACUAUUUUUCCAUGGCAAAUGUUGUUAUCUAGUACUUCAUUAGAUGUUUAUUUCAGAAGAUGGUGACUGUACAGUUUAUCAAAUUGUUAUUAUAUGUUGCCCUGGUAAUUUGAAAUUUUGCUUCGUUAUUUCAAUGUAUUCUCAUGUUGAGGUUCUUUUAUCAGAAUAAUAAAGAAAUGGGGAUGGUGCUCUCAGAUAUGCUUGGUAUUUUUGUCAAGUUGGACAAUGCUUAUGCUGAAAGAAGCAUUAGUAUUGCCUUGUCCUUUCUGUCACUGGUCAUACUACUUUUUUAACUACUUCUCAUUGUUGAACAGUCUUGCAAAAGAGCAUCUUCUUUCUAGGACUGCCAAAAUCUUGUGAUUAGCCUGUUGGAGUCAUGUUUACGAGGAUAUAAAUGAAUAUAUAUCCAUGUCUGUGAGUUUAAGAGUGUUAAAGCAGAUGGAUGAAAAAGGACAACUGAAAGUAUCUUUUUUGCGUUCCUUUUGAGAUGCUCUUGAGCUUGCUGAUACUAAAUGAAACUUAGACUAACUCUGCUUGUCAAGUGUGUCUGCUUUGAGUACAUUAGUCAUCUUAUCAUCUAGGCAGAGCUUGUAAAUGGGAUGACUUGUCUCAGUACAAGUUAUGGGUUUAAAUGAUUUCAAACAUUAAGAUUCUAUAGUGUUAUAUAUGUUUAAACCGUUAGGUAAGUGUAUUCUUUAAGUUAUUAUUUCUAACAGUUUCUUUUUACAGUGUGACAGACAAGAUAUGUUGGCUGCAAAACGAAUGAUGAAUCUAGCAUCCAAUCUUGAAGUACGCUCAUCCGACGCUACUGGAUGCACAGCUUCAUCUAGUGACUCUCGCUCAGUGUUGAUUAUUGCCUUCCAGUUUCUUUUUGAGAGCCAUCUUCAGGGAAAUGUUGUGACUAUGGCUCGACAGUAUGCCCGCAAUGUGAUUUCCUCUGUUCAGAGGGUUGCUAUGGCAAUAACCCCAUCUGGAUUGCAUGGGAGGCCAAAGUCAACCUCAGGCUCUCCUGAAGCUCUCACCCUUGCUCGUUGGAUCUGCCAAAGCUAUAGGCAAGUUGAAUGCAGUGCAUGUUGGAAAUGUGGAAAUGAAACUUCAUGAACUUGGAUUACUACCCCUUUCAGUGAUCAAAAACCUUAGUCAUUCAAAUGAUAAUUUCUUCCUAACUAGGAAAUAUAUCUAUACCUAAUUGUUUUUGCAUAUGAGAAAACAAACCUAAUAAUAGUAUAAUAAGCUCUUAGAGUUUUAGUAUUGUGGGAACCUUUGUAUACUCAGUCCUUUCUCAAAUAACUUGCACAUCAUCCCUUAACGAUAGAAGAUGUACAAAUGUCAUUUGAAGAUUCUACUGCCAAUACAUAUGAGGAUUCUACUGCCGAUACAUGUGUGGAUUUUUAGUUGUAUAUAAAUGUCAAUUUUUUUUCCUGUUAUGGUCCAGUCCUAACUAUGUAGUAUCUCAUAUGUACAUAUAAUGCUCAUAAUAUGGAAUAUGUCCUACUGUGUUCAAUGGCUUGUCCUAAAGCAUAAACCAUUUUGAAACUAAUUUCCAUCAUCUUCAAAGAAACAAAAGUUUCAACAAUGGUUGAGAAACCAAGGUUAACAUGUUUUUUCCUUUCUUUUUCAGUUUCCAUUUAGGAGAUCAAUUGCUAAAGUCCAAUUACCAUGGUGGAGACUCGGUGUUGAAACAGCUCUGGCAUCAUCAGGAUGCCAUAUUAUGCUGCUCAUUGAAGGUACGUGUCUAUGACGGUGACCCUUUUUUACCCAUGUUCAACUGAUCCACUAGGUUGCCUGUGAAAGACAAUGGUUGUAUAUGAGUGAAACAAUUCUUUGAGAUUUAUAGGCAAUAAAGCAUAUCUGUCAAUCUGGCAAGGAAAAAAAACUGGAAAAGAAAAGCAUGCCAUGGAUUAGGUGUGCAUCUUAUUUCACCUAGAAACAUUAUAUAUCUUUGAACUCACGACAUCCAGAUAUUUUGGUUUGUAUGAAUUGGAAAUGCUGUAAAGCUGGCUAUAUCUCACACCUGUUUUUUAUAUUUGAUAUACAUGUAUUGAUCAUAUCAUUGGCAAAGUUUCAAGGAGAUAUUUGAACAAUGGAUAAAUUAAACAAUCUGAAACAAAUUAAGGAGAUAGGGUUUAAUGGUUGUCUGGCUGGUUGGCAGUUGCACCCCGUUUUCAUAUUUGCCAACCAAGCAGGGCUUGACAUGCUGGAGACUACACUGGUAGCUUUGCAGGAUGUUUCACUGGACAAGAUAUUUGAUGAGGCUGGUCGGAAGGCAUUAUGUAAUGUCGUUCCCCAGGUUAUGCAGCAGGUAAUUUUGGUUGGUAAAUAAUUCUGAUAACCGGAUAACUUGACAUUUGUCGCUUUCAGUUAUUAUUUUAGGCAACAUCCUCUUGUAUCAAGAAAAAGACUAAUUGAUUCAAGGGAGGAUAAACCAGAGGUGUUAAUGAAUGUUCUAUGUUGCAGGGUUUUGCCUUGGUACCAGCUGGAAUUGGUAUGUCAACCAUGGGGCGUCAUGUUUCAUUCGAGCAAGCCAUUGCUUGGAAGGUCCUUACUGAAGAAAAUACCGUUCACUGCCUCGCCUUUGCCUUCAUUAACUGGUCUUUUGUGUAGAUAGAUAUCUUUUGAUAUCUUUUGUAUAAAUUAGACAAAAGAAGGAAACUGUUCCCCUGUUUUGCAAUUAGUUUUUCUUCAUGCACCAAAUGCUUUUAGGCUUGAGAGAGUUUACCAGCAGUUCCAUCAACAGACGCCAAGUUUUGAUUUGAUCAUUCUCCGGCCCUAUUUCUUUUUUGGCAGAAAGGAAAACAGCUGUGCAGCCUAGCGUUUAGAAUAUCAAUUGCUUACGGUUAAGGUAGUAAUUUAACUGCAAGCAUCAAACCUUUUUACCUUGUUCGAAUUGGCUGUUCAAAAGGGACAAGGCUUCUGUUUUAAGUUAAGAAGAGUAGCGGACAGACAAACUCCAGAAAUGUCAGCCUACAGCACAUGGAUUGUUUAGAUGAUUCUUAAUGAAGCGUUUUUGCUUUGACAAGGAGUGUACCACAAAAUAAAGACGGUGUUGCUUCUCUCGAAAGUCUUUUUUAGCUUAUGUGAAAAGCAUCUAUAUCUUUCAUGUAACUUGCCUAUGAAAAAGAUAAAGCCUUGCAUGAUAAGCCUACCCGAUUAAGGACAUUAUGGAGCAAUUUUACCAUGAAAAUCAAUCAUUUCAUAUAAGGAAGGACUUCUAAGGAGACUACCAUCAGUUCCGAAAGGUUUUGUACUAAAAAGGGAAAAUUUUAGCAGCCAUAAAUUUUAGCAACCAAUUGAAAAUAUGGUUCACCAGGGUCAACAGAUCAUUGAUGGCUUAUACGUACCCACUGAUCAAUUUUGGAGGGCAAUCAUUCCAUCUUAAAUAGCAACGGAAAAUCAUUAACACUGAUCGAAAGUGCCCAAAAUAUUUAUAUUUUCUAGCAGCAACCAAGAGUUUUACCCUUUCCCCUGCAGAGGGUAACUGUUGUCGCUUUUUGAUGAUCAAGUGGAGCAUAUCUAUGACAGUUUUCUGCAACCAAACGGAGAUUCGCUCACAUAAACUGAUUUUUCAUAAUUUCAUUCUGUGUCGUGAAUUAUAAUUCACAAUAACGAAAGAAAAUCUCUUCACCCCCAAGCAAACCAAGAGACAAGCAAACCCAUUGCACUCUCAAGGCAAAAACAGAGCUACGUAUGGUCUAAUUUUCCUACAAAUAACAGUUCUACUGAACUAGUACUCAACUAAGUAUUUGAACAGGGCCACCCCAACCAUGUGCCUGUCGCGUUUAUACAACAAUAUAACUUGUGAUCCUAAGAUUUCUUCAUAAUAAUAGUUAAGCCAUCCAAACACUCAAAACUAUGGACUCUUUCUCUUCUUUGCUUCCUUUUUUGCAGUUAUAACAUCAUGUUACACAACUGCAUUUAUAUGCCAAACCAGACUUGAUUUUACACAGGAAGGGUCAUAGUAUCUCAGGUAAAUGGGAGAAAACCAACAGGGAAAUCAUGCCAAGAACACAGUUUGAAUAAUACUUUAGUAAGCUACCCCAAGUAAUGGGGAUUUUGGACUUUGUUGAAUUGAGUUGAAUCCCAUCUUGGUUCCUUUCACUUGGAUGCCAGUGACCAGAAAUUCAAGAGAAAUGAUGGUGAGACCGCAAACCAACUGAGGAAGGCCAUUGCUGUAGCUGUUUCAAAUCUGGUGCAGUGGUUCACAGCACAGUUAUCAAGAUCAUUGCCAAUAAGGACUGUUAUACCAGCAGAUGCACAGGCUGCAGCAAAUGUAAGUGUCGAAGUAAUCUGCACAUUCCAAAAUAGGAAAAAUGAAAACGAGAGAGAAAGAGGUCCAUCAUUUUGUGUUGUGGAACAAACAUAACAGACUAUUCUAAAGGCACCCACCAGAGAAAAAGGCUGAGCCCUAUUUAGAAGUGCUUCUUAAAUGCUAAAAGAAACAUUUGAAGGUCCAAUGCAAUUUUUAAUGAUGUUUGGAUAAAACUCACAAAUGUGGGUCUCACACUUUUGACAUGAUUUAUCCACAUUUUGGGAAAACAGGGGAGACCUCUACUUUUUUUAAAACCUGAUGCAGUAAGCAGAUUUUUACAGUAAUUAAAUUUUUAAAAAUUUAAAAAUUAUUCUAUUUUUAAUAAAAACAUUUCUGAAAUAUAGUUUCCAAACAUUAAAUCAAUCACAUAGCAAAAGUAGUUCUUAUACUGCUAAAAGUAGAAAUUAACAGCUCUCCCAAUUGAGCUCUUACACUUACACUGUUUAGAGGAUGCAACUACUUUUCAUGUCAAGGUCAGAGAAAAGAAAAUAACUAUCAGCACAAUUUGAGAAUGAAGGUUAGACUUGUAUUUAUGACUAUCAUGAAAUGGCAGUGAGGGUUGUCAAGCAAACAGAAAAUUGGCCUUAUAUAUGGCUACCAAAACAUAGAAACUGAAUCCUACUGAAUUUGAUGCUGCUCCCCCUUUCGUUCACCCUUUCAUGGAAUCAGUACACGCGUAUAAAAAAACCUAAAAAUAAAAUAAAAAUAAAAACGUGCCCAUUUGAUUCUUAUCAAAAUCUUUAGGCAGUUUGAUGCAGUUGCUAAAUGAAUAAUGCGCUUGGCUUCAGAAAGGGACAGAUCACAAAAGCCUGUAGUUCUCACUCAAGCAGAGGAUUGGUACUCCACUCCAACAAAGUUGAUCUAACUCAGGGGUAUGGCUAUAAGAUGGUUAAUUGUGAACAAAGGAGAAUGAAAGAGCUGACAAGCUGUCUCAGCAGUCUGAAGCCUGAAUUUCUCAUCAUGCAAGGAAAAAUUCUUCUCCUCAACUCUGGUGUUUACAACAGCAAAGAUUUUUGGAUUCAGGUUGUUUAGUUACUUGUGCAUUAAACUCUCUAUUCAUAGAUUUAUGCACAAAGCAUAUUUUCCAAGUGUCAAGAAGCAUUAGCACUACCUCUAUCAUAUAAUUCCAUGCCCUUCCUCAUUAGUGCUCCACUCAUCCUCUAAUGGUAGGAUGGAAGAAGACUCUCAUCGUCUCACUAGGUAUGGCAGAUUGGGUAACCCUUUUCCUAUUCUCACUCCAUAAAAUUGGCGAAGAUCCUAGCUGCUCUAACUAGCAUUCUACUAAUUCAAAUCCAUAAUAAAAAUAUAGAAAAUGAGUGUAUUAAGAAACCAUUCAUUUAGACAACUAAUUUUGGAACUUCAGAGCUUCUUCUUCAUGUUUCGUAUUUUCCUUCUUUUUUUUCCCCUUGAUAAGAAAUCUUGAGCUCAUUCCUUCCCUCAAAGUGGGGAAACCAACAAGAAAGAAAGCCCUUCCACAAGUGUAAAUUGGAUAUCUUAGCUUGAAAAUCUUCUGUUUGAUCUUAUUUGAAGGAUAGCUCAUUUUUGCAAAUUCCUUAUCUCUUGUUAUCAUUUAAUGAAAAUCUUUUUUUCCUAUAAAAAUGGAAAGGUUGCUCAGUUAGCAAUUGUGUGAAAAUUAGGACCAUACUUUGAUGAAUUAGUGAAGGAAUUAGCCAGCACAAAACAAAAAUAAAUAAAUAAAAUAAAAAUAAAUGAGAAGGAUUUGGAUGAAGAAAAUAAUGGUUCAGGCAGCACAAUGAUAUAAAAGUUGAUUCUCCCCUUUUUCUUUUAAAGUUGAUUGGGUAAUGUGGCUGGAAGGUGAAAAGGUUUAAAGAGGAAAAUAAGAAAUAGGAUUUGAAAGUAUGGGGGUCAAUUAGGGUUUGCUAGAGAUUACUUUGAAUGUUUAAGAACGAAUGGAACUGGUUUGCUUAGAAGUUGAGCUUGAUGAUAGAGGAUAGAAAGAAGGAAAAAGGAGAUAACUUAGGAUACAUGCCUAAAUUUGUGAUAACUUAGGAGACAUGUCUAACUAAUCUUUGAAAGACUCCCUUAUAUCUAAUCCAUAUAUGUGGUCUUAGACUCUUAGGCGUAUGUUAUAGUUGAUGGUCAAGCUGGUCCACUAUUCUUUAUAGAUUUUAUUGAGUAGUUGAGCUUUAAGUGCUAGAUUGAAGUUGUGUUGCUGCUUGUUUCUUUUUGUUUUCUCACAUGUACACUUCUAGUGUGCUAUACUCUCCUUUUGUUUAUCCUUAUUUGCCUAUAAAAAAAACCAUCUAUACAAUAGACAAGCCCAUGAAGGUGCCCUUUAGCAAUGAGAGCAUGAAUUUUCACCAACAAUAAAGACCAAUUACAAAUGAGCAACUUCUAUUUGGCUAAUAUUUUGCCUAGCAGCACAGAAUUAGCCUAGUAGUACAUGACAACAAAUAUAAAACCAAAAUCAGUGAUUUUAUGUCUAUUACCAAUUUUCCUCCAAAAUUGACACUAAUGAUAUAAAGAGAUGUCGUUAAUCUAAUUAGGGGUGGGAUUUAAUGAACUUGCAAGUGUAUUCUUUUGGAACAGUACCAAACUAUGAAGAAACCCUAGCAGACCCCAACUAUCAUCCAUGUAAAAUACAGACUAGAUUUGACCAGUUGCCCAUCCUUGAUCCUACCUCCUCUAUCCCACACAUAAUGCACCUCUUCAGCAUUAUCCAAUUUCAACCGAUCAAGUGAUCCAACAUCAAUCAUUUACCCCUCACACAACCCAGCACACAAAGCUGCCUUGGUUGGAACAGAUGAAAUCCACACCCUCCUGGUCAGGAAUGCAAUCUCUUUAUAAUUCUCCAACAUCUUAAGAACAGAUUAACCAAGAACUAGGCAUUAUCACACUUCCAUGCCAAACCUCCUGAUCAUUCACUUCUCUAUUUUUCUUAAUGGAUACAGCUUUUGAAAGAAUAACAGAACUUAAAAAAAACUAUCUUAUUCCCAGUUAUGGAAGUUUGUAAUGAUAAUCACAAUCUGACCAACCCACAACACGCUCUUUCACCUGCAAUUCUCCUAUAAAGGAGAGGAUACUUCUCCAUUAGAUACAAAUUGCUACACUAUAUUAUUGUCUAAUGCUUCCUCAGCCUCUCCAUAAAUCUUGGCCCAUAUCCUUC
This 123001-nucleotide long non-coding RNA is filed under the name Vitis vinifera (wine grape). RNAcentral describes it as "long non-coding RNA (VVIN_LNC004078)". The stretch from base 35888 to 36342 matches the Rfam family "Bacterial small subunit ribosomal RNA". The record is from RNAcentral. Lineage: Eukaryota; Viridiplantae; Streptophyta; Magnoliopsida; Vitales; Vitaceae.